CAUGUUUGUAAUAUUUUUUUAAUCCAAUGAACUCUAACUUUUUCUUUUGUCUGUAUAUUAUGAAAACUAGGAUGUUUGUUUCUCUAUGCCUCUUUGCCGUUCUAAAGUAGAACAAGUCACUACUGAAGACCUGGUUGAGCUCUCGGAGAUUGAGAAACAUAUGCUGGGCCAGGUUUUUGUCUAUGCUUUUAAUUUUGAUAGUCUUUUAUCUUUCACCUUGCUGAACUUAUGCCUGGAAUAGAACAUGGGAUGCCUUUCUCUGCCAUUUGUGGAACUUCCAUGCUUGCUUAGAUUACUCGCUUGUUACAGUUGCCUCAAUGGGAUUUUCUUAGGCAUCUAGUUUAUGACAAAUUUAUGAGCAGCAAGGGCAAAAUAUAAAGAGCAGUUGCAAAAAGCUUCAUGUUUGAUGUGAUGUCCAUUGCUGUUUUUUUUUCUUUUCCAAAAUUUGAUUAUGAAAAUCUCCUUAGUUACAGAAGUAUACCUACUUCUCCUGAUGUUGUUCUUUGUGAUUUAUCACUCAUUGGUGAUUCUCAUUUCAAUUCAGACUCGAUGUCUUGGUUCCAUAUCUGAUGUAGAUAACAGUCCACAGUCUUUGCUGUCUUUCAGUGGAAACAAGGAUGUGCAUGCUUUAUAUGACUUUAUGCUAAAUUAUAGGUAAAUACCUAGCUAAUGUCUGAAGAACUACAUCUCUCUAGUAAGUUAGGUUCUUUGUCUGUAUCUCUGUUCUCUUUUAUUGUCAGUGGUUCUUCAUUUCUUAUGGCUGUUUCCAGAUCUUUCUUGACCUCCUUGACAAGUGUGGAUGUUCCUCUUCUGUGUUCACCUGUUCCAUUUCAGAAUGCUGCUCUUUCUGCUCCAGAGGCAAGUGUAAUUUAAUUCACAUUUAAUGGUUAUAGACCAGUGUUAGUGACCUUUGUUUCCCUUGGCCAUGAAUGCAUUUCCAAGAGCAAAUAUACGUCUCAGCCAGAUUCUCGCAUAAACAGUGGCCAACAGUUGGGUGUUUAAAUCCACCAUAUUGAAAAUACAUCCAAACUAUUUCUGUGCAUAUGGAUAGGGUAGACCAAAACUUUGAACCUUCUAACGGCAAGUGCUUCCCUGGUACUGCUUUGUGUUCUCAAAGUUUCAUCAAAUAGGAUCACUGAACUUUGUUGUAACAUGAUUGAAGUAACUUUGAUCAAUCCUUGUAUCUGCAUCUGACACGAAGAGGUCCAAUGUAUGUAUUACUGCCCUUGUCAUGUAAUAUAACCUACUCAGAAUACGUUGCUUUUCUUUUAUAGGAUUACCGAUUACCUUGGAAGGAGAGUAGUCAUCCUUUGAAAUUAGAGCAAAAUGGUUCUUUAUAAAUUUUAAUACUUGUACAACGAUAAAUAUUUAUUAUGAUUAAUUUUAGUUGCUUGGUUUUCCUUGCUAAUUCCUGUGGGGUAGGUGCUUGGAAUUUUUCAGUAGUGGCCUUCUUUUGCAGGUCAAUUGCAGGGAGUUGAAGAGAGCUGAUCAUGUUGCUUUUCCUCUUAAAGGAUCCAAAAUGAAAGACGAAGCAAAUGAAAGUGUGCGCACAGUUUUACAACAGGCCCGAAAGCCGACACCCAAGCAGCAACAAGAAAGCACAUAUGCAUUUGGAAUUCCGGAGGCUGUUGUAGCUUGUUACAUGCAUUCGGCCUUCUUGAAAGGCUUGAAAUAUGCCAAUGCUUCUUUUACUGCUCGUCUUUCGCCUGUAUAACAAAUCUGUUUUCAUUGAUCAAGUGUUUCAACCAUAUGUUGCUGAUCAAUUGCCUGUUCGCCCCCAUUAUUAUUAUUAUUAUUAUUAUUAUUAUUAUUAUUAUACUAUCAUUUUUUUUUUCUCAAUAUUAUUUUUUAUACACAUCCUUAAAAAUAUUUAAUUGUACACAAAUUAUUUUUAUUAUAAUAUAAUUUUUUUUUUCAAACUAUUGUAUUUUUUUUUCUAAAUUAAAUUUCUUAUUUCUCAAUAAAAUAAAUCUUUCAAUAGUAAUAAUCAUACAUCAACAUUUUUACAAAUAUAAUUACUUUUCAAAAAUCAAAAUUAUUAAUUCCAAUGGUAGGUAAGACAAACUUAACUUUCUUGAAAAAUUCUAUAUAAUAAAACUAAUGACACAAAUUCAAUUCAUUUGUUUGACCAUUGAAAUUCUUUGACACGUGUUAUUAAUUUUGCAUUUUUUUGCCCUUUCAACCCUCACUUUGUUAGAAAAGUUUUCACAUUCAUGGUUUCCAUAUAGGAUAUUACAUGACAUUUCAGUUUUCCUUGCUUAGGCAUGUAUGGAGUUGUCAUGUCUCAUUCUACAUCAAAGGAUGCUAGUUACGAAUACAUCAUGCUGAAGGAGAAAUGAAGAUAACUUACAAUUACAACUGUGAGGACACCAUGCAUUUGGAGACAUUCUAGGUAGAGCUUUUAAAUGAUUAAAAACAAGAAAAAUCUCUAUGCUUGAAAUAUUCAAAUCAAAAUCAACAAUAAAUUGAAUGCAUUCCAAAUUUGAGUUAUAGGAUGCAUAUGUUCUUCACUAUUUAAGUUUAAUUAUAAUUUAUUCUAAAUAUGAGUUUCUAAAACUAAGUGUUUAGCUAAUCUUAAAAAAAAAAUGAAAUCAAGUUUUAGGCAUUAAGGUUCGGAUUUCCAAACUCAAAGUUGUAAAAUGACUAAUAUUUAAGAUGAAUUAUAUUGAGAAGUGCCUCAAAUUCCUAGUUGUCAUAUAUUCCUUGUUGUGAAAAGAAUAUUAUGUAGAAUAUUUUCUAAAUUCAUAUAUGGUUGUAAUAAAUUCUUUAUAGAAUAAAGAAACCUAGUAGGAAUAUCUCUCUAAAUAUUUUAGGUCAUGAGGAGGAAAAAAGUUAUGAUAUGAGAUGGAGAUAGAGAUGAGAGGAAGAGUGAGAGACACCUAAUGAAGUAAGAGUGCUCACGGCUUAAAUUAUAGAUACAAAGACUGGAAAAUGAUGGAUGUUUAGUAACCUAGUCGUUGCAUCUGUUUUUACUAUUUAUAAUAUCUUUUUUUUAUUGUAUGGUGGAAUGUUAUCUCUCAUUUAUAGGUGUAGAUAUGGUUGAUCGAAUCAUACUAAAACUUUGUGUACCUUUAUACAUGAAUUAUCUUUAUUUUUGUGUUCUUUCAUUCGUGUAUUUUCAUUCAGACUUCCACCAGCCCAAUAAAUGAUAUAAGAGUUUUUGUUGACGUAACAAACUCAACAUUACCCUUUCAGGAUGAAGUGAAAAGACCUUUUAAAGGAUUUGUAUUUUAUCAUAAAAUAGAAAAGAAAAGAAAGAAGCACAACAGAAUUUCGACCCCUUUGAACCCCUUGGCACAUAUCUUAAAGUAAUUAAGAAGGGGGAGGAAGAUGGCUUACCAAUAAGUGUCCAUGAGGGCUUGAAUGAACAACUAAAAUAGAGAGAUGGUGGAAUAUAAAGAGGACUUUUCUAGCAAGUGCACCUGGCAAUGGAGCUUAAAGCUUGAGAUCAGUACUGGAUGCUCUCAAUCUUUUAGGGUGUGGUUCCUGAUCAUCUGCUUGGUUUACCCCGGCAUCAUCAUGGCCUUUUUGAUGAUCCAACAACAUAGGCACAUUGUCAUGUAGAUAAUCAUGGGUGUAUAUCAGCUGAACUCCGCACCUCCUGAUAUUGAUAUGAGUAGCCCGAGGACCAUACCUAGCAACAAAAUCAGCCAGAAAGUGCCAUGGUUGUUUGCGGUGGUACUUACUUGGAAUAGCAUUCUUAUGAUAGAGAGUCACCAACAAUCGAUCUAAUGCAUCACAAUUACCGUAGCAUGAACGCAGCAACCAAAUGACGCGGUCAUCCACAACUUCAUCCGGAUCACCGCGCAAUCUCAGACUAAAUUGAGAUUCACGCAGAAAAUCAUUCUCGUGACGAAAAAGAGUGAAGAAAGCAAAUCCCAGAAAGUGGUCAUCCUCGUACCAAUUCAGAGGAGGUUCUAUUCUUACUUGGCUUCCAAUCUCCUGAUGCAAUACCCACCCUGGAAUUCCACCAUUUCCUAGGAUAAGAAUCAUCUUGCCUUCCUUGCAAUUCAAGUGCUGCAUAUACAAUCAAAGCUAAUAUGUAAUUGGAGUACUACUGGGUGGAUGAAAAGUUUUAAGUGUCGUAAUUAAACAAAAAUCGUACCUCAUUACUUGUUGGAUUGAACCAUUUGAGGAGGGAAGACCAGAGUAGAGAUGAUGGACUUGAUAACAUUUCCAGCUUCGUGCAAUGGUGGGCAUCUAUUUCUCGCAGACUCGAUGGAAGCUCUGGAAUGUCUUGGAGCAUCUUGCAGUGACUGAUAUCAAGGUAACGAAGCUUACGAAGUUGAGAGAUGCCAGAAGGUAUGCUAACCAUUAGAUUGCAGUUACUCAAAUCUAGUCGUUCUAAGGAGCAGAAGCCUUCCGGAUUCUUGGGAAACUUCUCCAAGUUUGAACAACAACCUUGUAGUGUCAGAUCUUUAAGGGAUCUCAAAUUAUAAAUGUUGUCUGGAAGAGUCACAAGGCAAUUGCUCAUAUCCAAACGCCAGAGGCUUUUCAGAUUUUGUGAUGAUGGUAGCUCUUUUAUACCAGUUCCUCUUAAAUCAAGAACUCCUAAGUAUUUCAUAUCCUCCGUGAUUUCUGGAAAAGUAUCUAGAUUUGAACAACCAGAGAGCUUGAUGUGAUGAAGGGACUUUAACCUGCAAAUGCUAUUUGGAAGACUCCUCAAGUUUUUGCAGUCUGACAUAAAUAACGCCUUAAGUCCAGUGAGAUGUUCUAUUGAGGAGGGUAAUUCCUUAAUACCACAUCCAUGAAGGCGAAGACAAUAUAAAGCUUUCAUACGACUUCUCUCCAUCUCUGGAAAUUCCUCCAAGUUUGAGCAUAAACUCAAGUUCAUAAUUUUAAGAGAGUCCAAGAGUUGAAUGCUUCUUGGUAAACUCUUAAGGUUUUUGCACCCACCCAAAUUCAACACGGUAAGUUUCUUGAGAUCUCCAAUAGAUGGAUCAACAACAUUCAAACUCGUACAAUGUGCAAGUUCUAACUUCUCUAGAUUUGGCAUAUUUGAGAAGUUCGAUAUUUCAGUGAGUUGCUUUGAUCCUAUUAAAUUUAAGAUUUUCAACCGUUCCAAAUGCUGUGACAAAAGGAAUUUUGGUUUAGUAAAUGAAUUUUUGCGAACAAAAAAUUGAUUUCAAACAAAAUAAUAUGAUCAUGAAAUACUAAUUAUACCUCAUUUCUGUGCCUAAGUUGUUUUAUGUUGCUAUCCUUCAUGUUGAGUUCAACAAGGUUCUCUCCAAGAGAAUUGGGCGGCAAUGAUUUCAAAGGGUAUCCUUCCCAAUGAAGAUAUCUCAACUCAUGUGCAGGGAAUUGAAAAUCUUUAGGAAGAAUAACUUUCAAUUGCUUUUCCAUAGUACCACAAUAACCGCUUGAAUAAAUCUUGAGCAAUCUAAGUUGUUUCAUCUUUGCAAAAGUCUUUUUACUAACUUGUAGUGGUGUCGAUCUCGACAAGUCCAAGAAUAUUGCCUCAACAUUUUUCAUCCCCUACAGACAAUAACAAAGGAUUAGGCAAGCAUAAAAGAGAUAAAACUAGCUAAAAUUGUAUGGAUAAGUAACUUAGACAAAAAUGAUAUUGCUCAAAUUUAAAUAUUUUUAUGAAGCUUAAGAAAGUUCAUGAGUUUGAUGGUUACCCCCAUUCUAAAUGCACGACACACAUCACUCGGAUCCCACAAUCUGCUCCAUUUUGUAGGAUCACCAGGAGAUUCACUACGAAUAAUGUUCCAUCCCAUUUCUUGUAUCAAAUCAUGCAUAAGUAUCUUAUUUUUAGAAAGAGAUAUAAGACACUUAUCACAGAGGCCUUUUAUUCCUCUCUCUGCAUACAAAUUACAACCGUCCAAUAUUCUUGAAACAAAGUCUUUGUCUUCCCCUUUAAAACAACAUGCAAUAUCAAGAAAUAUUUUCUUCUGUGUAUAAUCUAAUCCGUUAAAGCUUACUUUAAGCACAUUUUGAAUUUUCACUUCAGGUUCUCUUUCCAAUUUACACAAUUCACUUUCCCAUUGGAGUAUUGUCUUGUUAAACAAGAGAGAACCGAGGACUUUUAGAGCUAAAGGAAGGCCAUGACAAUAAUAGACUACACGAUCCGAGAGGUGGAAAGUCUUGUUUAUGAAGAUUUUGUCUAAAAGCAAAGAGACUUAAAAGCUCACGAGCUUGUUCAAAAUUUAAUUCCUCAACCUCAUAUACGUCAUCCAUUUCUUGUAACAAAUGUUUACUUCUAGUUGUUAUGAUGACUCUGCUUCCUCUUCCAAGCCAAUCACGAUUUCUGAGUAAAUAUUCUAAUUGAUCUGAAUCAUCAAUGUCAUCAAGAACAAUAAAAACUCUUUUAAAUCGGAGAACAUUUUUUAUCAUAUUGGCUCCUUGGCCAACAUUGCUUACAUUUUGAUUUCUCUCCACUUGUAGUAGAUCACAAAGAAGUUGAUUUUGUAAAUGAUGCAAACCCAUAGUAUUGCCAACUUCUCUAACAUUUUCGAGAAAGCUCAUAUACUCAAAUUCAUGAGAAAAUUUAUUAUAUAUAACUUUGGCGAUACUCGUCUUACCCAUUCCACCUAUUCCACAUAUACCAAUUAUACGAACAUCAUUCAAUUGAUCAACACAUAGUUGCCGAAUUAUCUCAUUUACAUGGGAAUCCAUACCAACCAAGUUGGCACCAACAUCAAACAUUCUACAAUUCAAUCUCAUGAAUAUGUUGUUGACGAUUUUCUUAAUAUGCUCAGACUCAUACCUGCCAAUUGUAAAGUACAGGUGAUGAUUAAUUAGGCUAUAGCUGAUUAAAAAACAAAUACAUGUUAAGCUUCUUCAUGAAAAAUGAGUUAUAGUAAAAAAAAUUAUAUCAAAAGUAUUAAGUUUUAGAACUCAAAUUACAUUUUUAGGACAUUUUUAUUGUAUCAAGUAUACAAGACAAUGAAAAUAAAAUAUGUAUUGAGACAUUGUCAAAUUGAUUUUCUUUUUGGGAACAUUUAUAGGCUGCUAAGCAUGGAGCAAAUUUAUAUCAAACAAAAUCAUAUUGUAAUGACCCACUCUCUUGUGCAUAUAUAGAUAUCAUUUGCAGCUCUCUCUCUCUCUCUAUGUUAUAUGUAACAUUAUAAUUACCCAAUCCCCUAUUCACAAUGGAGACACAAGGUCCUCAUCAUAUCUCAUAAUAUCAUGGGUUUGCAGGUCUUCAGUGACUUUCUUGAUAUACUUUGAUUCAUGAGUUGCAAUCAUAAAUGACCUUCAAAUCUAUUCAAGUAUUACACUGUAAUUAUAAAAAUGCCUGAUUCCUGUAGCAGUAAAUAAAACCUAACUUAUAAAAGAAAGUUGAAUGGAAAUAAAUAAAGCUUUACCCAUCCUUCACAUGCUCUCCAGAUAUAUUGGUUGCUUCUGUCAAUGCGCUCCUCCAACUUUCCACCUUCUCUUUCAUCUCUUCUGAAUCUUCUUUGUAAUUAGAAAAUGCCUCUCCAAACUUUCCUGUCUGGUUUCGUACAUGGGAUGGAUCCACAUGGUAGAAAAUCGGUACCACAGUUUGUUUCAUUUCUUUCCUGCACUUCAUGAUACUCACCAGCUCAUCUAAACACCAUCUGGAACCAGCAUAGUUUUCCGAGAAAACUAUUAGGGCAAACCUUGAUUCUUCAAUAGCUUUUAGGAGUUCAGGCGCAAUCUCUUCCCCUCUCUUAAGUGAUUCAUCAUCUCUAAAGGUAGUAAUACCUCUUCGAAACAAAUUUGCAUACAAGUGAUCAGUGAAAUUGAAUCAGGUGUCUUCACCUCUAAAACUCAAGAAAACAUCAUACUUCCAUUGUGGGAUGAAAAUAGAAAUAGAAUUUGUGGAAGCCAUAGGAAACUUUGCCAAAAUUAGAACUCAGAAGAGAUUUUGCAGAAUUGAAUGUAGAUUUUGCCAAAAUUAGAACUCAGAAGAGAUUUUGCAGAAUUGUGAAUGUAGAUUGUGCUGUUUUUUUUGCAAGAAUUUGGUGAUGAAAGACUUUGGGUCAAUGUUGUGUACAGAGGAAAAAAAAAAAGAGUGGGUAGCGUCCGGGGGCACUGAGUACGACUUUCUGAGGAGGACAGAUUUGAGUGUGAUCAGUCCACCACGUGGAGCACUACAGCUGGUCAUCGGUGACAGUGGGUUUUAAAAAGCAGCGCCCCAUAUAAAUCUCCUCCAACCGUUGCGAGUCUGUUUAAAUCCUCAUCUACUCGCUCUCUUCUUCUGCCACCUUUCUAAAUUAUUCUCAUCUCUAUUAAGUUAUGUUGGAUUUUCGUGUGAAGCAACAGGAAGGAAAAAUAAAAGUAAAAGGUCCCAUAAAAAUACGAAAAGUAUCAAAUAUAUUUAAAAUUUAUCAAAAAUUUAUAUAUUUUAAAAUUAUUUAAUCUUUAUAUAAUAAAAAAUUAAAUAAAAUAGAUUUUAAUUUAUUAACUUUAUAUGUAUUUUAUAUUUUCUUUCAUUUUUUUUUCUUCUCUCUUAUUUUGCCUUUAAUUUUUUUGAAAUCUAAUAGGGUCUUAAAAUUUUUUUUAAAGGGUUAAUUUCAUUAAUUUCUCUCAAAUUGUAGCUAAAUACAUUUAUCUACCAUAGUUUUAAAAUCUUAUUAUGUACUUUUUUAUUUUGAUUAAAAUAAAAUAUGAGUAAAAAAUAUAUAUAUAUAUAUAUAUAAAAGAGAUAUUGAAUGAAAUUUCAAAUUUAAAAAGUUAAGACAUAUUUAAUCCAAAGAGGUGAAUGAAAUUAAUUUUUUUUUUAAUUAAAAAUAUUUUGUACAUGAUAAGGAGAUCCCAAAUUAACGUAGUUGCAUAAUGAAACAGUGAGCACGCGUUGCUGCAGAUGGGAUCGCAUCUUAGUUAGGGUGAUGUCAGUGCCAGCUGGAAGGGUGGUGGUUGAAGAAUGAAUUAUUAUAGAGUGAGGGGUUCUUCUUCGGUACCUACUCUCUCUUCAUUUUAGGGUACUACCCACUUUAACCCCACUAAUAAAAUUACACGUGUAAAGUACAUAUUAUUAAAAAAUUUAUAGAAACUUAUCAAGUUGAUAAAAAUGGCUUGUUGAUAAAAAAUAAUUACAAACAUUUCAUAUAUUUUGUUAAAGAUGGCUUGUUGGUAAGAAAGAUGACUUAUUGGUAAAGUACCCAUAUUAAUUUGUUUGUUAAAAUUAAAACAACUUCAAUAUAUGUAAUAUUAAUUUUUCUAUCAUUUUUGGAGGUUUUGUUUUUUCAGUAUUUCUAUGAUGCUUGAAAUCAGGUUGUCAAUAUAUCUAUUAUAAUCGAUAUUUUCAUCCUUAGUUUUUUAUGAGUUUGGAAACAUGCGAUAUCAACCAAAUAUAAAAAAAAUUGCAUUUGAAUGUGGUUUUUUGAAUAUGCUUUCGACCUAAUAUUCAACACCAAUAAUUGGACUUUUGAGUUAUGGUUAUUCUUCUAACCUAAUGUUGAAUUUCAACAAUAAAAAACUUUGAUCAGUUGUUAGCAAUAUUUUUAGAAUCAAAUUGAGUAUUAAAUCGAAAACAUUGUUGAUUUACAGUUUAUUGGUUGGAUCGGUGGUUGAAUUAUGAUCAAACUAGUGACAUUAUAAAUAUAUAAUUUAUAUUUUAAUAAAAUUUAAAAUAAUUUAUAUAUAUAUAUAUAUAUAUAUUAUUAAAUUUUUUAAUAAUAUUUUAAUUUUUUAUGUGAAAUUAAAUGAUAAUAUAAAUAUAAAUGUAUCAAUAUAUUAAAUUUUAUUAAAUAAAAUAUGUAUAAUAUUUAAAUAUGAAAAUAUAUAUAAGAUGAAAAGAAAAUUAUAAUAUUUAAUUUAAUUAUAUAUCUAUGUAUUUUGUUAUUUUAAAAUUUUAAAAUUAUUAUAUUGAUUAAUUUAUAUUGUUUUCAUGUUUAUAAUUAAUAAUUAUUAUAAAAAUAAUAGUAGGUAAAAAUAUUUAUAUUUGUUUAAAUGUUUAAUAUGAUAAAAAAUUUAAAAACAGAUAAAUAGAUAUUUACCAAAUUAUUAAUCAAACAACUGCGUAGCAUGGUGGUGUGUCCUUCAUUUUGUUUAACCAUAAGUCACACGUUCAAUUCCCCACCAUGCAAAGCUCCUUUUAUUAUUAUCAAAGAUCCCAUAAACCACUUAUGUGGUAUCUAUAUCUGCAAACCUUGGGAAUGAGCUAACGGGGCUGGGAGUGAAAGGAUCUGGGCCAGCAGAUAGGCAUCUCUAUGCCUAAAGGUCUUCUGCCUGAAGUAAAUUUUAGAUGAGUAAAAACCCAUUUAGGUUUUGACCUUGACCGGCCCGUGAAUAACCGGACGGUCUAGUCCGGUUUCUAAAACAAUGGUUGUUAGUGUUGGAUUUCUCAUUGUCUCAUCUUAUUUUUGUGUUUACAAAUCAAUAAAGGAAAUUUUUAGCAAAAUCAAUUUUUAGUUGAAAAAUAUGUAACAUAUGAUAUGGAACACAAUUAGACUAUCAAGGAUUUGACUGGCCUGUAAAGAACCGGUCCAGUCUGGUUUUUAAAACAAUGGGUGUUAGUGUUGGAUUUCUCAUUGUCUCAUCUUAUUUUUGUGUUUACAAAUCAGUAUCUGAUAUUUGAUUAUGAAAGGAAAGGAAAUUUUUUAGCAAAAUCAAAUUUUAGUUGAAAAAUAUGUAACAUAUGAUAUGGAACACAAUUAGACUAUCAAGGGAUGUCUAUUCAUAGAUACAUUUGUCCCAAAUUAUCAAAGAUUAAUAGUUUUUUAAUCCAAUAUUUGAAAUGUAGAGUAAGUGGACAACUAAAAAGCUAGAGCUGAGUAUAAUUCUUUUGAAAGAAAGAAUUUGAGCAUUUCAUACAAUAGUCCUUUUUUCACAAGAUAAUAACAUUAGAAGAAUAUUGUGAAUUUAGUAAAAGAUGGAUAUAGUAGAACUACUAAAACAUAUAUUAUUUUAUACAAUAGUUGAAGGAAAUAUAAAAUUUUCUUGAAAGAAGGAAACAAUUAAAAUAUUUGGAAAACUCCAUAGUAAAUCAUAUAUUAUUCCAUACAAAAUUAAUUAUUUUUUCAAAAAUUCAUGGUAAAUCAAUGUUUAAUUUUUAUUUUUAUUUUUAUAAGUAUUAUGUUAAGGAGCCUAUUUAUUUUUAGAAUUUUUGUAUAUAAUUAAUUAAUGUGAUUAGUGUUAAAUUAUUGUGGAUGCAAUUUAGAAAAGCUAUAAGUCCUAAUUGUUCGACUCUUUAUAGGUUACAACUAAUUAAUUAUUUUGAAAAUUUUAUUUAAAAUUGUUCGAUUAAUAUUGUAUAAUAUAUUGUCAUGAUAUUGCAAUAUAUUAAUUAUUAAAAUAUAAUCUUAGUUUGCUUUGAUUUUGUUAAUGUAAUAAAUGGAUAGACCAUAUUAAUUCAAUGAUGUUAUUUUAAUAGUCAAAACAUAGGAAAUAUAAUCUUAAUUUAAAACAUUAAUGUACAUAUUUUUCUAAAUAAUGUAUAAUGAAAUUAUUCUUCUUAACAAUAAAUUUAUUUUUUGAUACACUUAUUUUUCUAGGAAAUGUACUUUUUUUCAAAAUGUAAUUGUUUUUUGGAAGGAUGUACUUAUUUAUAUUAUUACAAAUAAGUGAAAGUUUAUAAACAAUUUAUGGUAAAAAAAAAUUAAUGUAUAUAUAAUGUAGUUUUUUAAAGAAAAAUAAUUAAUUUUCAAAAGGAUCUGCUUAUUUAUAAGAGAUGUUUUUAUUUUUAUUUUUUAUAAUAUGCUUAUUUUUUGAAGGAUGUAUUUGUUUAUAUUGAUACAAAUAAUUAAAAGUUCACUAGUACUUUUAUGAUAAACCAUUAAUAUAUAUAUAUAUAUAUAUAUAUAUAAUUUAUUCAUUUUUCACAAGAAUGUACUUAUUUUUUUAAAGAAUAUACUUAAUUUCUAAGCAUUUGCUUAUUUUCCAAAUUAGGACAAAUGAGUCACGAUAUUGAUAUGAUGCAUUUAUUUUUUAAUAGGGUGUACUUAUUAUCCUUUAAUGUAGAAUAUACAAAAUGGUUCUUUAGAAAUUUAUAAUACUUGUACAACGAUAAAUAUUUAUUAUGAUUAAUUUUAGUUGCUUGGUUUUCCUGUGUUUCAAAAUUUUUUAUAAGAAUUCUUUUAACUGUAAUUCUAGAGCAACCUUGAAACUGAGGAUUAACAGCUCGUUGCAUUGUUCCCGUAAAAUCAUGAGUUUCCAUGAAAUUGAAAGGUUGUUUUGCUCUUAUUAUAUAACCAAUCAUUUUUUUACGACAAUAAGAUUCAUCCUAAGAAAAUGUUUUUAAAUUUCCACUUUCAUCUUUACCUAAUUGCAUAUAAUUUCUAAUAUCUACAUUAUUUUUAGUUUUACAAUUUUCAUGAUGCCUUUUUAAAUGACUUGUACUUGCAUUUGAGCCACCACUAAGAAGUUUGUUACAAAUUUUACAUUUUGCUUUUAUUUUAUUUCUAAAUUUAUUUCUAUUCUAUCAAAAAAAUUCCAUAUAUUUGAAGUAAAUUUUUUGCUAUCACAUGCAUUAAAUGAAGAACAAGAACCACUUGCCAUAAUUAUAAUUAUUGAUAAAAUAUUAUGCUAAAAAUAAUAAAUGUAAAAUUAAAAUGUAACAAAUAAAUAAAAGUAAAGGUAAAGUAUGUUACUAAAUUGGAGAACCGAAGUAGAAAUUCCUUCAAAUUUGAACUCUUUGAACCGCCAAUGCUUGUUUUUCACCACCAAUAAUAUUGAAUAAUUUGAGACAAAAUGCAAUAAUCGGAAAUAUUGUGGAAUGGGAGAGAGCUUAAGAGUUGAGAGAAUAGAAAAAAAUUGAGGGUAUUUAAUAUUUAUAGGGAUUUAAAUAUUAGGAUUUAUUUAUUUAUUUUUUUUUAAAUUUCAAGACCGUUCAACGGUCAUAAUAUUGAAUUAUGAGUGGCAGACAUGUUCAACGGUCAUGUGAUCGUUGAACAGCCAGCUCACUUUUAUUUUUUUUCAAAAAUCAUACAAUAUUUCUAAUAUAUAUAUAACUAAUGCAAAAUAGUUACACAAAAAAGGGCUACCUUAGUUGGUGGCUAGCUCCUUUAUCCCCUUCCCUUCAAAACUUAAAACUAUUUUAAUUUUUACCCAAGCCCGCCCAUCCGGCCCGCCCGGGUAGCCCGCCAGCCGGCCCGCUGGGCAGCCGGCCCGCUCAGCUUGAGGGCCCACGGGCCUUAGAUAUACCAACGGCCCGGCUCGGCCCGUUGACCAGUCAAAGAGCUCAGUGGCCAGCCCCGGGUUGGGCUAUGGGCCUUACUCCUCCGGGCCGGGAGGUUCGGCCCGGCCCGUUGGAGACCCUUAGUUUUAUAUGAUAAAAAUUUUAAAAACAAAUAAAUAGAUAUUUACCAAAUUAUUAAUCAAACAACUGCGUAGCAUAUGGUGGUGUGUCAUUCGUUUUGUUUAACCAUAAGUCACACGUUUAAUUCCCCACCAUGCAAAGUUCCUUUUAAUAUUAUCAAAGAUCCCAUAUCGGAAACCUAUAAACCACUUAUGUGGUAUCUAUAUCUGCAAACCUUGGGAAUGAGCAAACGGGGCUGGGAGUGAAGGGAUCUGGGCCAACAGAUGGGCAUCUCUACCUAUGCCUAAAGGUCUUCUGCCUGAAGUAAAUGGGCUGGGAAUGGAUGAAUCUGGGCCGCUAGAUGAGUAAAAACCCAUUUAGUAAAAGAUGGAUACAGUAAAAGGACUAAAACAUAUAUUAUUUUAUACAAUGGGUUAAGGAAAUAUAAAAUUUUCUUGAAAGAAGGAAACAAUUAAUAUAUUUGGAAAACUCCAUAGUAAAUCAUAUAUUAUUCCAUACAAAAUUAAUUAUUUUUUCAAAAAUUCAUGGUAAAUCAAUGUUUAAUUUUUUUUUUUUUAUGUAAGUAUUAUGUUAAGGAGCCUAUUUAUUUUUAGAAUUUUUGUAUAUAAUUAAUUAAUGUGAUUAGUGCUAAGUUAUUGUGGAUGCAAUUUAGGAAAGUUGUAGGCCCUAAUUGUUUGACUCUUUAUAGCUUACAACUAAUUAAUUAUUUUGAAAAUUUUUAUUUAAAAUUGUUGGAUUAAUAUUGUAUAAUAUAUAUUGUUGUGAUAUCGCAAUAUAUUAAUUAUUAAAAUAUAAUCUUAGUUUGCUUUGAUUUUGUUAAUGUAAUAAAUGGAUAGACCAUAUUAAUUUAAUGAUGUUAUUUUAAUAGUCAAAACAUAGGAAAUAUAAUCUUAAUUUAAAACAUUAAUGUACAUAUUUUUCUAAAUAAUGUAUAAUGAAAUUAUUCUUCUUAACAAUAAAUUUAUUUUCCGAUAUACUUAUUUUUCUAGGAAAUGUACUUUUUUUCAAAAUGAAAUGGGUGCUUGGAAUUUUUCAGUAGUGGCCUUCUUUUGCAGGUCAGUUGCGGGGAGUUGAAGAGAGCUGAUCAUGUUGCUUUUCCUCUUAAAGGAUCCAAAAUGAAAGACGAAGCAAAUGAAAGUGUUUCGGCUGGUCUCUCCUACUGGUCUCUCCUACAGCAUUGAAAUCAAGGAUGCUUACAUUCCACCGUGGAUAAGAUCCAGUAUAUGUGCAACCAUGGGUUCGGAAGGGAGGAGCUUUGAGGCAAGGCAUGGCAAAUUUUGGAUAUUACAUGACCUUUCAGUUUUCCUUGCUUAGACAUGUAUAGAGUUGUCAUGUCUCAUUCUACAUCAAAGGAUGCUAGUUACGAAUACAUCAUGCUGAAGAAUUAGUACACCCUGUUAAAAAAUAAGUGCAUCGAAUCAACAUCAAGGUGGGGAUCACUCUACUAAAUGGUGGCAAGCCUGGCUUCAAGAAUGGCAGUGCAGUGGUUCUCAUGGUGGUUAGAAGGGCAGCAGGGUGCUCCAGAGUCCAGCCAUGGUGGUGCUAAGUCAACAUUGAUUCUUCAGUUGUUGUAACCUGUACAUAGAAUGAUGGUUUUGGAUUGUCUCAAGAUUUACUAAGAAGAAGAAGAAGAAGAAGCAGAAGAUAAGACAUUGAAGGUACAGUAAAGAAUUUAAGCAACAACUCCAAUCCCUUUGUUAUAUAGACUUGAAGGAGAAAUGAAGAUGACUUACAAGUACGACUGUAAGGAAACCCUGCAUUUGAAGACAUCCUUCCUAGGUAGAGCUUUUAAAUGAUUAAAAACAUGAACAACUCUAUGCUUGAAAUAUGCAAAUCAAAAUCAACAAUAAAUAGAAAUAAGAAGCUGAAAAAACUGUCACGUGAUGCUAUUGUCAUUCUAGGAACAAGUUCCUCACUUUAAGACUCUUUUACUUUUAGAAUAUUCUACCAUCAACCCAUGAUCAGCCAUAUUUCCAUAAGGAUUCAUAUUAAUUUAAGAUGGAUUUAUUAUAGAACUAAAAUGAGAAUACAUUUUAAAAUGUUUAUUGGGAGUAAUUCAAUUAUAUUUCAAUAUAUUUGAAAAAUAACACUACUAAGAAAUUUAAGAUACUUUCCAUAAUUGAUGAUAAAAAUAUGAAAAUAAUUUUAGACAAAAGUUUUGAUCUAGAAAAAUCAACAAUUUUAAUUUUGUUGUUGUCUUAUAUAUAGUAGCUUAAUUUUGUUGUUGUCCUAUAUAUAGUAGCUUGAGAUAUAUACUUCACUCCGAAUGCAUUCCAAAUUUGAGUUAUAGAUGGAUAUGUUCUUCACUAUUUAAGUUUAAUCGAUAAUUUGUUCCAAAUAUGAAUUUCUGAAACUAAGUGUUUAGCUAAUCUAAAAGAAAGAAAGUCAAGUUUUAGGCAUUAGGGUUCGGAUUUCCAACCUCAAUAAAGUUAUAAAAUGGCUAAUAUUUAAGGUGAACCAUGUUGAGAAUUAAGUGUCUCAAAUUCCUAAUUUUUAUGUAUUCUUUUUUGUAGAAAUGAUAUUAUAUAGAGAAUUUUCAAAGUUCAUAUGUGAUUGUAAUUAGAUUCUUUAUAGAAUAAAAAACUUAGUAAGAAUAUCUCUCUAAAUAUUCUAAAUCAUAAGAGGAAAAAUGUUAUGAUAUAAGAUAGAGAUAGAGAUAAGAAGAAGAGUAAGAGAUAUUUGAUGGAGUAAGAAUGCUUACAACUGAAGUUGAAGACAUAAAGACUAGGAAAACAAUGAAUGUUUAGGGACCCAAAAGUUGCUUAUGUUUUGUUAUCUGUAAUAUUUUUUUUAUUAUAUAGUGAAAUGUUAUCUCUCAUUUGUAGGUGUAGACAUACAUGUUGACUAAACCAUGCAUUUUAAAACUUUGACACCUUUAUAUGUGGAUUAUCUUUACUUUAUGCGUUCUUUCAUUCAUAUAUUUACAUUGAAACUUUUGCUAGCCUAAUAAAUGGUAUUAGAGCUUUUGUUGGCCUAACAAACUUAACGUUGUCCUUUCAAGAUGUAGUGAAAAGGCCUUUUAAAAGAUUUGUAUUUUAUCAUAAAAUAGAAAAGAAAGAAAAGAAACAUUAGAGAAUUUCGACUCCUAACCACUUGGCAAUAUCCUUAUCUUAUAUUGAAGAUAAAUAACUAGUCCAAAUUUUAUGGUGUUAUAUAGUCCACACAUAGAUUAAAGUAAUUAAGGAGGAAGAUGGCUUACCAGUAAGUUUCCAUGAGGGCUUGAAUGAACAAAUAAAAUAGAGAGAUGGUGGAAUAUAAGGACUUAGCUAGCAAGCGCACCUGGCAGUGGAGCUUAAAGCUUGAGAUCAGUGCUGGAUGCUCUCAAUCUUUUACGGCAUGGUUCCCGAUCAUCUGCUUGGUUUUUCCCGGCAUCAUCAUGGCCUCUUUGAUGAUCCAACAACAUCGGCACACUGCUGUUUAGAGAAUCACGGGUGUACAUCAUCUGAACUCCGCACCUCUUGAUAUUGGGAUGAGUAACCUCACCAUUAAUCCGGGUAGAAAAAUCAAACGCAGCCAGAAAGUGCCAUGGUUGAUUGCGGUGGUACUUAUUUGGAAUAGCAUUCUUAGGAUAGAGAGUCACCCACAAUUCAUCUGAUACAUCACCAUUAAUCUCGUGACAUUUACACAAAGAAUCCAUGGAGAGGUGAUCCACAACUUCAUCCGAAUCACCGUGCAAUGUCAGAUCAAAAUAAUAUGGAACCUCAAAAUGAUUCCCUUUAUGAUAAAGAAAGAAGAAAGCCAAUCCCAGAAAGUGGUCAUUCUCGUACCAAUUCAAAGGAAGCUCUAUUCUUACUUGGCUUCCAAUCUCCUGAUGCAACACCCACCCUGGAAUUCCACCGUUUCCCGGAAUAAUAAUUACCUUGCCUUUCUUCCAAUUCCGAUUCAUGUACUGCAUAUACAAUCAAAGCUAAUAUGUAAUUGGAGUACUACUAGGUGGAUGAAAAGUUUUAAGUGUCGUUAUUAAAUAAAAAUCAUACCUCAUUACUUGUUGGAUUGAACCGUUUGAACCAUUUGAGGAAAGGACAGAGUAGAGAUGAUGGACUUGAUAACAUUUCCAGCUUCGUGCAGCCGUGGGCAUCUAUUUGUGGUAGACUUGAUGAAAGCUCUGGAAUUUCUUGGAGCAUCUUGCAGUGACUGAUAUCAAGGAGACGAAGUCUACAAAGUUGAGUGAUGCCAGAUGGUAUGCUAACCAUAUGGUUUCCACUUAGAUUUAAUGUACACAAGGAAUAUAGACCCCAGAUAUCAGUGGGUAUCGACCCUUCCAUUAGAUUGCAGUGACUCAAAUCUAGUUCUACUAAGGUGCAUAAGCCUUCCAGAUUCUUGGGAAACUUCUCCAAGUUUGAACAACCAGGGAGUAUCAAUCGUCUAAGACAUCUCAAAUCAUUAAUGCUGUCUGGAAUAGUCACAAGGUUCUUGCAAUUGCUCAAAUACAACAUUUGGAGGCUUUUCAGAUUUUGAAUUGAUGAUGGCAGUUCUUUUAUAGCUGUUCCUUCCAAACCAAGCACCUCUAAGUAUUUCAUACCCUCCAUGAUUUCGGGAAAGUUCCGUAGGCUUGAGCACCCAUUGAGAAAGAGUCGGCGAAAAGAUUUAAACCUACGAAUGCUGCUUAGAAGACUCCUCAAGUUCUUGCAAUCACUCAAAAACAAUGAAUUAAUAUUAAGAAGAUGUUCCAUUGAUGAUGGUAGCUCUUUUAUACCUGUUCUUAAAUCAAGAAAUUCUUUCAUAUCCUCCAUGAUUUCUGGAAAAGCAUCUAGAUUUGAACAAACAAAGAGUUGGAGGUCUUCAAGGGACUUUAACCUGCAAAUGCUACUUGGAAGACUCCUCAAGUUUUUGCAGUGUUUCAUAUACAACUCCUUAAGUCCAGUGAGAUAUUCUAUUGCGGAGGGUAAUUCCUUAAUAGCAGAUCCAUCAAAGUGAAGAUAAGUUAAAGCUUCCAUAGAACUCUCCUCUAUCUCCAGAAAUUUCUCCAAGUUUGAGCAAUUAUUCAAGUAAAUGGUUUCAAGAGAGUCCAAGUAUUGAAUGCUACUUGGUAAGCUCGUAAGGUUUUCACACCCACUCAAACUCAACAAAGUUAGCUUCUUGAGAACUCCAAUAGAUGGAUCAACGAUAUUCAAACUUGUACAAUAUCCAAGUUCUAACUCCUCUAGAUUUGGCAUAUUUGAAAAGUUUGAUAUUUCAGUGAGCUGCUUUGAUCCUAGUAAAUUUAAGAACUUUAACUUUCCCAAACACUGUGACAAAAGGAAUUUUGAUUUAGUACAAAAUGAAUUUUCAUGAACAAAAAAUUAAUCUCAAACAAAAUAAUAUGAUGAAAUACUAAUUAUACCUUAUUUCCUUGCCAAAGUUGUUUUAUGUUGCUAUCCAUCAUGUUGAGUACAACAAGGUUCUCUCCAUGAAAAUUUGACGGCAAUGAUUUCAAAGGGUAUCCUUUCCAAUGAAGAUAUCUCAACUCUUGUGAAGGAAAUUGAAAAUCUUCAGGAAGAAUAAUUUUAUACUCCUUUUUCAUGAAACCACAACAAUCCAUCCCAUAAAUCUUGAGCAAUCUAAGUCGUUUCAUCUUUGCAAAAACCUUUGUACUAAAUUGUAGUUGUUUUGAUCUAGACAAGUUUAAGAAUAUGGCCUCAACAUUUUUCAUCCCCUACAAACAAUAACACAGGAUUAGGCAAACAUAAAAAAGAUAAAGCUAUCUAAAAUUGUAUGGAUAUGUAACUUAGACAAAAAUGAUAUUGCUCACAUUUACGUAUUUUAAUGAAGCUUAAGAAAGUUCAUGAGUUUGAUGGUUACCUUCUUCAUUGUAAAUGCACGAUACACAUCACUCGGAUCCCACAAUCUGCUCCAUUUUCCAGGAUUAUCAGGAAAUUCACUACGAAUAAUGUUCCAUCCCAUUUCUUGUACCAAAUCAUGCAUAAGUAUCUUAUUUUCAGAAAGAGAUAUAAGACACUUAUCAUAGAGGACUUUUAUUCCUAUCUNNNNNNNNNNNNNNNNNNNNNNNNNNNNNNNNNNNNNNNNNNNNNNNNNNNNNNNNNNNNNNNNNNNNNNNNNNNNNNNNNNNNNNNNNNNNNNNNNNNNNNNNNNNNNNNNNNNNNNNNNNNNNNNNNNNNNNNNNNNNNNNNNNNNNNNNNNNNNNNNNNNNNNNNNNNNNNNNNNNNNNNNNNNNNNNNNNNNNNNNNNNNNNNNNNNNNNNNNNNNNNNNNNNNNNNNNNNNNNNNNNNNNNNNNNNNNNNNNNNNNNNNNNNNNNNNNNNNNNNNNNNNNNNNNNNNNNNNNNNNNNNNNNNNNNNNNNNNNNNNNNNNNNNNNNNNNNNNNNNNNNNNNNNNNNNNNNNNNNNNNNNNNNNNNNNNNNNNNNNNNNNNNNNNNNNNNNNNNNNNNNNNNNNNNNNNNNNNNNNNNNNNNNNNNNNNNNNNNNNNNNNNNNNNNNNNNNNNNNNNNNNNNNNNNNNNNNNNNNNNNNNNNNNNNNNNNNNNNNNNNNNNNNNNNNNNNNNNNNNNNNNNNNNNNNNNNNNNNNNNNNNNNNNNNNNNNNNNNNNNNNNNNNNNNNNNNNNNNNNNNNNNNNNNNNNNNNNNNNNNNNNNNNNNNNNNNNNNNNNNNNNNNNNNNNNNNNNNNNNNNNNNNNNNNNNNNNNNNNNNNNNNNNNNNNNNNNNNNNNNNNNNNNNNNNNNNNNNNNNNNNNNNNNNNNNNNNNNNNNNNNNNNNNNNNNNNNNNNNNNNNNNNNNNNNNNNNNNNNAUGGAGCAUCUUACUUAGGGUGAUGUCAGUGGCAGCUGGAAGGGUGGUGGUUGAAGAAUGGAUUAUUAUAGAGUGAGACUUGUAGGAAUGGUGAAUGGGAACAAAAUUUGUUGUCUACUUCAAUUUGCUAUACCUUUGUUUAUCUUAUUCAUAUUUUAUGUGAUUUUUCUCCACUCACACCUCACCAUGCGUUCAAACAUACGACUCUUGAGGAUGCUAUGGGAUUUCUCAAAUGACGGGCACUUCCUUAAAUUUACAAAAUAACAUAUGACUCCCUAAUUCUCUGGGCACUUGCCUCAUAAAUAUGGCAAUGUUUCCUCUUCCAUGUUCAUUUUUAAAGCUAACUAGAAAAAUAACAUAACUUGCUAGGGAAGGGGCUUGGAACCAGAGACAUUGAGCAAGGGAUGACAGCCUCUUACCACCAAACUACUUGGGUAUUAUAAAACCACAUAAAUUCUAUUAUAUCUUUUAUAUUUUAUAAAUUAUAAAUUAAUUCAAAUCAAAUUAUUUUAAAUUAAUUAUUUUAUUAUUUAUGUUAUAAAAUAAUUAAAUAUAAGGCAAAUAUUAAUUUUUAAAUAAAAUUAUUGAUAUUUUUAAAUAAAAAAAACUUACAUAUAUUAUUAUUUAUUUUAUAUCCUUCAAUAUAUAUUAAUUUGUUUGUUAAAAUUAAAACAACUUCAAUAUAUAUAUUAUUAAUUUUUCUAUCAUUUUUGGAGGUUUUUUUUUUUUUUUUUUAAUAUUUCUAUGAUACUUGAAAUCAGGUUGUCAAUAUAUUUGUUAUAAUCGAUAUUUUCAUCCUUAGUUUUUGAUGAGUUCACAAACAUACGAUAUCAACCUAAUAUAAAAAAAAAAUUGCAUUUGAAUGUGGUUUUGUGACUAUGCUUCGGACCUGAUAUUCAACAUCAAUAAUUGGACUUUUGGGUUAUGAUUAUUCUUUUAACCUAAUGUUGAAUUUCAACAACAAAAAACUUUGAUAAGUUGUUAGUAAUAUUUUUUUAAUCAAAUCGAACAUUAAACCAAAAACAUUAUUGGUUUACAGUUCAUUGGUUGGAUUGGUGGUCAAAACUAUAAUCAAACUAAUGACAUCAUAAAUAUAUAAUUUAUAUUUUAAUAAAAUUUAAAAUAAUUAUAAUAAAUUAAUAUAUAUAUAUAUAUAUAUAUAUAUAUUAUUAAAAUUUUUAAUAAUAAUUUAUUUUUUAUGUGAAAUUAAAUGAUAAAUAUAAAUAUAAAUGUACCAAUAUAUUAAAAUUUAUUAAAUAGAAUAUGUAUAAUAUUUAAAUAUGAAAGUAUAUAUAAGAUGAAAAGAAAAUUAUAAUAUUUAAUUUAAUUAUAUAUCUAUGUAUUUUGUUAUUUUAAAAUUUUAAAAUUAUUAUAUUGAUUAAUUUAUAUUGUUUGAAUGUUUAUAAUUAAUAAUUAUUAUAAAAAUAAUAGUAGAUAAAAAUAUUUAUAUUUGUUUAAAUGUUUUAUAUGAUAAAAAUUUUAAGAACAGAUAAAUAGAUAUUUACCAAAUUAUUAAUCAAACAACUGCGUAGCAUGGUGCUGUGUCCUUCAUUUUGUUUAACCAUAAGUCACACGUUCAAUUCCCCACCAUGCAAAGCUCCUUUUAUUAUUAUCAAAGAUCCCAUAUCGGAAACCUAUAAACCACUUAUGUGGUAUCUAUAUCUGCAAACCUUGGGAAUGAGCUAACGGGGCUGGGAGUGAAGGGAUCUGGGCCAGCAGAUGGGCAUCUCUACCUAUGCCUAAAGGUCUUCUGCCUGAAGUAAAUGGGAUGGGAAUGGAUGAAUCUGGCCUGGUAGAUAAGUAAAAACCCACUUAGGUUUUGACCUUGACCGGCCCGUGAAUAACCGAACGGUCCAGUCCGGUUUUUAAAACAAUGGUUGUUAGUGUUGGAUUUCUCAUUGUCUCAUCUUAUUUUUGUGUUUACAAAUCAAUAAAGGAAAUUUUUUAGCAAAAUCAAUUUUUAGUUGAAAAAUAUGUAACAUAUGAUAUGGAACACAAUUAGAUUAUCAAGGAUUUGAUCGGCCCGUAAAAAAUCGAUCCAGUCUAAUUUUUAAAACAAUGGGUGUUAGUGUUGGAUUUCACAUUGUCUCAUCUUAUUUUUGUGUUUACAAAUCAGUAUCUAAUAUUUGAUUAUGAAAGGAAAGGAAAUUUUUUAGCAAAAUCAAUUUUUAGUUGAAAAAUAUGUAACAUAUGAUAUGGAACACAAUUAGACUAUCAAGGGAUGUCUAUUCAUAGAUACAUUUGUCCCAAAUUAUCAAAGAUUAAUAGUUUUUUAAUCCAAUAUUUGAAAUGUAGGGUAAGUAGACAACUAAAAAGCUCGAGUUGAGUAUAAUUCUUUUGAAAGAAAGAAUUUGAGCAUUUCAUACAAUAGUCCUUUUUUCACAAGACAAUAACAUUAGAAGAAUAUUGUGAAUUUAGUAAAAGAUGGAUAUAGUAAAACUACUAAAAUAUAUAUUAUUUUAUACAAUGGUUGAAGGAAAAAUAAAAUUUUCUUGAAAGAAGGAAACAAUUAAAAUAUUUGGAAAACUCCUUAGUAAAUCACAUAUUAUUCCAUACAAAAUUAAUUAUUUUUUCAAAAAUUCAUGGUAAAUUUUCUGUAAUCAAACAUAGUGUUAAUUUUUUUGUUAAAGGGUUAAUUUCAUUAAUUUCCAUCAAAUUGUAGCUAAAUAUAUUUAUCUCUUAUAGUUUUGAAAUUUCAGUAAUUUCUUAUUUUGGUUAAAAGAAAAGAUGAGUAAAAAUAAAAAUAAAAAAAAUUAUAAAAGAGAUAUUAAAUGAAAUUUUAAAUUUAGAAAAGUUAAAGAUAUUUAGACAAAGGAGGUGAAUGAAAUUAAUUUUUUUUNNNNNNNNNNNNNNNNNNNNNNNNNNNNNNNNNNNNNNNNNNNNNNNNNNNNNNNNNNNNNNNNNNNNNNNNNNNNNNNNNNNNNNNNNNNNNNNNNNNNNNNNNNNNNNNNNNNNNNNNNNNNNNNNNNNNNNNNNNNNNNNNNNNNNNNNNNNNNNNNNNNNNNNNNNNNNNNNNNNNNNNNNNNNNNNNNNNNNNNNNNNNNNNNNNNNNNNNNNNNNNNNNNNNNNNNNNNNNNNNNNNNNNNNNNNNNNNNNNNNNNNNNNNNNNNNNNNNNNNNNNNNNNNNNNNNNNNNNNNNNNNNNNNNNNNNNNNNNNNNNNNNNNNNNNNNNNNNNNNNNNNNNNNNNNNNNNNNNNNNNNNNNNNNNNNNNNNNNNNNNNNNNNNNNNNNNNNNNNNNNNNNNNNNNNNNNNNNNNNNNNNNNNNNNNNNNNNNNNNNNNNNNNNNNNNNNNNNNNNNNNNNNNNNNNNNNNNNNNNNNNNNNNNNNNNNNNNNNNNNNNNNNNNNNNNNNNNNNNNNNNNNNNNNNNNNNNNNNNNNNNNNNNNNNNNNNNNNNNNNNNNNNNNNNNNNNNNNNNNNNNNNNNNNNNNNNNNNNNNNNNNNNNNNNNNNNNNNNNNNNNNNNNNNNNNNNNNNNNNNNNNNNNNNNNNNNNNNNNNNNNNNNNNNNNNNNNNNNNNNNNNNNNNNNNNNNNNNNNNNNNNNNNNNNNNNNNNNNNNNNNNNNNNNNNNNNNNNNNNNNNNNNNNNNNNNNNNNNNNNNNNNNNNNNNNNNNNNNNNNNNNNNNNNNNNNNNNNNNNNNNNNNNNNNNNNNNNNNNNAUGACCUAUGAUACAUGCCCUCUUUUUUCUAUUCCUUUUUAGUUUUAAUUUCUCAUUCUUGUACUGCGUCCAACCAUUCUCCUUUUUCUUUUUCUUUUUAAUUCUUCAUCAUCACUUCCACACCACUUUCGGCUUCUUUUAUUAUUAUUAUUAUUACAAUUUUUCCGUAUUAUUUUUAUACAUAUCCUUUAAAAUAUUUAAUUCUCUACAAAUUAUUUUUAUUAUAAAAUAUAUAUUUUUUCCAAACUAUCAUUUAAAAAAAAUUAAAUUUAUUAUUUCUGAAUAAAAUAUAUCUCCUAAUAAUACUAAUCAUAUAUUUACAUUUUUUUCAAACUUAAUUAAUUUUCAACAAAUCAAGAUUAUUAAUUCUAAUAGUAGUUAAUACUUAACUUUCUAAAAAAAUUUAUUUAGUAAAGCUGAUAUGAUAUGACGCAAAUUUAACUCAUUCGACCAUUAGAAUUCUUUGAAUUUUUCUAAUUCUUUGGCCCGUGUUCUACAGUUUUUACUUUUCAAUCAUAACUUGUUAGAAAAGUUUGAGCGUGAUUCAGUCCACCACGCGGAGUGCUACAGCUGGUCGUCGGUCAGUCCAGUUGUCACCGACAAUGGGUGUUAAAAGGCCCCGUCUUUUCCUCUUCCUGCCCCAUAAAAAUCUCUCCCUCUUCCUCCCUCCAACCAUUGCGAGCCUGCCUAAAUCUCACUUACUCGCUCUAUUCUUCUGCCACCUCUUUAAAUUUUUCUCAUCUUUUAGGCUAUGACUGGUUGUCAGAAAGUGUUAAAGAAAAGAAAAGAAAAGAAUUUAAAAAAUGGUUUUCUCUUUGAUUUAUUUAUAAAAAAUAUAAAACAAAAUAAAAUAUAAUUAAAAUUUAUCAAAAAUAUAUAUUUUAAAAUUAUUUAAUUUUUAUAUAAUGAAGGAAAAUAAAUGAAAUAAAUUUAAAGAAACAUAUAAAAAUAACUUAUUGAUUUUAAACGUGUUUUUAAAUUUUCUUCUCUUUUUUUUCUUUAUAUUUUCUUUCCCUCUUAUUUUUCCUUAAAUAUUUUAAAACCAGACAUAGCCUUAAACUUUUUUUUUGAGGGGCUAAUUUUAUUCGUCUCUUUCAAGAUUUUGGCUAAAUAUAUUUAGUUUCUAUUGAUUUGAAAUUUCAACAAUUUAGCAUAUACCUUUUUUAUUUUGAGUGAGAAAUGAGAUAAGUAAAAAUGAAAAAUGAAAAAUGAAAAUGAUAAGAGAGGUAUUUAAUGAAAUUUUAAAUUUAUGAAGAUUGGAUGUAUUCAACCGAAACCUUAGAAAAUGUGAAUCAAAUUAAACUUUAUUUGAGUAAAAAUGUUUUAUACAUGUGAUUCACGUGAUGUCAAAUAAAUAUACUUGCAUUAUGAGACUUUUUUGUUAUCAUUUAUUUUUAAAAACUAGAAAAGUUAUUAAAAUAAUUUCAUGACACAAAGAUAAAUAUUUAUUUAUUUAUUUUAACAUUUUAUGAUUGUGAAUUUGUGAUAUUAUUGAAAAAUAUUUCUACAUUUUUCUUACCACGAAAAAAAAUCAAUUAUUAGAACAGUCUAAAUUUCUAAGUAUUUUAAGGACUAAAUUGGCACCAUCAAAGCAUAAUUAAAUGAAGGAGUUGAACAAAUUAGAAAAAUAUCAAAAAAGACACUUAAAAAAUAUAUUGCUAUUAGAAUUUAGAAAUUAAUUAUCAUUGGAAUUAAAAAACACAUUUAAUAUGAAAAAAAUUUCCAAUAUAUGAAACAAUGGCAAAAGAGAGUGAGCGCUCUGUUGUAGAUGGGGUUACGGAGUGUUGAAGUAGAGAGAUGAUUAUUGAGAAAUAAUGACUUGACUUUUCCAUUGAUUAAGAAUGAAUAUAUAUACAUAAAACCUAAAACACAAAAAUCAGAAACAAUCUACCCAAAACACCAAAAAUAAGAAACAAUCCUAGAAUUAGGGGAUUACAAAAAUAGGAAACAAUCAUGGAAUUAGGGAAUUACAAAAAAAAUAGGAAAUUACAACUAAUUACAAGAAUUUGAAAAUAGAAAGAAAAUCUAUUGUAAUGAAUUCUCUAAUAUGCCCCCUCAAGAUGGAGCUCCGGAGGAGACGCCAAUCUUGACCCAUAAUUCUUGGAAGCGGCUUCGUGGAAGCGGUUUAGUAAACGUCGGCAAGUUGAUAUGCUGAGGAAACAUGAGUAACAUGAAGAGCACUUGAUUGAACUUGAUCCUGAAUAAAGUGAUAGUCAGUUGCCACAUGUUUUAUGCGCGAAUGAAAGACUGGAUUAGAACAGAGAUAGUUGGCACCAAAAUUGUCACAAUAGAUAACAGGCGGUAUAGGAAGAGUGACGUCAAGCUCUAUGAGAAGGGAACAAAUCCAAUUGAUUGCUGAAGUAGUAGCAACAACUAAUCGAUACUCAACCUUUGUGGAUGACCAAGCAAUUGUACACUGUUUCUUGGAUGACUAAGAAAUUGGAUGACGACCAAGAUAGACAAUAUAGACAUUCAUAGAGGUAUAGUCGUUUUUGUUGCCAGCCCAAUCUACAUUUGAGAAGGCAUGAAGAGAAAGUGUAUUUGUCUUAUGAAGAAAUAAUCCAUGAGUCAAUGUGCCACACAGAUAACGAAGCAGUCGUUCUCAUUCCAAUGUUCAAACAUCGGGCGAUGCAUGAAUUGGGAUAGCUUGUUAACAACAUAUGAUAGGUCUGGGCGAGUGAAGCAAAGAUACUAUAGACUGCCAACAAGGGUUUUACAUUUUGUGCAGUUAGUCAGAGCUGUACCUGAAUGAAGUGUGAGAUUUUCAUCUAUAACAAGUGGUGUAGCAACAAGUUUUGCACCAGACAUUUUUGUCCGGGCAAGAAGAUCGGAGAUGUAGCGCCUUUGAGUAAGCAACACACCAAAUGGAGUGGUAAGAACCUCAAUGCCGAGAAAGUAAGAUAAGGCGCCAAGAUCCUUGAUUGAAAAUCUUUGUGCCAAGAGGUCAAUGUAGCGCUGAAUAAUAUUGGUGUUGGUACCCGUGAUAAUAAUGUCAUCCACAUAAACAAGUAGAAAUAUAGUAAUGUCACCUGAGUGGAGAAUGAAUAGAGAAAUGUCUGCAUGAGAGUUUGUGAACCUAGACUCAAUGAGGAACUGGAGAAAUUCAAGAUACUAAGCCCAUGGGGCCUACUUGAGUUCAUAUAUAGCCUUCUUUAAUUUGCAUACAUGUGUCGGAUUGUCUCUAUUAACAAAUCCCGAAGGAUUAUUAUGGAGUGAGACUCCUAGGCAUCGUGAAUGGGGGAACAAAAUUCAGUGUCUACUUCAAUCACUCUAAAGUCUUGUCAUGUUUACUUCUUUACCAUAACCUUUGUUUAUUUUAUUCUCCACUACCUUGCCUUUUCUCUCACUCACACUUCACCAUCAAGUUUGAAGUGUUCAAGGGCACUUCCUUAAAUUUACAAAAUAAGAUUGUAUGGUGCCAAGGUUUACAGUAUAAGAACAUGAUAAUGACUCCCUAAUUCUGGGCACAUGUUUCCUCUUCCAUGUCCGAUGUAAGAUUGGGAUUGCAUUUUUAAAGCUAAAUAGAAAAAUAACAUAACUUGCUAGGGCAGGGCUUGGAACCAGGGACCUUGAGCAAGGGAUGAUAGCCUCUUACCACCAAACUACUUGGGUAUUAUAAAAGCACAUAAAUUCUAUUAUAUCUUUUAUAUUUUAUAAAUUAUAAAUUAUUUCAAAUCAAAUUAUUUAAAAUUAAUUAAUUUUAAUUAUUUUAUUAUUUAUGUUUUAAAAUAAUUAAAUAUAAGGCAAAUAUAAUUUUUAAAUAAAAUUAUGGAUACUUUUAAAUAAAAAAAAGUUACAUGUAUUAUUAUUUAUUUUAUAUCCUUCGAUAUAUAUUAAUUUAUUUGUUAAAAUUAAAACAACUUCAAUAUAUGUAAUAUUAAUUUUUUUUUUGGAGGUUUUUUUUUUCAAUAUUUCUAUGACUUUUUUUAUUUAUUUAUUAAUUUUCAUAUAUAUCUUUUAUAAUUGAUAUUUUCAUCCUUAGUUUUUUAUGAGUUCGGGGACAUGCGAUAUCAACCAAAUAUAAAAAAAUUGUAUUUGAAUGUGGCUUUGUGACUAUGCUUUCGACAUAAUAUUCAACACUAAUAAUUGGACUUUUGGGUUGUAGUUAUUCUUUUAACCUAAUGUUGAAUUUCAACAACAAAAAACUUUGAUCAGUUGUUAGCAAUAUUUUUAAAAUUAGAUCGGACAUUAAAUUGAAAACGUUACUGGUUUACGAUUCAUUGGUCGGAUUGAUGGUUGAACUGGGAUCGAACCAGUGAUAUCAUAAAUAUAUAAUUAUAUUUUAAUAAAAUUUAAAAUAAUUAUAAUAAAUUAAUAUAUAUAUAUAUAUUAUUAAAAAUUUUAAUAAUAUUUUAUUUUUUAUGUGAAAUUAAAUGAUAAAUAAAAAUAAAAAUGUACUAAUAUAUUAAAUUUUAUUAAAUAGAAUAUGUCUAAUAUUUAAAUAUGAGAAUAUAUAUAAGAUGAAAAGAAAAUUAUAAUAUUUAAUUUAAUUAUAUAUUUAUGUAUUUUGUUAUUUUAAAAAUUAUUAUAUUGAGUAAUUUAUAUUGUUUGAAUGUUUAUAAUUAAUAAUUAUUAUAAAAAUAAUAGUAGAUAAAAAUAUUUAUAUUUGUUUAAAUGUUUUAUAUGAUAAAAAUUUUAAAAACAGAUAUAUAGAUAUUUACCAAACUAUUAAUCAAACCACUGCGUAGCAUAGUGGUGUGCUAUUCAUUUUGUUUAACCAUAGGUCCAGGUUCAAUUCCCCACCAUGCAAAGCUCCUUUUAUUAUUACAAAUAAUGAAAUUCUUCUUCUUAACAAUAAAUUUAUUUUCUGAUACACUUAUUUUUCUAGGAAAUGUACUUUUUUUCAAAAUGUAAUUGAUUUUUUCAAAGGAUGUACUUAUUUAUAUUAUUACAAAUAAGUGAAAGUUUAUAAACAAUUUAUGGUAAUGUAUAUAUAAUGUACUUUUUUAAAGAAAAAUAAUUAAUUUUCUAAAGGAUCUACUUAUUUUUAUAAGAGAUGUUUUUAUUUUUAUUUUUAUUUUUUAUAAUAUACUUAUUUUAUGAAGGAUGUAUUUGUUUAUACUGAUACAAAUAAUUGAAAGUUCAUUAGUACUUUUAUGAUAAACCAUUAUAUAUAUAUAUAUAUAUAUAUAUAUAUAUAUAUAUAUAUAUAUAUAAUUUAUUCAUUUUUUACAAGAAUGUACUUAUUUUUUUUAAAGAAUACACUUGAUUUCUAAGCAUUUACUUAUUUUCCUUGAUGCAUUUAUUUUUUAAUAGGGUGUACUUAUUAUCCUUUAAUGUAGAAUAUACAAAAUGGUUCUUUAUAAAUUUUAAUACUUGUACAACGAUAAAUAUUUAUUAUGAUUAAUUUUAGUUGCUUGGUUUCCCUUGCUAAUUCCUGUGGGGUAGGUGCUUGGAAUUUUUCAGUAGCGGCCUUCGUUUGCAGGUCAAUUGCGGGGAGUUGAAGAAAGCUGAUCAUGUUGCUUCUCCUCUUAGGAUCCAAAAUGAAAGACGAAGCAAAUGAAAGUGUUUCGGCUGGUCUCUCCUACAGCAUUGAAAUCAAGGAUGCUUACAUUCCUCCGUGGAUAAUAUCCAGUAUAUGUGCAACCAUGGGUUCUGAAGGGAGGAGCUUUGAGGCAAGGCAUGACAAAUUUUGGAUAUUACAUGACCUUUCAGUUUUCCUUGCUUAGACAUGUAUGGAGUUGUCAUGUCUCAUUCUACAUCAAAGGAUGCUAGUUACGAAUACAUCAUGCUGAAGAAUUAGCACACCCUGUUAAAAAAUAAGUGCAUCGGAUCAACAUCAAGGUGGGGAUCACUCUACUAAAUGGACGCAAAUCUGGCUUCAAGAAUGGCAGUGCAGUGGUUCUCAUGGUGGUUAGAAGGGCAGCAGGGUGCUCCAGAGUCCAGCCAUGGUGGUGCUAAGUCAACAUUGAUUCUUCAGUUGUUGUAACCUGUACAUAGAAUGAUGGUUUUGGAUUGUCUCAAGAUUUUACUAAGAAGAAGAAGCAGAAGAUAAGACAUUGAAGGUACAGUAAAGAAUUUAAGCAACAACUCCAAUCCCUUUGUUAUAUAGACUUGAAGGAGAAAUGAAGAUGACUUACAAUUACGACUGUAAGGAAACCCUGCAUUUGAAGACAUCCUUCCUAGGUAGAGCUUUUAAAUGAUUAAAAACAUGAACAACUCUAUGCUUGAAAUAUGCAAAUCAAAAUCAACAAUAAAUAGAAAUAAGAAGCUGAAAAAACUGUCACGUGAUGCUAUUGUCAUUCUAGGAACAAAUCCCUCACUUUAAGACUCUUUUACUUUUAGAAUAUUCUACCAUCAACCCAUGAUCAGCCAUAUUUCCAUAAGGAUUCAUAUUAAUUUAAGAUGGAUUUAUUAUAGAACUAAAAUGAGAAAACAUUUUAAAAUGUUUAUUGGGAGUAAUUCAAUUAUAUUUCAAUAUAUUUGAAAAAUAACACUACUAAGAAAUUUAAGAUACUUUCCAUAAUUGAUGAUAAAAAUAUGAAAAUAAUUUUAGACAAAAGUUUUGAUCUAGAAAAAUCAACAAUUUUAAUUUUGUUGUUGUCUUAUAUAUAGUAGCUUAAUUUUGUUGUUGUCCUAUAUAUAGUAGCUUGAGAUAUAUACUUCAAUCCGAAUGCAUUCCAAAUUUGAGUUAUAGAUGGAUAUGUUCUUCACUAUUUAAGUUUAAUCGAUAAUUUGUUCCAAAUAUGAAUUUCUGAAACUAAGUGUUUAGCUAAUCUAAAAGAAAGAAAGUCAAGUUUUAGGCAUUAGGGUUCGGAUUUCCAAACUCAAUAAAGUUAUAAAAUGGCUAAUAUUUAAGGUGAACUAUGUUGAAAAUUAAGUGUCUCAAAUUCCUAAUUUUUUAUGUAUUCUAUUUUGUAGAAAUGAUAUUAUAUAGAGAAUUUUCAAAGUUCAUAUGUGAUUGUAAUUAAAUUCUUUAUAGAAUAAAAAACUUAGUAAGAAUAUCUCUCUAAAUAUUCUACGUCAUGAGAGGAAAAAUAUUAUAAUAUAAGAUAGAGAUAGAGAUAAGAAGAAAAGUAAGAGAUAAUUGAUGGAGUAAGAAUGCUUAAAACUGAAGUUGAAGACAUAAAGACUAGGAAAACGAUGGAUGUUUAGGGACCCAAAAGUUGUUUAUGUUUUGUUAUCUGUAAUAUUUUUUUAUUAUAUAGUGAAAUGUUAUCUCUUAUUUGUAGGUGUAGACAUACAUGUUGACUAAACCAUGCAUUUUAAAGCUUUGACACCUUUAUAUGUGGAUUAUCUUUACUUUAUGCGUUCUUUCAUUCAUAUAUUUACAUUGAAACUUUUGCUAGCCCAAUAAAUGGUAUUAGAGCUUUUGUUGGCCUAACAAACUUAAUGUUGUCCUUUCAAGAUGUAGUGAAAAGGCCUUUUAAAGGAUUUGUAUUUUAUCAUAAAAUAGAAAAGAAAGAAAAGAAACAUUAGAGAAUUUCGACUCCUUCUAACCACUUGGCAAUAUAUUUAUCUUAUAUUGAAGAUAAAUAACUAGUCCAAAUUUUAUGGUGUUAUAUAGUCCACACAUAGAUUAAAGUAAUUAAGGAGGAAGAUGGCUUACCAGUAAGUUUCCAUGAGGGCUUGAAUGAACAAAUAAAAUAGAGAGAUGGUGGAAUAUAAGGACUUAGCUAGCAAGCGCACCUGGCAAUGGAGCUUAAAGCUUGAGAUCAGUGCUGGAUGCUCUCAAUCUUUUACGGCAUGGUUCCCGAUCAUCUGCUUGGUUUUUCCCGGCAUCAUCAUGGCCUCUUUGAUGAUCCAACAACAUAGGCACACUGCUGUUUAGAGAAUCACGGGUGUACAUCAGCUGAACCCCGCACCUCUUGAUAUUGGGAUGAGUAACCUCACCAUUAAUCCGGGUAGAAAAAUCAAACGCAGCCAGAAAGUGCCAUGGUUGAUUGCGGUGGUACUUAUUUGGAAUAGCAUUCUUAGGAUAGAGAGUCACCCACAAUUCAUCUGAUACAUCACCAUUAAUCUCGUGACAUUUACACAAAGAAUCCAUGGAGAGGUGAUCCACAACUUCAUCCGAAUCACCGUGCAAUGUCAGAUCAAAAUAAUAUGGAACCUCAAAAUGAUUCCCUUUAUGAUAAAGAAAGAAGAAAGCCAAUCCCAGAAAGUGGUCAUCCUAGCUCGUACCAAUUCAAAGGAAGCUCUAUUCUUACUUGGCUUCCAAUCUCCUGAUGCAACACCCACCCUGGAAUUCCACCGUUUCCCGGAAUAAUAAUUACCUUGCCUUUCUUCCAAUUCCGAUUCAUGUACUGCAUAUACAAUCAAAGCUAAUAUGUAAUUGGAGUACUACUGGGUGGAUGAAAAGUUUUAAGUGUCGUUAUUAAAUAAAAAUCAUACCUCAUUACUUGUUGGAUUGAACCAUUUGAACCAUUUGAGGAAAGGACAGAGUAGAGAUGAUGGACUUGAUAACAUUUCCAGCUUCGUGCAGCCGUGGGCAUCUAUUUGUGGUAGACUUGAUGAAAGCUCUGGAAUUUCUUGGAGCAUCUUGCAGUGACUGAUAUCAAGGAGACGAAGUCUACAAAGUUGAGUGAUGCCAGAUGGUAUGCUAACCAUAUGGUUUCCACUUAGAUUUAAUGUACACAAGGAAUAUAGACCCCAGAUAUCAGUGGGUAUCGACCCUUCCAUUAGAUUGCAGUGACUCAAAUCUAGUUCUACCAAGGUGCAUAAGCCUUCCAGAUUCUUGGGAAACUUCUCCAAGUUUGAACAACCAGGGAGUAUCAAUCGUUUAAGACAUCUCAAAUCAUUAAUGCUGUCUGGAAUAGUCACAAGGUUCUUGCAAUUGCUCAAAUACAACAUUUGGAGGCUUUUCAGAUUUUGAAUUGAUGAUGGCAGUUCUUUUAUAGCUGUUCCUUCCAAACCAAGCACCUCUAAGUAUUUCAUACCCUCCAUGAUUUCGGGAAAGUUCCGUAGGCUUGAGCACCCAUUGAGAAAGAGUCGGCAAAAAGAUUUAAACCUACGAAUGCUGCUUAGAAGACUCCUCAAGUUCUUGCAAUCACUCAAAAACAAUGAAUUAAUAUUAAGAUGUUCCAUUGAUGAUGGUAGCUCUUUUAUACCUGUUCUUAAAUCAAGAAAUUCUUUCAUAUCCUCCAUGAUUUCUGGAAAAGCAUCUAGAUUUGAACAAACAAAGAGUUGGAGGUCUUCAAGGAGAUAUUCUAUUGCGGAGGGUAAUUCCUUAAUAGCAGAUCGAUCAAAGUGAAGAUAAGUUAAAGCUUCCAUAGAACUCUCCUCUAUCUCCAGAAAUUUCUCCAAGUUUGAGCAAUUAUUCAAGUAAAUAGUUUCAAGAGAGUCCAAGUAUUGAAUGCUACUUGGUAAGCUCGUAAGGUUUUCACACCCACUCAAACUCAACAAAGUUAGCUUCUUGAGAACUCCAAUAGAUGGAUCAACGAUAUUCAAACUUGUACAAUAUCCAAGUUCUAACUCCUCUAGAUUUGGCAUAUUUGAAAAGUUUGAUAUUUCAGUGAGCUGCUUUGAUCCUAGUAAAUUUAAGAACUUUAACUUUCCCAAACACUGUGACAAAAGGAAUUUUGAUUUAGUACAAAAUGAAUUUUCAUGAACAAAAAAUUAAUCUCAAACAAAAUAAUAUGAUGAAAUACUAAUUAUACCUUAUUUCCUUGCCAAAGUUGUUUUAUUUUGCUAUCCAUCAUGUUGAGUACAAUAAGGUUCUCUCCAUGAAAAUUUGACGGCAAUGAUUUCAAAGGGUAUCCUUUCCAAUGAAGAUAUCUCAACUCUUGUGAAGGAAAUUGAAAAUCUUCAGAAAGAAUAAUUUUAUACUCCUUUUUCAUGAAACCACAACAAUCCAUCCCAUAAAUCUUGAGCAAUCUAAGUCGUUUCAUCUUUGCAAAAACCUUUGUACUAAAUUGUAGUUGUUUUGAUCUAGACAAGUUUAAGAAUAUGGCCUCAACAUUUUUCAUCCCCUACAAACAAUAACACAGGAUUAGGCAAACAUAAAAAAGAUAAAGCUAGCUAAAAUUGUAUGGAUAUGUAACUUAGACAAAAAUGAUAUUGCUCACAUUUACGUAUUUUAAUGAAGCUUAAGAAAGUUCAUGAGUUUGAUGGUUACCUUCUUCAUUGUAAAUGCACGAUACACAUCACUCGGAUCCCACAAUCUGCUCCAUUUUCCAGGAUUAUCAAGAAAUUCACUACGAAUAAUGUUCCAUCCCAUUUCUUGUACCAAAUCAUGCAUAAGUAUCUUAUUUUCAGAAAGAGAUAUAAGACACUUAUCAUAGAGGACUUUUAUUCCUAUCUCUGCAUACAAAUCACAACUAUCCAAUAUCCUUGAAACAAAGUCUUUGUCUUCCCCUUUAAAAAAACAUGCAAUAUCAAGAAAUAUUUUCUUCUGUGUAUGAUCUAAUCCGUCAAAGCUUACUUUAAGCACAUUUUGAAUUUUCACUUCAGGUUCUCUUUCCAAUUUACACAAUUCACUUUCCCAUUGGAGUAUUGUCUUGUUAAACAAGAGAGAACCGAGGACUUUUAGAGCUAAAGGAAGGCCAUGACAAUAAUAGAUUACACGAUUCGAGAGGUGGAUAAAGUCUUGUUUAGGAAGAUUUUGUCUAAAAGCAUAGAGACUAAAAAGCUAACGAGCUUGUUCAAAAUUUAAUUCCUCAACCUCAUAUACGUCAUCCAUUUCUUGUAACAAAUGUUUACUUCUAGUUGUUAUGAUGACUCUGCUUCCUCUUCCAAGCCAAUCACAAUUUCUGAGUAAAUAUUCUAAUUGAUCUGAAUCAUCAAUGUCAUCAAGAACAAUAAAAACUCUUUUAAAUCGGAGAAUAUUUUUUAUCAUAUUGGCUCCUUGGCUAACAUUGCUUACAUUUUGAUUUCUCUCCACUUGUAGUAGAUCACAAAGAAGUUGAUUUUGUAAAUGAUGCAAACCCAUAGUAUUGCCAACUUCUCUAACAUUUUCGAGAAAACUCAUAUACUCAAAUUCAUGAGAAAAUUUAUUAUAUAUAACUUUGGCGAUACUCGUCUUACCCAUUCCACCUAUUCCACAUAUACCAAUUAUACGAACAUCAUUCAAUUGAUCAACACAUAGCUGCCGAAUUAUCUCAUUUACAUGGGAAUCCAUACCAACCAAGUUGGCACCAACAUCAAACAUUCUACAAUUCAAUCUCAUGAAUAUGUUGUUGACGAUUUUCUUAAUAUGCUCAGACUCAUACCUGCCAAUUGUAAAGUACAUGUGAUGAUUAAUUAGGCUAUAGCUGAUUAAAAAACAAAUACAUGUUAAGCUUCUUCAUGAAAAAUGAGUUAUAGUAAAAAAAAUUAUAUCAAAAGUAUUAAGUUUUAGAACUCAAAUUACAUUUUUAGGACAUUUUUAUUGUAUCAAGUAUAUAAGACAAUGAAAAUAAAAUAUGUAGUGAGACAUUGUCAAAUUGAUUUUUUUUUUUGGGAACAUUUAUAGGCUGCUAAGCAUGGAGCAAAUUUAUAUCAAACAAAAUCAUAUUGUAAUGACCCACUCUCUUGUGCAUAUAUAGAUAUCAUUUGCAGCUCUCUCUCUCUCUCUCUCUAUGUUAUAUGUGACAUUAUAAUUACCCAAUCCCCUAUUCACAAUGGAGACACAAGGUCCUCAUCAUAUCUCAUAAUAUCAUGGGUUUGCAGGUCUUCAGUGACUUUCUUGAUAUACUUUGAUUCAUGAGUUGCAAUCAUAAAUGACCUUCAAAUCUAUUCAAGUAUUACACUGUAAUUAUAAAAAUGCCUGAUUCCUGUAGCAGUAAAUAAAACCUAACUUAUAAAAGAAAGUUGAAUGGAAAUUAAUAAAGCUUUACCCAUCCUUCACAUGCUCUCCAGAUAUAUUGGUUGCUUCUGUCAAUGCGCUCCUCCAACUUCGCACCUUCUCUUUCAUCUCUUCUGAAUCUUCUUUGUAAUUAGAAAAUGCCUCUCCAAACUUUCCUGUCUGGUUUCGUACAUGGGAUGGAUCCACAUGGUAGAAAAUCGGUACCACAGUUUGUUUCAUUUCUUUCCUGCACUUCAUGAUCUUCACCAGCUCAUCUAAACACCAUCUGGAACCAGCAUAGUUUUCCGAGAAAACUAUUAGGGAAAACCUUGAUUCUUCAAUAGCUUUUAGGAGUUCAGGUUCAAUCUCUUCCCCUCUCUCAAGUGAAUCAUCUCUAAAGGUAUGAAUACCUCUUCGAAUCAAGUUUUCAUACAAAUGAUCAGUGAAAUUGAAUCGGGUGUCUUCACCUCUAAAACUCAAGAAAACAUCAAAAUUCCUUUGUGGGAUGAAAGUAGAAAUAGAAGUAGAAGUAGAAGUAGAACUUGUGGAAGCCAUAAGAAACUUGUGCCAAAAUCAGAACUUAGAAGGGAUUUUGCAGAAUUGUGAAUGUAGAUUGUGCAGAUUUUUUAGCAAAAAUUUGCUGAUGAAGGAUUAUGUGUCAAUGUAAUGUAUACAGAAAGAAAAAGAAAAAAAAAAAAAAAAAGUAGGUAGCGCCUAGGGGUACCGAGUACGACUUGUCUGGGAGAGUACACAACUACAGCUGGUCCUUGGUAGGUCUUAAAAAGCCCCCUCUUCUUCUCUUUCCAGCGCCCUAUGAGAAUCUCCCCCGCUUGCCUUCCACCAAACAUUGCGAGUCUGCUUAAAUCUCCCCUACUCCCUCUCUUCUUCUGCCACCUUUCUAAAUUUUUCUCCUCGGCUUAUGUUUGGUUCUCCGAAAAUAUGAAAAAAGAUAUCAUACAAAAUAUAUUAAAAAAAAUCAAAUAUAAUUAAAAUUGGUUGAUAAUUUAUAUAUUUUAAAAUUAUUUAAGUUUUAUAUAAUAAAAAAUAAAAUAAAUUUUAAAUAUAUAUGUAUAAAUAAUUUAUUCAUUUUAAAUAUAUUUUUUAUUUUACUUCAUAUUUUAUUUUUAUUUUCUUUCAAUUUUUUUUUAAAUCGAACAUAGUUUAAACUUUUUUUUAAAUGCAUGAAACCAUGUCAAAUAAAUAUUAUUUAUUUAUUUAUUUUUUAUCUUUUCUUUGAAAUUACUAAAAUUAAGUGAUUAAGAAUUAUUCCUAACAUUUUACGAUUGUAAAUUUGUGAUAUUAUUGAAAAAUAUUUCUACAAUUUUUAUAUAUAUAAAAAAAAGAAAUCAAUUAUUAGAACAACCUAAACACUACUUUCUUCAAGAUAAAUAAAUGUAUUUUUAAAAAAUUAUAGUUAUUUAUGAAAAUUUUAAGUAUUUUAAGGACUAAAUUGACACUAACUAAAUGAAGAAGUCGAAUAAAUUGGAAAAUUUAAAAAAAGACACUAAAAAAAAAUUUGUUAUUAGAAAUUAGGAAAUAAUUAUCAUGGGAAUUAAAAAACACAUUUAAUAUGCAAAAAUUCAAGGACAAUGAAACAGUGACCGAAGAGAGUGAAUACACGGGCUGCUGCAGACGAGAUUACGGAGAUAGAGCAUCUUACUUUGGGUGAUGUCAGUGCCAGCUGGACGGUGCAAUCGCACUAUGCGAUGCCGCUCUUUCUUUUUCUUUUUUUUUUUUGAUUCGCUUCUUUUUAAAGUUAGAAACUUUAAUUUGAAAAAAAGAUGGGAAAAAAAUAGCCCGGCGUCUGUUCUUUAAAAUUUGUUUUUAAAAUAAAGAAAAAAAAUAGUUUUUAGAAUUUUUUUUAAAAAAUAGAAUGUUUGACGGACGUUUUGAAAAUUAUUAUUAUUUUUAAAUAAAAAGCAUAUUUUUAUGAAAGAAUUUAUAUUACCUUCAAAUAAUUUGUAUUAUUUUUAAAGACAAUGUAUCACGCCCCAAAACCCCCGUUGACAUGACGAUCAUUUGACAUGACGAUCAUUUUACACUUCAAAUAUAAGAUUUUAAGUGAAAACGAUAUAAACAUUUAUUUUGUAAUUAAAAAAUAUCAAUUACCAAAUUUAUAUUAUUGUACAAAUAAUUUCAAUUUCAAAUAAUUUAAAUGAAAAUUAAAUUUUAACAUCUAAGUAAUGUCCAAAAUAAAUUUUGAACCAAAACUUAAUGAAGAAAAAUUCCCUAACUUAGUCAUUACUCCUCACCGGAACUAAAGUGAUGUUUGUUUUUUUUACUUAAUUCUAAAUAGAUCUUUAAUGUUUAAUAGUAUUAAUUAUUAGGUUGUUUGUUUUUGUAGUAUUUUAUUUUUAUUAAGUAUUAAAAAGUAAAAAGACCAAUAUAUUAUUUUUUCUAUUUAGAAAAAGUUAUAUAUUUUGACCUUUUCUAUUUAGUAAAAAGUUUAUAAUUAGUCAUGAAAAAAUAGAAAAACAAAUAACCUAAAUUCUGAAAACAAAUUACUUUUAACAAAAAACUAAAAAAACAAACACUACCUAAGAGUGCUUGAAAAAUUAUCAACGGAAAGAUAUGAUCUUAAAGUUCGAUAAAGAAUAUCAAUACAGUUUCAUGGAUCAAACAUUUUCAAUUAUAAUUAUAAACAUGAGAUAUAUCGUAUAAUUAUUUUCAUAAAAAUUUUUAAGUUCAAAUGCUAAUACAAUCAAACUUUUCAACAAAACUUUCUUAUAUCAAUUUCUAAAUAAUUUCUCAUCAAAACUAAAUCAAAUACAUUCAAAAUAUCUUUACUAUAGUUAUCAAAUAACAAAUGAUACUCAAUUAUGUGAGACUUUACAAAUGAGUGACUAGUUUCAAAUUUAUUUCAUUUAAGGUGAACAAAAUCAAAUGUUAACAAUUAUAACCUAUUGAUUAUAGUUAUAGAAACUAGAAUCAAACACUUUAUUUCGUUAAUUCGAAUUUACUAAACGAAAUAUCAUAUCUCUACAAUUUUUAUUUUUCAUAAACAAGAAAAUGUUCAAACAUAUUUUCUAUGCAAAACAUAAAUUUGAUCCAUGCACAGAAAUAAAAACAAUAUUUUUACACGUUUCAAAACACAAUAUAAAAAGAAAAUUAUUAUUUUUUUAAAAAAUAUGCAUUAAUUUUCCUUACUUUGAAAAAACACUUAAAAUCUUAAAGAAUUUAAUUUGAAGAAAAUUAUUUUCACAAUCUUAAAAAUAUUUAAUUUAGUAUUAAGGAUUCUAAUUAAUUUCUUAUGUUAAUAUUAUUACUACCUAAUAUUAUUUUCAACUUCUUACAUAAUAAUAACAGUAAUAUAAAUUUAAUAAAGUUCCAAAUUUUUAUAAAAUUUAUAUUCAUUCCUAAUUUUACCCCAAUUAAUUUUUUUUCUUUCUUUAUAUACUUAAAUUAAAUUUAAACUUGUAUAAAAAAACUAUUAUUAUUAUUCUUGUCAACCAACUGACACUAUAUAUAUUUAUUUAUUAUUACUUUUGAUUACCUGCAACACCACCAUUACUCCAUGCGACCGACUAUAUCUAUUAUUAUUAUUAUUAUUUUAACCUCUUCCACCCCUCUGACUUACAAACCACCACUCUAGUGCUUCUCACGAUUACAAAUUGAUUUGACUAUAUCUAUUAUUAUAUUAUUAUUAUUUUAACCUAUUCCACCCUCUAACUUACAAACCACCACCUAGUGCUUCUCACCAUUACAUAUUGAUUUUUUUUUUUUGACUCAACAAUUCGUACGUAUUCGUUCUUCUUUUCUUUAUUAUUAUUUUUUAUUUUUUCAAAUUGCCACCUCGAUAUAUAGUUCCUCAAAUUCCAAAAUCCAAAAAUAUGCUAUUCUUCUUCUUAUUAAUUUAAUUUAUUUAUUAUUAUUAUUUUUUCCAACCUAAAGCCUCUACAAAUAAUUUAUUUAUUUAUUUUCUAAAUCUAAAAUUUCUCACUUCCACUAAUUUUUUAUUUAUUUAAUUUCUAUUUAAUUGAAAAUUUUCUAUUUUCAUCAAUAAAUUAAUCUACAUUCAUAAAAUUCCAAUAUUUUGAUCUAAAAAAUUAAAUAAACAAACUUUAAUUUAGAUUGUGAUUUUUUAAUGUGUUUAAAGCUAAUUAACGGAUCUAAAAUAUUAAUCUAGGGGUCAAAAUCUUACAUGAAAAAUCGAUCUUCAACCCUAAACUUCCAAAUCUUAUGUUUCCCUAUGCUAUCUGAUCUUUCUAAUCCCUAUGUAAAAGUGUUUUUUGAAUAAAGAAGAUGGAGGAAAAUUAAUUUAUACCUACGGCUUUUAAAAGCAAAAAGACUUUUCUAUCCUUAUAAAAAUAAUUUAAUUAAUUAAUUAUUUUAAAUUAUGAUUUUACCCCUAAAUUGGUUGUGAGGAAUUACACAAUGUAUUAUUUUUAUUUUAUAAAAAAAUUAUAAAUUAAUUUAUAAUAAUAUGAAAUCAAAUUCAAGUUAAGUCUUAUUCAAAAAUAAAAAUUAAAUUACAAUUAUAUAUGUGUUAUAUAUAUAUAUAUUUUAAAUUAUGAAACAAUUUUUUUAUUUUAGUAAAAUAAAAAUUUCUAUAAGAUAAAAAUAAUUUUAAUAUUCAUUUUAAAUAUAAGUCAAAUAAGUACUUUAAUUAUUAUUUUUUAAAAUUUUUUGUGUUGAUCAUGAUUUCUUAUGCUUUUUUUUUUUAAUAAACUUCUUUGAAGUUAAAGAAUACAAAAAAAGUUUUUAAUGUUUUAUAAAAUUAAGGAUAUUGGGUAAAUUAUUUUUUUUUAAAGAACUUUAAAAAUAAAAAAACAAAAAGACUUGUUUGGAUAAAUUUUUUUUUUUAAAAAAAUUGUUUUGAUUUUGUAAAAACAUUUUAAAUUCAAUUUAUAUAAUAUUAAUUAAUUAAAUUUAAUUGAAGUCUUAUUGAAAAUGAAAAUAAAUUUUUAAUUAUAAAUAAAUUAAAAAAUAUAUAGUUUUUAGUAAAACAUAAAUAUUAAUAUUAUAAUAAAAUCAUAAAUUAUAUUUUUAGUAGAAAAUAUACUAUUUUAUUAUAUGUUAGAAAAAUGAUAAUUAUAUUUAUAAAUUUAUGGUAUAAUGAAUUUAUUAUUUAAGUUUUAAAUUAUUUUUAAAAAUUAAUAGACUUGUUAACAAAUAUAAUACAUUAAAUCUUGUUUAAUUUACCUAACAAUAAAAAAUAUUGAAAAAUAAUAAUUUUAUGUAAAAAAGAAAUAAUAAAGUGUAUAUGUUUUUUUUUUUAUUGUUUUUAAAAACUAGUGAAAAUAAUUUUUACUUAUUUUUUAAAAGUUAUUUUUUAUUUUACUUUGUUUUUAAAAAAUUAAAAAUAGAGAAUGAUAACCAAACAAUAUUAUGAAUUUUUAAAAACUAUUUUCUAUUUUUUAAAAAUAAAAAACUGUUAAAAACUCCGUCAAACUAGCUUUACGCCCAUGAGUUCCCUCCGUCCAAACACUAAUUCUGAUUGGGAUUGCACUUUUAAAGCUAAAUAGAAAAAUUACCAUAACUUGCUAGGGAGGGCUUGGAACCAAACACCUUGAGCAAGGGAUGAUAACCACUCACCACCAAACUACAUGUGCUUUGGUGCUAUAAAGCCACAUAAAUUCUGUGCAUACAUAUUAUAUCUUUUAUGUAUUAUAAAUUAGUUAAAAAAAAUUUAUUUUAAAUAAAUUAAUUUUAAUUAUCUUAUUAUUUAUUUUACAUAAUAAUUAAAUACAAGACAAAUAUAAAAUUAUAAAUAAAAUUAUCAACAUUUUUAAAUAAAAAAUACUUACUUAUAUUAUUUGUUUUAUAUCCUUCAAUAUAUAUUAAUUUGUUUGUUAAAAUUAAAACAACUUCAUUAUAUGUAUUAUUAAUUUUAUUAUUUGGAGUUUUUUCCCAAUAUUUCUAUGAUUUGUUUUUUUUGUUUUUUUUCAUCAAUUUUCAUUUCACCAAUAUUUCCCACUGAUAUUUCCCUAUACAUAUAUAUAUAUAUUUGCAUUUUUCUUAACAUUUUCAUGAGUUUUGAUCCAUUUUCAUUUCAUAGAGAUUUCAUGUCAGGAUAUCCAUCGAUAUUUUUUGAUAUAUCUUGAUAUAUCCGUAAAAUCAAGUUAUUGAUACAUCCAUUAACACUGAUAUUUUCAUCAUUGGUUUUCGAUGAGUCCGAAAACAUGGAAUCUCAACCUAAUAUUAAAAAAUUGUAGUUAAAUGUGGUUUCUGACCAUCCUUCAAAUCUAAUAUUCAAUACCAAUAAUUGAACUUUUGGGUUAUAGUUAUGCUUUUAACCUAAUGUUCAAUUACAACAACCAAAAACUUUGACCAAUUGUUAGUGUUGGAUUUCUUAUUGUCCGAUUUUCGUGUUUACAAAUCAAUAUUUAUUAUUGAUUAUGAAAGGAAAUUUUUUAGCAAAAUCAAUUUUUAGUUGAAAAUGUAUAACAUAUGAUAUGGAACACAAUUGGACUAUCAAGGGAUGUCUAUUCAUAGAUAAAUUUGUCCCAAAUUACCAAAGAUUAAUAGUUUCUUAAUUAGAUAUUUGAAAUGUAGGGUAGGAAGACAAAUAAAAAGCUAGAGCUGAGUAGAAUUUUCUUGAAAGAAGGAAAUCAAGCAUUUCAUACAAUAGUCCAUUUUUUCACAAGGCAAUAACAUUAGAAGAAUAUUGUGAAUUUAGUGAAAUAUGGAUAGAAUAAAUGACUAAAACAUAUAUUAUUUCAUACAAUUGUUGAAGGAAAUAUAAAAUUUUCUUGAAAGAAGGAAACAACUGAAAUAUUUGGAAAACUCCAUUCCAAGUCUUAGAUCGAUGAGGUGCAUGCAGUACAAUCGUAAGGAUAUUGGAUCUAAGCAACAAAAUCAAUAAUAAUAAAACGACUAUAGAUAUAGGUGCUCUAAAAACAAUUAUUGUUCCUAGAUUAGUUCCAACUGAUAUAUGAAAAGGAUGAUAUGGAUCUUGAAUAUCUUAUGAUAUUUCGCUUGAUGACUCUCUUUUGGAUCUUAGCCCUUAAGAAUGGUGAACUUUUCUAUAGGGAUGAAGGCUAGGGAUCUCUCUCUUUGGAAGAUAGAAUGAGUCAAGUAUCUAAUCCUAAUCCUUUAAGGGGGUUUAUAUAGAUUUCCUUGUAAGCUUAAGUAACUUGAGCCCAUCUAGCGCUGGGGUUCCUUAAUUGAAUUCACUAGGUCCUAAUUAAUUAAUUAACCUUGUUAGGCUUCAAUCAAUUAAUUAACUCAACCCAAAAAGAUCAUUCAUAAGCUUUUGAAUAACCUAGGAUAUUUACUAAAAUGCCCUUAUGCACAUAUAUGAAUAAGAAACCCAAAUAUCUCUAAAACAAUGUGCCACUAAGGAAUAUGAGUUUAAGCGAGAACCAUUGAGACCCAUAAGAAAAUACCAACUCCCUUAGCAUCUAAUUUUGAAGUUGCUAUAACAUUUCAUUGUAGAGGGUUAAUUGCACUUCUAUAUCCUAUGAUAUUAAAUCGAGAUAAAAAAAAAAAACUUGGGUCUAUGAUAUACUAAUGAUUGUUUGCAAGCUUUCUAUAACUAGUGUCCAUAAUCUAAUAAGAUGAAUGUUAUCAAUGUUUCAAAAUUACCUUUACUAUCCUUGAAUUUAAGAUCCUCCUAUUAUAUGCAACUGAUAUAAUCCAAUUCUUUAAAAGCAAAUAUCAAAUUUCACUUAAAAAAUAAUUAUGGUAAUUGCAAAUCUCUAUUGUAAUUAAAAUAAUAAAACCUAAGUAUGUGACAACCCUAGGCAAGAAAAAUCAAAGAUUGAAUCAUUACAACUUUGUAGUAUUUCAAGUUAUCGUUCUUUAGGAUCAACUUAAUGUGUCUAAUUGUUUUUAGAUUAGAAGGAUUAAUUAUUUGGUAAAGUUAAUGAAUUCCUAAUUUAUAUAAAUAGAAUAAAAUAUGGAUGGUAAAAUAUCUAAUAAACUUAAAUAAAAUAAAAGAAAAAAAAAACUAUCUAAUGAAGAUCACAUGUUUGAUUUUAAAUCCAAUAAGAAAAUUAAAGUGAUAAGAUUUUUCCUACUUUGGGGAUCAAAGAGUCAAUCCAAGAUUAAACCACAUCUUAAGAUCAAUUUAAGCCAAAAACUUUGAUUUAACAACUUAAUCUAGAUCUCUAAAGUAUUUUGAAGUAACUUUAACCUUUAUUUCUUGUUUUGACAUUCAAGCCCUAGAUUCAUCAGUGAGGUUUAUCUUGAUCUUAUGCAUGAUCAAUCAAAAUGAGUUAUCCAAUGAUUAAGAGGCGAAAAAGCAUAAUUGGAACUAAGUUAAACAUUGAUCAUCUCUUAAUUGAGAGGAACUACCUAGAUGAUUCAUUCAAUCAUAAUGAAAAUAAAAAAAUUAAAAAGUGUAGGUUUAGAGUUUAUUUCCCUUCCACACAUUCCUCAUAUUAUUUCUCCAUCUCCCUUGCUUCAUUCUCUAGAUUAAUCUGCCUUCAUAUGUUCUGUAUCUCAUAAACCCUAAAACAAAGCAUAUAUAUACAUAACCUAAACCUAAAUGAGGCAUGUUACAUACAUAUUCUAAUUGGCCACUUAUUCCCAAAUACUACUUAAAAAUAACUAAAAAUUACUAAAGUCAUCAUUGAAAACAUAUGGGCCCCACUUUGGGCUAGAAAAGUAUUAAAAUAUCCAAUGUUCAAGGAUUUGUAGCUUAUGUCAAAUUGGAAUAGACCAUGAUUUCUACAUGAAAAGUUGCAUUUCGAUAUGGAGGGUUGAAUUUUGACAUGGAGGGUUGCAUUUUGACAUGAACUCAUAAUCAAUAUGUCAAAUGAAAAUUUUUCAAAUUUCAACAUUGUGGUCAAAAUUCAUUUUGACUUAGAAGAUUUCCGAUUGAAAUUUUUGAUAUGCAUUUCAACUUGGCAUUCUACCAUUGUGCAACUUGCUUUAAUUAGUCAUAACUUUUUCAUUUUAACUUCAAAUUUGCAUAUUGUUUAAAGAGUUGGACUCUUCACUUUCUAAGCUUCAAAAGAUAGAUAGUUUGCUUUAAAAUAAUCUUGAGAAGUUCUCUAAAAUUCACCUUAAAGUGAAGGUAUGUGUUGCUAUCAGAUUUUAAAUUCCAAUUUCCAUAUGUUAGGAUAGAGCCUUUAAAAACAUGCCAUGAUAUAAUAAAUUUGGAAUUCAUUAUUUAUUUAAUGAUAUUCUAGGUUCACUUUCAUUUAUCCUUAUUCCAUGUAUUAUACUUUAUGAUCAUUCUUGCUUGCAUUUUUUGCAUUGUACGUGACUUAGGUGCAUUAGGAGUUGCACAAAAGAUCUAAAUCAUGGGUUCCUUGCAAAUAGAUGACUUGUUUAUAAUCAGUUCAUGUGUCUAAGCAACUCAUUAGAGAUUGUACUGCACCACCUCCUAAUUGGAGGGAUGGUUGGUGAUUACUACUCAAAAAGAGUAUAUUUUAGAUAAUAAUUCUCAUGAGUUUCACAUCUUUUGAGUAGUAAUUAUGCCUAAAACACUCAAUUAACAUGUUUUUGCCCUUGCAAGAGUUACUAACAAGUUUUAUGAAGUUUUGGAGUCAUUUCAAGGUAUGAUUUUGAUAAAUUUGUGCCAAAAGAGAUGAAUCAAAUUAAAGAAAACAAAUAAAGUUGAUGAUGAUCCAAAUACACAAUGAAAGAAGUAAUGUAAUUGGUUUGGACCAAGCUUUGGAGCUGAAUUGAAGGUGGUGGAGGUGGAUUAAAAAUGAAGAAAUGGGAGAAAUUGCAAAGAGGAGUCGAAAAAACAUGUUUUUCAAUUUCGCAUGACCAUGCGAAAUGAAACAGAAUGGGUGUUGGUUGCAACAUACAAGGGAAAUGUGAAAAGUGAUUUUGCAUGACCAUGCGAAAUUUUCGCACAAUCAUGCGAAACGCUCCAGGAAGACGAAAAUGAAGCUAAUGGACUUUCCACUUCGCACCAUCAUGCGAAAUUGCUGGGGGCUCGUGCGAAAAUGUAUUUUCUCCAGAUUCCUUGAUGAAGAAGCCUCCGAAAGACCUCUUAGAUGAUGCCAAGUGUCCACUUAACCUUGGCCUAUAAAUAGAAACGUGAUUGACUCAUUUAAAGACUUUUGAUAUUUCUUAAUUAUAGAACUUUCUAGAUUUUUUCUCUCUAUAUAAUUCUCUACUUUCCUUCAUUUUCUCGGUAGCCAAACAUGUCUUGUGAGACCAAAUCUCCAAGCAUGAGUGGCUAAAUCUCAUUUUUCUCGGAGGAGGGAGGAUUUAGAGACAAAAUCUAUGGUGAAUUAGAGAAUUGAGCUUGAAUUGCAAAGGUAAUUUGAUCCAAUUGAUUGAUUAAUUGAAAUUUGGGGAUUUUUCUCUUCAAAUUGUCUUGGAUGAUUACUACAAUGCAAGCUAGGUAGAUUCAUCAAAUUUGUAAUGCUAAAUUUGAUGAGAUUGAAUAGUUGCAUUGUGUGAAUCAUUGGAAGAUAAUUUCAGAUGAAUUGAAUAUAUGAUUUGAAUUGAUCUAUUGGAUUAAAUGACCUAAUUUGAAGAUAAAUUAGAUCUAGACCUAAAGCUAAAUAAAAAAUCAGUUUAGAUGAAAAUUUAGGUUUUCAAUCUAACUUGAUAAAAAUUAGAUCUUAACAUCUAUUUACCAUAGAAAUUGUUUUCUAGAAAAUCCUAACUUCGAGAAUUUCAUCUCCUAUUAAUUUUCUUUUAUUUUACAUUUUAUUUUUCUUUUCAAUUUUAGACCAUAGUCAAAUUGAUUUUUCAUCAUGAAUUUUCAAAUCAAUUUCACUUGAUCACAAUUAUUUCUUAUCCUCUCAUUCAAGCUUUAAUUACCGAGAAUAAUCCAUCCUAGUGGACGAUACCUAAAAACCACUAUACUACGGCAGUUUGUACUAAAACCAUUUUUGAUCGAGUACAAGCUACUUUAGGAUAGUGAAUUAGGUUAUAAAUUUUGUUUUGAUCAAAUAAACAACAAAAAUCUGAGCGAUCAGUUGGUCUUGGUAAUUGGGAUGAGUUUCCCAUGGUGAGUGCAUUAGUAUAUAUGGUUACACAUUGGAAAAGACCUACGACGAGUCAUGGCUUAAGGCUACCAAGUAGUCAUGGCCUCACCAAGUUGUUUCAUUAUGUUGUCUCUCAACCUUGAGGGAAUACUGAGUUCAUGAUAAAGUUAACAAUGACUUUGACCUAUGGGUGAGAUCGUAAGUUGAUCAUAUAUUCCCUAUAAAUUGGGUCAUUGUUGAUGGAAGUCGAUAGUAAUAAGUAUUCUCAAUAGAGACACUAUGAUAUCUCAUGAGAUUGAGGCAGUAUGUCCCCUUGGGUGAUCCUAAGGAGGUGUGUUCAUGAAAAUUAUGACUAUAGUUGUUCUUUAAGUGAAACUUGACAUAGGCUAUUUAAGAGUUAAAACAUGUUAGUUGAAUACACAAUAAGAUGAUCUGUAACUGAAGGAUGGUAGAGGUAGUAUUGAAAGUCUGAUAGCUUUCACCUUGUUAGACUACAAACGUUGGUUUAUGGGGAGACUAAACAUAAUGGAUAGUAGGUUAUGGACCCGAGCACGUAAUGUCUUGUUAUUUACAUAGGAUAAUGGAGUUUAAUUGAUUAUCUAUAGUGGGAUGUUAAAUCAACUUCAGAAUUGGAUUAUGAGGAAACCAGUACUCCUUUGGGUCCCGGUGGUCCUUGCUCUAGGCUCAUAAGAGUUUAAUUACUACUAAGUUCACUUUUGUGCAUAAAGGCGUUUUGGUAAUUACGCAAGGUUGCAUAGGAGUAAGUGAACAAGGUCUCUGGAUUGAAUUAAUUGAUUAAUUAGUAGGCCUUAUUGGGUUAAUUAAUAAAUUAUAACCCAUUUUAGGCUAGAUUAAGUGACCCAAGCCCAUGUGGGCUCAGGUCACUUAAGCUCACUUAGAAAUCCUAUAAAUACCCCUUAGGGGUUAGGGUUUCCAUAACUUUUAUCUUUCACCAUCCACAAAGAGAGAGUCAUAGCCUCCACCCUCAAUUCCUUCCCAUCGGAAGUGUGACAAGAACAAGGUUGAGUCAUUGGACGGAAAUCGUGAGUUUACGAGACUUCCAACAACUUCAAGGUCAUCUUCAAUACUUGGAAUUUAAGGUUUGGGAACAUCCAAACCUAAAGGUUAGUACUUUAGCCCUAAAAGAUCAAUUUUUAAAAAAUAGUAUUGCUUCCGUUGCUUAGAUCUAAGAUGCCAACACCAUAUUGAAUUUCAAGCUAUGACCUUCAACUUUCAUUUUCAUGUUUGAUUGUUCUCUAACUCCUUCCAUAACAUUUGUUGCUUAUCUUCCAUGUCCAUGACUCUCUCAUUUUUAAUUUUUUUUUUUUUGUUUAGAUAUCCUCUGCUUUUUUUGCAUGUUUACAAUUUGCUAUCCUAUGAAACUCAUAUGGACAAACUCCAUUAAAAAUACUAUAUAAAGCCUUAUCAUUGGCUUCACUACCUUCAUUAUCAAUUUUGUCUCAUUCAUAUUUAGGUUUCUAUUCUCUUGUUGAUCUUCCUUCAGUAUCAAAGAUCAAUCAUGGUCCUUAACUAUAUUCAAUUGAAUGUCAUACCUUUUUACCUUGCAUUUUAAGGAAAAACGUCAUACGUACUUUCCAAUGGGAAUAGUUACUCCCAUUAAAAUAGGGUGGACUAUUUAAAAGAGCACCACUUUUUGAUUGUUCUAUAUUGGACUUACAGGAUCAAUAAAAAUUUGAUUUUUAUCCUAUAUGAUUGAUAAAAAUUUGAUUUUUAAACAAUAUAAAUAAUAAAAAUUGAAUUUUUAAUCAAUGUGAUAAAGAAUUGAUUUUUUAUCUUGCUCUGAUACUAAUUGAAAAUGGGUACUACUCUGAAUGCCACUUGAAUAAUAGUCAAAAGUCCAAUAGGGAACACCCAAAUGAGGGGUGAAUGAGUGAUUUAAAAAUUUAAAACAAUAUUAUUAAAUUAUAAUCAAUUUUCUUAUCCUAAGAUAUUAUAGGGAUAUUCAGGAUAUCCAAAUAAAAAUUCACCUCAAAUAAAAAUAUAAUUUUUAUGGUUAAUUUAUAUCCAAAGAUUAUUUAGGGAUGGAAUAAAACAAAUACUAAUAUCCAAAAGAUAUCUUGAAGGGUGUUAAGGAUAACAAAAAUUAGUUAUAGGGAUAACCUCUAUAACCACCUAAAUAACCAACACAACAACCUCUAGAGUAAUCUCAACAAAUCAAUCGAACCAAGAUAUUCAAUAUCAUCAACCAAAACAUAAGUAGGAAUAAAUAGAUAUGUAUUUUUAGGAAAGUCCUUCAAGAUAUUAAGGAUAAUCAAUUUAACCAGUUAUAUGCAAUUCAAACAAAAUAUCAAAUAUAAAAUAUAUAGACAAUGAGACACAAUAAUUUUUAUGUGGAAAACCUCCACAAAUUGUGGAGAUAAAAAACCAUAAGGUCUAAGACUUAUCAAUCUAAAUCCACUAUUUAAAAUCAAGCUACACAUAUUUAGCUGACCGCUUUACCCUAAAGGUUUAGAAUGUGUUUAGAAGUGAUUCUAGAAAAUAUUUAUACCAUUUUUAACACUUGAAUGAUAAAAAAUUUCAAGUACUAGAAAUAUUAAAAGUGUUUCUUAGAAUCACUGCCAAAUAGGCUCUUACUCUCCAAUACUUAUAACUUGAUCUACGUCCGCAAUGCAACAACUAUUUAUUGCUCACUAGUAGGACCUUUGAUCCUUCUAAAGGAUUACAAUCUUCAACUAACAAUUUAAAGAAUUGAAUCCUUGAAUGAGAGAUCAGAAAUGGUGUGGUAAUAAGGCUUUCUUUUAAUGAGGUCCCUCUCUAAGGAACAAGAAGUCUCAACAAAGUAUUUUUAUCUUCCUAGAACUCUCCACACAAUCAUUCUAGGAUCUCUUAACUUGAACCUCUAAGCCUAAAUCUCUAACCCUCAAAGGUUUAUAAGGGAGGUAUUUAUAGGCACAAGUCAAAAGAGUCAUAGUAUCUUAAGUUUCCAAAUUAGAGUUUGAGUGAAAAUCAUCCAAAAUACUUUUCUAAACUCGGUAGAAUUGACAUGACCGUUUGAGCGAGCUUGGACCACAUGAGCAGUCCAUUUAAGCAGUCCUUAUCGCUUGAGCAACCCUUGCUUCUUUUGAAAAAAUAUUUUAAAACAUUUUAAGUCCAAAAAUGAUACUGAACGUUUUAUACCUCAAAUAAACCUUAUAUGCCACAAGCCAAACCUUUUUAGAUGUACCAGUGACUUCUCGAUUGGACGAAUAACAACCUUUGAUCUUCAGUGGAGUGUAAGUCACUAUCUAAAAGACUUCUAUGGUCAAACAUAAAUUGGAACAAAAUUGUCAACAUAUGAACAAGACUCAAUAUCUUAACAUUAGGUGCCUUAUUUUUGCUUCAACAAAAUUUGAAAAAGAAAUUAAAUUUAUAUUUCAUUAAGUUUAGUUAGGAAAUAAAUGAAUGAUUUAUUAUAAUGAAAAAUGUCAACUAUUAAGAUUAUAUGGUCAUAAUAUGUUAACUAUUAUAAGAAUGAAACUAAUUUAAAAAAAAUAUAAUCAAUACACACUUCUAAUUUGUAGAUGAAUUUUUAAAUCAAUCCUACCCAAUCAAUUUUUUUUUAUCAAUUUAAUAUUUUUUUUAAUGUUUUUUGAAAUUAUUUUUAUUAAUAAUUUUUCUUUAAUGUUAGGGUAAGUCCAUCCAAGUGUUUGAUGAUUUUUUUAUUUUUAUUAUUUUACAACAAUUUUUAUGAUUUUUUUUUUCAAAAAUUGAUGGUAAAUCAAUUUUUAUUUUUUUGAAAUGUUAUAAUUUUUUAUGUAAAUAUUAUGUUAUUCCCUAUUUAUUUUUAGUAUUUUUUUGUAUAAUUAAUUAAUGUGAUAAUUGGUAAAUUAUUGUGGAUGCAAUUUAGGAAAGACGUAGACCUUGAUUGUUUGACUUUUUAUAGGUUACAACUAAUUAAUUAUUUUGAAUAAUUUUAUUUAAAAUUUUUGGAUUAAUUUUGUAUAAUAUAUUGUCAUGAUAUUGUGAUAUAUUAAUUAUUAAAAUAUAAUCUUAGUUUGCUUUGAUUUUGUUAUUUUAAUCAAUGGAUAGACCAUAUUAAUUCAAUAAAGUUAAUUUAAUAGUCAAAACAUAGAAAAUAUAAUCUCAAUUUAAAACAUUAAUGUACAUAUUUUUCUAAAUAAUUUAUAAUGAAAUUGUUUUUCGUAACAAUAUAUUUAUUUUCCUUUAAUAUACACUUAUUUUUCUAAGAAAUGUACUUUUUUUUAAAAAUGUAAUUGUUUUUCCUAAGGAUGUACUUAUUUAUAUUAUUACAAAUUUAUCAUAAAUUUAAUUAUCAAUAAAUGACCAUUUUGGUAUUUUCAUUAACCAAAAAUUCAUAAAUCCUCAAGAAGUAAAAUGAUAUAUCAAAUCACAGACAAAAAUCACAUGUACAAAUAGAUCUAUCUCGCAACAAGAUCUAUAAUUUUUUUCUUCUAACAUAUAUUAAAUAAAAUUUUUAGGGAUAAUUCACCUUACCAAAAUCCAACCCUUAACUUUAAAAUCAGACUCCAUAACAAUAUUCCCCACGUGAAAUAAAAUAGCAUCCUAGAAUUUCAUACCAAACGAACUACGUUUGGUCUAUCAAACAACCUUUUGAGGACUAAUGCUACAUGUUUUUUUAUUUUUUUUUAUUUUCUGUUUCCUUUUUUAUUUUUUGUUUUUCUCAUUUCUCUCUACUGUCAUCCAACUCUUUUUCUCUCUCAUUUCCCAUUUGUUUGACUUUUUCUUUUCUUUUCCUUUUUAAUUCUUCAUCGUGACGUCCAUACCGGCUUCUUUUAUUAUUAUUUUUACUAUUAUUACAACUUUGCUAUAUUAUUUUUUAUACAUAUCCUUAAAAAUAUUUAAUUCUUCCUAAAUUAAUUUUUUUUUAUGAUAUACAUACUUUUUUUUUUCAAAACUAUCAUUUUAUGUGGACCACAUGUAUAUUAUUAUGUGAUAUUUAUUUAAAUAUUAAAUUAAGUAUUAUGGUUUAAUAAAUAAUAAAGCUAAAAUCCUAUUAGUCAGUUUUCGAGAAGUUAGUUUCUUAAAUUAAAGACACUUUGAUGGAAAGUGCACUUAUAAUUAUAUAAGGAAACUGGUCCUCUCUCCACCCUAUAAAUAAAUGUUCUAUUCCAUCAAUAAUACGCAUAAGAGAAAACCUAAGGGUGAAGGGGUUAAGGGAGAGAAACAUAGUUUCUAUUAUACUUAUUGUUUGGUCUCUUCAAAAAUUCCCUAGGGAUUAAAGACAUGUUUUUUGUUUUUCUCUCAAUAAUAGAAUUGUGAAAAUCAUAUUAUUUUAGAAUCCUUGGUUAUUAUGACUAUUCUGCAAGAAUUAAAGUUAUGGUUGUUCUGCAGGAAUUAGGGUUAUUAUUAUUCUGCAUAAAUAAAGAAAACCUAACAUGUGGUAUUAGAGUAAUGGUUCAAGAACUUAUGAUUUUCCUUUAAAGAUUAUUUUAUAUCUCUCUUAUGAUAUCAAAUUUUGAUGAGAGAAUUAAAUUUAUUGAUUGUAUUUUUCUGCUGCAAUCAACAUAUUUUGUUGAUAUUUUUGUAUUCAAUUUCUUCCUGAAAUGAAUUAUGGUGGCUUCAAGUUAUUAUAUGAAUUAUGAUUUUAUGUCAAUUAUGAUUUGUUGCCACAUAAUUGUUUAUUGCUAUUAAUGCACAAUUUGAAUAAAUCAAAUUCUUUAUGACUUUAUGUUAAACUUGAUCCUUUUAUGAAGAAAUUGCAUAUUAUGCAACUUGAGAUCAUAAGUUAUUUUUGGCAAAUUGUCUUUUAUGCUUCCGUAAUAGUAUUAUGAAGGUUUAACAUGAUUGAGAUUUUGUUUAAUUUGAUAUUCAUAUUAUUUUUGUUUGCAGUCACCAAAGUGACCAAACUUUAAUGUUUUGAAUAUCAAAUUAUAUAAUAAUUAUUUAUAUUAUAUAAUUUGAAAUUCGCUUAUGAACGGUUUGUUAGUCACCAAAGUGGCCAAAUCUUAAAGUUUUGUGUCUAUCAAGUUGUAUAAUAUUAUUAUUGAUUACCUAUUAUGUAUGAGGUAAUAUAAGAAUGAUUGAAUAGUUAUGGGUUAAAGAUCAUUUGGCUGAAGGUCUUAUUAUGGGUGAUUAUUUAUAUGAAUUAUACAUUAUGGAUAUUGUUGUCAAUGUAAUGCAAAUUGACACUUUUGAGAUUUUGAGGUAUAAUUCACAUAAAUAUAAAUGGAGCUAAUUAUGUGGGAAUUUCUCAUAUUGUAGACUCUCAAUUUUGUCUCCUUAGCAUAUUCCUUAGGUGUUAUUUCAGUACUGUGUAACAGUUCCCUAAUGGCCCAUUGCUACUCAUACAACCUACCUUUUUGAGCCACCUUAGAGACUCUGAUUGAGGGAUUUAUCUCUCCCCAUUGUGACCCUUGGCAGCCCCGAAUUAGACUUAGGAUUUUUCUUCUUUUUUUAGGAUAGCUCAUUUAGGUACAUUUUUAGGAUAACAUACUUAGGCAUGUUUAAGCACACUUUUUAUAUCACUUAGGUUCACUUAAACACUUCUUACGCACACCUAGGCACCUUUUAGCUUGCACACACUCACCCAAGGUCACCUAGGCACUUUCCAAAUUACACACACUCACCUUAGGUCACUUAGGCACCUUGUUGAUCCUCAUAGGUCACUUAGGACCACUAAGUCACACCUUAGGUCACUUAGGCUAACCUUAGGUCACUUAGGCACAUUAUAAUUCAACUAGAUUCACCUUGGCACAUUACACUUUACCUAGAUUCACCUAGGGCACAUUUAGGUACACCCUAACCCAUCUAGGCACACUCAAGCCCACUUAGGCACGCCUUGAUCCAUUGAGGCACACCUUAUCCCAUUUAGGUAUACUCUAGGUCACUUAGGCACCUUUCUAAUCACCUUAGGCAUAUGUAGACAUUUUUUAGAUCACCCUAGGUCACUUAGGCACGUUUCAGGCUCAUCUAGGCCCACCUAGAUUCACUUUGGCCCAUUUAGAUUCACCUAGGCCUAUUUAGGUGCAUCUAGGCUCGAUUAGGUUAGCUAGGUCCACUUAGACACAUCUUUGGCCCACUUAGGAAUGUCUUGGCCCUUGCAGGUACACCUGACCCACUUAGGCACACUCAAGCCCACCAAGGAUCACUUCAUAUGGAUUGUUUCACUUUAAGUUGGACUUUGGUUUUGAUUGCUUGAUUUUUGAGAUUAGGUAAGUAUGUGGUUUGAUUUAGAUUUUUUUGAUUGCUUGAGGUGAAUUUUCAUUAUUUAAUUAUGUUAAUUCGAUAUUUCAUUUUUCAAUUUUAUCUAUUCCUUUAGUUUAAUAUUAAGUAUUUCAUUUUUCAAUUUUAUCUAUUCCUUUAGUUUAAUAUUAGGAUUUGUGAUCGCAUGUGUUUAGUAUUUAUGUAUUUAUUCAUUUAUUUUUGUUUUAUUUAGUUAUUUAUUUAUUUUUGCUUACUUGUUCAUUUUUUUUAGGAAAGUUACAUAAGGUCGCUUCUACUUAUUUUUCUAAUUGCAUGAAUUAAUUACUAUUACUAUUAUUAUUAUUGAUUUUCCUAUAUAAGUAUGUGAUUGAUUUCUUUUAUUUUAUUUUUACUUUUCAUGAUUUUUGAUUCUACCAUUUUUAUUUUAUUUAUUUCUUCAUUUAUUUAUUUUUGCAUGAAUCCUGUGGCUAUGCGUUGGAGAAUCUACAUUAGAGAAGACUCUUAGGAAGACGAAUUUGGAAGGUUUUAGAAAAGGAAAGGGGUUGUUAGCUAUUCGGGAGAAAAAGGAAGGUUGAAAACGUGUUUUAGGAAGGAUAUUUGGGCAAAAGUCUUUUGGGGAAAUAAAGGAGAUUCAAUCAUAAAGGAAAAAAAAAAAAAGGAAUUUUCGUGUGUGGUGAUGGAAAGGAAAGAUUGAGCGGGUUUAAGAAUGAAUUCAAGGUGUUUUGAAGAAGGGAGAACAUGUGUGAGGAAUAAGAGGAUUCAAUGACUUUUAGAAGAAAGGGUUGUCAUGUAUAGAGUGUUGUAUUUAAGGGUAUGGAAACAAAGGACUAGUCCAAAACAGACAAACAAAGAACAAAAUGAAUAACAAGGAAACUUGGUGCACUGUCCUUGAAAUAGAUCCACCCUCCUCGAAGACGAACUCGGUGCAUUAGGGUACCAUUGGUCUACCUCUAGGAUUUAACAGCCAGAAAAUCUCAUCUUUGGUGCACUCUAUAAGCGAGACGUAUACAGCUCGGGUUCUGAAAUAUUCCUUCAGAUAGAUGUAUGAAAGGCUCUCUGAAAAACUCUUUGAAAAAUUGGGUGUGUAGAGAGUGAAGGGUGACCUGCUUUUAUAGGCCACAAACACAGUCCAAAUGAGACUCUACUUGUAAUCUAAACAGAACUUUACUUGUAAUUUGAACAGAACUUUACUAUUCUACAUGUAAGCAGAAUGGGACACUACUAGCAUAAUCCUAGUGGGACUCUUCCCAAAGAUAAAAGACUAAGUCAAACGGAAUAAAAAUUUAAAUUAAAAUAAAAUAUUUUGAAUUUUGUAAAAAUUAGUUGAAUUCGCUAAAACACUUUUUCACAUUUACACUCUUCCUACAAUCUCCCACAGAGUGUAGAUGUGAAAGAAAAAAAUGGAGGAAAAAAGAAUCCAAUACAUCAGUACUAGUGCCCAAAGGCUAUGAACCAAUCUUAGGACAAAUAAGUAUUGAAUCACAAAACACGAUGAAAAUAAAUUUCUAUGAACCAAUGUUUCUUGAUGUAACUCAAGGAACUUUUAUCCACAUUCAUUUUCUCAACUACAUUACAAGCUGUUCAAAACGGGUUGGCACAAAUAAGCCAUGUGCCCUGCUUGGAUAUUCAUGAGAGUUCUAGAGAACCUGCCUAAGUUCUCAUAGGAAGCGGUCUCACCUCCACUCUCAUAUAGGUGAAUCCAUCAGGUAUGUUCUACAUUUAAACAUACCAUCCAUAAGGAAUAUGGUAUUCAUUAAGAGUAAACACUCAACCUUAGUUAAUGCAAAAUAUACUCUAUUUACACCAUAGGGAUAGACUCUCAUACAAUUAAAGUCAAUAGAGUACUUUAAGUCAACAAGUGAUUUGUUAUUACCCAUAUGAACCUACUUCAUGGAAUUUCCAUUCUAAUAGCUUGGGUUACCACCACUCUUGACUUCUGUAAUAGGCAUAAGCCCCAUCCCCCGUGAUGUUUCUUCCACUAGUUUCUUAUUUAGUGAUUUGGUCAAAGGAUCAACCAAGUUCAAAUCUGACAUCACAAAUUCUAGGGAUAUAAUCCCUGUUUCAAGCAACUGUCGCACAAUAUUGUGCCUUAUGAGUAUAUGCCUAUUCUUCCCAUUAAAUAUUUUACUCUUGGCCUUAGCAAUUGCAACUUGGCUAUCACAAUGCAUAAACACAGGUGGGGCUGAUCUCGUCCAUAAAAAGAUAUUUGCUAAGAGGUUUCUAAACCACUUAGCCUUAGAACUUGCCUUUACUAAGGCAAUAAGCUCAACCUUCAUAGUAGACCGAGUAAUGCAAGUUUGCUUGGUGGACUUCCAAGAAACUGCAUUUUCACCAAGGAUGAAAACAUGUACACUAGUGAAUUUCAUCUCAUCUAAAUCUGAGAUCCAAUUUGCAUUACUAAAUCUUUCAAGGACACUUGGAAAUCCACUAUAGCACAAACCAUAGUUAAUGGUGCCUCUUAAAUACUUAAGGACUCUACGAACAACAUUCCAAUGGUCCUGAUUAGGACUUUGGGUGUACCGACUCAAUCUACCUACUGCAUAAGCAAUGUCAAGUCUGGUAUAGUUCAUUAAGUACAUUAGGCUCCCUAUGAUCUGAGCAUACUCUAUUUGGGCAACACUGUGUUUUCUAUUUUUCUUCAACUGUGAGCUGGGAUAAUAAGGAGUUGACACUAGUUUACAAUCAAAGUGUUCAAACUUCCUUAGGAUCUUCUCAAUAUAGUGCUCUUGAUAAAGUUUAAACCUAUUAGGUGUUCUAGUUAUUUUAAUUCCUAGAAUUACUUUUGUCUCUUCUAGGUCUUUCAUAUCAGACUUAGAACCUAGGAAUUUCUUAGUCUCACACACAACCUCUAGGCUAGGUCCAAAGAUCAGCAUGUCAUCAACAUAAAGGCAGAUGACUACACGUGUUAUCCUCAUACUUGUUGUAGACACACUUAUCAACAUCAUUAAUGGAAUAUCCAUUAGUUACUAACACAUGAUCAAACUUCUUGUGUCACUAUUUGGGAGCUUGUUUUAGCCCAUAUAAUGAUUUAACUAGCUUACACACCUUUUUCUCAUUCCUUGGUUGUUUUAAAUUUCUUUUAAAGAUCCACUUACAACCAAUAGUCAUUGCACCAGGAGGUAUAUCUACUAACUGUCAUGUAUGGUUAUACAUGAUUGAUUCGAUUUCACUGUUUAUGGUCUCCUUCUAGAAUGGUGUAUCAGGAUAAGUUAUAGUUUUUUUGUAGGAUCUAGGGUCCUUAUCUAUUAGGAAGGUGUAGAAACCAUCUCCAAGGUUUGUUUCCUUCCUAUCUCUUUUACUUCUUCUAAGUUCAAAUUUAGAAGGUUCAAUAGACUCGUCUCUACUUGUUUUCUGAACUUGUUUUGCAACGACCCACACCCAACUAUGUAGAUAUUGUCCGCUUUGGGCCCAAGAGGGCCCUCACGGCUUUAAAACGUGUCUACAGGGUUAAGAAAAGUCCAUACUUAAAUAGCGUCAGGAAUUUUCCCCCCUAUCCGAUGUGGGAUGUCAUAAACACCCCCCUUAUCCAGACACAAUGUCCUCGUUGUGUCCCACGGGAUUGCGGGGCCAAACAGAUGAACACCCCUAUGGGGCCAAACAAAUCCCCAUAUCGAGGUUGGAGAUCGGCUCUGAUACCAUUUGUAACAACCCACACCCAACCAUGUAGAUAUUGUCCGCUUUGGGCCCAAGGGGACCCUCACGGCUUUAAAACGCAUCUACAGGGUUAAGAGAAGUCCAUACUUAUAUAGUGUCAGGGACUUUCCCCCCUAUCCGAUGUGGGAUGUCACAAAAGUUCACCAUUUAGUUUCAUAGGAAAGAUGUUUUCAAAGAAAUCCGCAUUCUUUGUUUCUAUUAUGGUAUUGACAUCUAUAAGACUAUUUUCUGACUUAGUAACAAGAAACCUAUAUGCCGCACUAUUCUCAGCAUAGCCAAUGAACAUUGCAUCAAAGGUUUUAGGAUCUAGUUUUUGUUUUUUAGGUUCAGGGAAAAGGAUUUUGGCUAAACACCCUCACACUUUAAAGUAUGCUAUAUUAGGUGCAUAACCUUUCCAUAACUCAUAAGGAGUUGUACUGGUUUUCUUGUAAGGUAUUCUAUUUUGAAUAUGACAAGUGGAGAUGAUAGUUUCCUCCCACAAGUUCAAGGGUGCUCCUGAACUUACCAACAUUGGAUUCAUAAUUUCUUUUAAGGUCCUAUUUUUCGUUUCUGUUACUCCAUUAGACUCAGGGGAAUAAGGAGGAGUAGUUUCAUGAACGAUCCCAUGAUCUUCACAAAAAAGUUAAAGGGGUUGGACUCAUACUCUCCUUCCCUAUCGAUUCUAUGCCUUUUAAUUUUCUUACUUAGUUGAUUUUCCACUUCAUUUUUGUACUUGAUGAAAACAUCUCUUGCUUCAUCUUUGUUUGUCAAAAGAUAUACCCUUGUAUACCUUGAGUAGUCAUCUAUGAAAGUUAUGUAGUAUCGUUUACCACCUCUAGUCAUUGUAUUUUUUAGGUCUCUUAAGUCACUGUGUAUUAAACUUAGUAGAUCUGAUUUUCUUUCAAUUGUUUUGCAAGAUUUUUUUGUGGUUUUAGAUUUUACACAAGAUUCACAUUUUCCAUGGUUUUCUAAGGAUAGUUUAGGGAUUAAAUUCAAUUCAACCAUUUUCUUCAUAUAUGAAAAGUUCAUAUGUCCUAGUCUACCAUGCCAAAUAUUGCAAGAAUCAACAAUGUAAGCAGAAGAAGAAGAUGCAUUAUUAUUGAUAAUAUCAUAAACAUUCAACAUAAAUAAACCCUAAUUACAAUAGCCCUUUCCCACAAAUGCAUCAUUCUUGGUUAAAACUAUUUUAUCAGAGUCAAACAAGAUCCUCACUCCUACUUUCCCAAGCAGAGAUACUAACACCAAGAUCUAGCGGAUAUCUGGCACAUUAAGAACAUCACUGAAGGCAAACACUUUUCUAGAGGUUAGCUUGAUGAGAACUUUCUCUUUACCAAUCACUAAAGUAGAUCUAGAAUCACCCAAGAAGACUUGUUCCUCUCCGUCCUUUACAGUAGUAUAGGAAGUAAAUGCACUUUUGUUCCCACAGAUGUGCGUGGUAACCCUAGAGUUUGUCAUCUAGUCCUUCACAUUGGUGACCAUGCUCACCUCAGAGGAGAUUACUACUAUGAUCUCCUCUGUCUCCAUAUUUGCCUUUGAAUUGGACUUCUCAGUUAUCUUCCUAUGGCAACAUUGAGCUGCAUGGUGUCCAGACUUGCCACAGACAAAGCAAUUACCUCGUUUUUUAAUAGUUGGAUUUUGGACCUUGUUUGAUGCAUUGGGCUUGGUUCUAGAGUUUUGUUUUCUGGACCUAUCUUUUUUUUUUUUUUUUUGGUUUGAGUUUUUUUUUUUUUACUACAUUAGCCUUAGAAGACAAUUCCUUAGCUUUCUCAACAUCGUCCUUAUUUCGAUUUUGUUCCUCAAUCCUAAUAUGGAUUAUGACAUCUUCUAGGGACAUUUGUUUUCUUUUAUGUUUCAUGUUACUUUUGUGGUCUUUCCAAAACUUUGGAAGAGUCUCUACUAAAUAACCAACCACAAAAGAUUUGGGUAAUUUAAUGUCUUCAAUAACUAAGUUAUUAAUCAACAAGUGAUAGUCAUGGAUUUGAGAUGAUACAUCUCUAUCCUCGGUCAUUAGGAAAUUUCUAAAAUUUCCUAUGACAUAUUUCUGAGUUCCUGCAUCUUUCAAGAUAUAUUUUUUAUUCAUUGCAUCUCAAAUUUCUUUUGUAACUUUAAAUUGACAAUAAAUAUAAAAAAGUUCAUUAGAAAGGGUACUUAGAAUAGUAUGCCUAACUUGUUUAUUUCAUGUUUCCCAUGUAGGCAACUAUAGACCCCGUAUUUUUGGCUCGAUGCGUUCCCACUCAUUUGGCGAGACUCGCUUUUGAUUAAAAUGAAAAACUGAUUUUUUAUAAAAAGUUGGAGUCGCUACUGACUUUUAUUUAUUUUUUAAGGGGAAAACAAGUAAGAAUAAAACCCUUAAAAGGACUCCUGAUUUUUGUGGAAAAGUUGUCUACGAAAAACUUGAGUCUGGGUUCGGGGAUAAGGUUACUUAUUGGGAAGGUACGGUAAAGACUGUAACACCCUUCUAAGCCCCUAAAAAAUGGGUCUCUACUAAAUAAGAUGAAACAGAUAUGACAAUUAACUAGGAGGUCAAUGGAUACAAAAAUUAUCAUUGUUCAAAAACAAGUCAUGAUAAUGAAAUAAUAAACAAAAUGAGGGUGAGAGCGUACCUAUGUAGCAAAGAAUAAAACGUUGUCAUGAAAACAAGGUUAGUGUAUAAUGACAAGUGUAAAAAAAUCUCACACAAAACCAAAUCAAAAUCAAACAAAAUCAAUCGCACAGUUCAUUUGAAUUAUUUUCGAAAUAAAUGUUAUGAAUGUUGGGCCCCCACCAAAACCCAAUUUAUUUUGUUAUGAAUUAAUUCUCAUAAAUUCCAUUAUUUUGGAAUUAUGAAAACUUAUUCAUUCUUUUAUUUUUAAAAUAAAAAAAAUUGAAAAUGAGUUUUUUGAAAAUAAAAUUUGGAAUUUAGGAACUUUUGGAAAUGGAAUUUUAAGAAUUAAAUUUGGGAUAUUGGAAUUUUGAAAAUUUUGGGGAAUGGAAACUUAAAAAUUAAAUUUGGAAUUUUGGAAGUUUUGGAAAUUUUGGAAAUGGAAACUUAAAAAAAAAUUUGGAAAUUUGGAAGUUUUGGGAAAUUUUGGAAAUGGAAACUUAAAAUUAAAUUUGAAAUUUUGGAAAUUUUGGAAAUAACAAUUUUUUUUUUUAAAAAAAAUUAAGUUUGGAAUUUUGGAAAAUUGGAAGAUUUAUAUGAAGAUGAUAUCUUUAAAAAAAAUAAGUUUGUGAUUUUGGAAAAUUGGAAGAUUUGUUUGAAGAUGAUAUCUUUUUUUUUUUAAAAAAAAAAAUAAAUUUAGGAUUUUGGAAAAUUGGGAAAUUUAGAAAAUUAUUUGAGAAUUUUAGUUAGUGUGCUUAGAGAAUAGCCAUCAACAACCAUGUACACAUGGGAGGUUUAAGUGCAAAGGUAGGUCUGCUUUGUGAGUGCCACUUACUCUCCUUAAAAAAAAACAUAUUCUAAAAAAACUUGCCAACCUAGGACGUAUUAUACCCAGUUUUAUCCACACCUAUAUAUAAAGGAUUUGAAUCAUGCAAGUCAUGCGCCAAUCGAACCCACUCAAUAUCUCAAAAUGAUAACUGUCUGACACGGGAAAUGAAACCAUGUUUAUGCAUUUUCUUUCACAUGGGCCGGUGCUAGCGGCAGUGGGAAAUGAGGUCUGGAUUGAUAGGAGCUGAGGAACAAAGCUAGACGAUGUUCCGGGGGUGAUUGGUGGGCAUUGUGAGUGGGAUAAGCUGGCGGUGGCUGUGUGUGUGUGUGUUCAUAAUGGCAACUUGGUGGUCUGAUGGUGUGAUCAUGUGCUUGUUGCUUUUCUCCUCACAAUCAUGAAAACACGCACUAAAGUGACUGAAAUCCCUCCAAAAAUCAAGCAUCAACACAACACCAAUGUGGUAAAAUGGAGCAGCAUUUAUGGAUCCAUGAAUCCUUCAUGAAUUUACCAUAAAAAAAAUUAAUAACCAAAGCCACUACACAUUCAUGAAUUCUUUAUGGAUUGUCAUGAAAAUACUCCAUUCACGGUGACAAAACUAACGACCACAAUGUUCCAUAAUUCAGUCGUGAGAGGAACACUCUAUACACGGCCACGAUAUCCCCAUUGUUUCAUUUUUAAAAAGCAUUAAAUAUCAAAGCCACUAGCAUGAUCUCCACGGUUGCUGCAUAUAAAUUCAACCAUUCAUUUUAUUUUUAAUUCCAUCCACCAUGUCAUUGUCUUGUGAAUCUUCAUUAAAUUCUCUAAAUAUUCGACCACUGCAUUCACACUUUCAUUUUUUUUUCUUUAUUUAUUUAUUUUAAAGAAUCAAUAAACAUUGAAGCCACUAAUAUGAUAUCCACUCAAACACCAACACGACAUGAAUUUUAGCCACAUGACGACCAAUUUCACUUGUAUUUCUUUUCUCCAUUAGCGCAACAAAGUGGGUUCACAUGAAAGUGGUGGUAUUCUCUAUUAGAUCUUCACAUGAAAACAAUUGCAUCUUCCAUUAAAUAUUUACUCAAUGUGCCGCCAUUUUUAGCCAUAAAAAAUUAAAAAUCUAUUAACCUACACGCAUGGUUUCUAGUAAAUCAACAUUAUUGAAUCAUCUAUUUUCCUUGUCGAAUUCAACCACGAGAACACACAGCUGUAACUUUCCGAAAAUUCAUUUCUUCAUUAACAGAAAGUAUUUCCACCAAAAUCAUCCAAACACACUCAUAACCCAUUGUACCCAGAAGAAACGCAUGGUGGUAAACCACUUGAUGCACACUACGGGAUGGACACCAAAACUAAAGGAAAACAACAAUAAUAUUGCAACAAAAGAAACAGAUUAUAAACACAAAUCAUUAAGCCAUUAAAUGAAGAUUUAUCUCAUGGAAUACUAGUAAGCUUACAAGCUAGGUGAAAAAGACCAUGAAUUCUAAGAAAAAAAUGUAAUAAUAAAAAUAUGAUCUUUAAGCAUCACACAACGAAACUAGACCAAAUCUGUAUUAUUUAUCCAUCAUAAACAAAGAAACAGUUGUUGGAAAAAAUGGCAACCAACUUGCAAAUGUCUCAGACAUUAAUAAACAGCAUAAGGCCAUCUACUACUCAUACCUCAAAUUGACAAAUAAACAUCCAAGAACAUCAUACAAUGAACGAGGAACAUGGUAAUAAUGAAAAUAAACAAGAAAUCUGCAAUAGUCAUACCUCAAGGUGUUCCUCUGUUUUGCUUCUUCUUUGUUUUACUUCUCAAAACCCACUUUACCGGAACGUCUCUUUCUACCCAGAAAAUAAAAAAAUCUCUUCCCCAUGACAGCCUUUUCUUCCUUCCUGUGUUGUUUCUCUCUCUGCCUUUCUCCCACUCUCGUCUCCUAUCCAGUUCUCUCUCUCUCUCAAAACCUACUUUUUUCUUUUUCUUCUUUUUCUCUACUCUAACAACUCUCCCAUCUCUCCUACUUUUUCUCUCAAUCCCUUGCUCGGUUUUCCUUCUCUCUCAGUUCCUUCUUCAAACCAGUUUUCUGCCACUCCUUACUCUAUUUUUCUCUCUCAUCUCUCUGUUUUCUCCUCUUUCCAUUUGAAUCCCCUCCACCCUCUGUUUUUUCUUUCUUUAAAUCUCAAUGCUCUCCAUCAAAAACCUCUUCCCCUUCCUCCAGACUUCCUUGGCCUCCCUCAUCUUUUCCUCUUCUUUAAAUCUCAAUGCUCUCCAUCAAAAACUUCCCUCAUUUCCUCCAGACUUCCUUGGCCUCCCUCCUCUUUUCUUCUUCUUUAAAUCUCAAUUCUCUCCAUCAAAAACCUCUCACUUUUCCUCUAGACUUCCUUCACUUUUGAUUUUCUUUCUUCCCUUUUAAGAUACCCCACAUGACUCCAUUUUCCACAACCUCCCUCAGAAAGCCCCAGCCUCCCUCUUUUUCUUUUUAAAAAAUCCUUUUUCCAUGCAUUUUUUUUCCAUUAAUUGUUUUUGGAACUUCACUUUCCUAUGCAUUUUUUUUUAUGGUGCAACUUUAGUCCUCUAGUAGCGUUCUCUCUUUACAUCUCUUAACUUAACAACCAUCUUGUUGCAUUUUUGAGAGUUCUCGAACUCCCAUGCAAAAUAAAUAAAUAAAAGAGCUACAAAUUAAAAACCUUAUAAUAGAAAAUGAAUAAAUAAAUAAAUAACACUACUACAAAAAUAGUUUAUGGUGUCACUAUUUACGGUGUCACUUUUAAAAUAAUGACACCAUAGGAUUUAUAAUUAAUAAAGGUGACACAUCAUAUAAAAAAUCCUCAAUUGAGGUAGUUAGAUGAUAUUAAUUUUAUAUUUAUAGUGUCAUUUUUUGGGAAGUGACAUCAUAUAAAAUAAUUUUUUUAAAGUAUUAUAACCCAUUUUUAGAAUUAAUAAUGAUGGAUACUAUAUAAAAAUCCCAUUGUUUCCAUAUCUCACCCACAAUCCAAAAAAUCUCAAUAUAUAAAUCCUAUAUAUAAAAUCAUGAUCUUCUUCAACCUUUUCUCUCACCCAUAGUCAACACGCUCACAACUGAUAUUCUUCACUUUGUGGACUUCCAGGUAACUCAAAAUCUCUUGGAUCUAUCAUUUUUUUUUCUUUUAUUAAUGUCAUUAUAUUAAUUGUUUCAACAUCUUUGUAUUAUGGUUUUUGUGAAUUGUGUAUUCUUGAGUUGUAGGGAAGAAAAAUUUAGGUUUAAUCUUCUAGCAUAGAAGAAAAAACUGUAGAUUAAUUGAUUUUUUAAUCUAAACCAAACACAUGAUCAAAUCCUUAAAAAAAGUGAAAAACAGGAAAAAAAAUGAAUGAUUUUUAAUAUCUAUUUGUGUGAGAAUGACAGGUACAGAAUUUUUUUGAGAUAUACUAUCACAUAAUCUUCAUCCUUUCUAAAAAACGAGAGAGGAAAAAAAAAUGAUUUUUCUGUUUGUAUCUAAGUGGGAAUGAGAUAUAGAAUUUCGUUAAGAGUAUCCAACCCCAAAAGGACCAAUUCGGGAAGGCAUGUGUGGUAUUGACGGGAGAUGAUAAGAUGGAAAUCAUAACCAUAGCCAUGUUCGAUCUCUCUAUGUCUUUCUAUCCUCUUUAAUUAAUUCAUGGACAUAGAUAUUUUAUUUAGUUUUUAUAUUUAGUUUAUUUAUAGUUUAUUUAGUUUCUAAAAUCCAAUUAGCUAGAUAUUUUAUUUGAUUUUAUUUUUAUAUUUAAGUAGUUGAGUUUUGGAAAGUUUUUAUAUUUUGUUAAUAGAAAUAGAAAUUUUUAUAUUUUUUAUUAUUAGGAAUUUCUAUUUUGUUAAAUUGUAAGUAUCUAUCUCAAUAAGAGAUUAUUAAUAUUCAAAUGAAAGUGAUGAAAGAGAGUAAAUAUUUUAAUGCUCAAUUAUAUUUUAAAGUUUUUUUUUUUUUUUUACAUAAGGGUUUAUUUAUGUUUUCAAUUUUGAAGUUCCCUUUCCAAGUCCAUCAACAAAAGUAGUGUCCAACCUUAAAAUGGGCAUGUGUGGUAUUGACGGGAGAUGAUAAGAUGGAAAUCAUAACCAUAGCCAUGUUCUCUCUGUGUCUUUCUAUUCCCUUCAAUUAAUUCAUGGGCAUAGAUAUUUUAUUUAGUUUUUAUAUUUAGUUUAUUUAUAGUUUAUUUAGUUUCUAAAAUCCAAUUAGCUACAUAUUUUAUUUGAUCUUGUUUUUAUAUUUAAGUAGUUGAGUUUUGGAAAGUUCUUAUAUUUUGUUAAUAAAAAUAGAUAUGAGGACUUAAAGAGUUUAUAUUUAGGUAGUGCUUGAGCCAAGGAAAAUGAUAGUCCACUAUCUUGACCCUAUGCAUCACAAACCAUGUGAGGACUUAAAGGAUAUCGUAAACAUGUAAGUUCUUCCUAUUAUUUUUCAUAGUAUUAUUUUUAAAUAAAAAAAAUACAUUCACCUCAAACACAUUUUUUUAUUAUUUAUAUAUAUUAAAACAUAUAACAUUUACCUAUUUUUAAAAUGUACCCAUUGAACUUAUUUACAUAGGACUCUUCGAAUAUCUGCAAAGAAAACAUCUAAGAGGGAGUCAUCUUAGCAACUAGUGCAAGUGACAUCCAAAAAUUUUUCUUUACACAUUAGCUUAUGCAUUUGCACCAUUUAUAUAUGUGAGUACUAAUGUUAUUUUAUAAUUGAUCGAUUAGUGUCCAAGAGGGUUCGAAUGUGGCUACUUUGUUAUGAGAUUCAUUCAAGAGAUAAUUUUUUAUCCUACAAUUAUUGCUUCAAAGGUAUUACUUAUUUAAUGAAUUGUACAUAGUUUUAGGCUUCCAAAUGUUAUGCAUUUUAAUGUUAUUUUCUUAUUUGAUUUCAGUUUUGUGAUAAAAAAAAAACCAUAUUCUCAAGUAGAAUCAUAUUUCCAUUUAUUCAUCAGAAGAAGCGUCCUUCGAUGAAAUUAGAGGAGAAUGGGCUACUUUUGUGCUACAACUAAUCAUGAAUCAUGUUAAUGCAUCAUGAUCACCAUGCAUGGUGAGUCCCUUAGCUACUACAUGAAUUUUUCCAUAGGUAUUGUAUAGUAAUGCUUAUUCUUUGAAUAAUGUUUCUAUUUGAAAAAAAAAAUAGUUCUUAGAUUUGUUCAUUUAUGAUAACAUCGAUCCAUGUUUAUUUUCUUCAAUAAAAAUCUCUAAAACUCAUUAAAUUUUGAAAUGCAGGUAUACACUCUUGGGAUGGUGAAAUGGAGAAUAAAAAGAAAGAAGAAGGCAACAAGAUUUUGGGUUUUUAAAUGCAACUCUUAUGUUAUACGUUGUAGGACAUAAACGUUAUUUUAAUUGCAACUGAGAAAUUUAGAUUUUUAGAUGGGACUUUUAUGUCAUUUUAUGGUUAGCCGGUUUUAUGCUUAGAAAAUGGAGGUAUACAUGAAUCUUGGGAUCUUUAACAUUUCUAAAUCAUGUUUUGGUAUGUAUUCACUCUUCUUUUUUAGUUUUGAUGGGUUUGAUAUGUUGGACGUACUAUCAUUUUGUGAACAUUUGAUAUACAAAUAUUAUUAGAUGAUCAAUGUAUUAUGAGUUAUUCCAGAAACAUUACAGAAAAAUGAGUUAAAUAUAAUAUGAUUGUUAUAUUUAUGGACAAAAUAUAAAUAGGUUAAUCUUAUUAAUUCAUAAGCAUUACAAAAAUCAACAACUAAAACCAAUCAUAUCUUCCACAAUAAUUUACAAUGAUGUGAUACCAUAACUUAAAGGUGAUGCAUUUAAUGUGACAUCAUAACUCAAAGAUGAUGUAUUUAAUGUGACACCUUAUCAUCACUAGAAAUAUAUGGUGUCACUUCCGAAUGGGUCAUCAUUUAUCUACUUUGGUGUCACUUCCAAAUACGUCACCAAUUGGUACCCUCUAUGGUGUCAGUGGAGAAGGUGAUGCUAUGUUGUAGUGACACCCUAUGUUUAUGGUGACUCAUUAUAAAUGUCACCAUAUACCUUUUUCCUUGUAGUGUAAAUAAUCAUGCCAAUUUGGAAAAGAAAAAUGAAAAAUAUCAAUACAGGCAUAUAUGAGAAAAAUCUAAGAAUUAAUUCAUGAAAUAAUAAUAAUGAUAAUAAUGAUGAUAAUAAUGAUAAUAAUAAUAAUAAUAAUAGUAAUAAUAAUAAUAAUAAUAAUAAUAAUAAUAAUAAUAAUAAUAAUAAUAAUAAUAAUAAUAAUAAUAAUAAUAAUAAUAAUAAGAUAAGAUCACUAAUCACAUGCAAUUUUUUGAAAAUAAAUAAUUAGAAGAAUAAAUAAAUAAAACAAGGAAACAAAUAAAUAUCAAAUGCAUAUAAUUAAUAACCCAAAUAUUAAACUAAAACACAAUAAAUUAAAAAAUUAAAUUGAAAAAAUACAAAAUACCAAAUUGACACAAUUAAAUAUCGAAAAUUCAUCUCAAGCAAUCAAAAUCAAAAUCAAGCCAAAUACUCACCUAAUCUAAAAAAUCAAGCAAUAAAAAAAAAAAAAAAAAAAUCAAUCUAAGGGAAUUAAGCCCAAAAAAACAUCUGAGUGACCUAGGUGAAAAGUGCCCAAGUGACCUAAGUGGGAAUUGCCAAGGUGAACUAGGUGGAAAUUAAACUGAGGAGGUGUCUAAGUGAGCCUAAAUUAAGCUCAAAAGAUAGCCAAGGUCAUAAUGGGAGUCCAAAUGAGCCUAAAUGGAUUAGGUGUACCUAAAUGGGUCAAGAAUACCUAAAUGGACCGAAGUGAUAAAAAAUGUGCUAAGUGACCUAGAAGGUUGAGAAAAGUGCCUAAGUGAUAUGGGGUGAUCAGAAACGUGUCAAGUGACCUAGGAGUGUACCUAAUGGACCAAGUGCAACUAAAUGGGCCUAGUGUGCCUAAUGGGCCAGAUGUAUCUAAGUGAGCCUAAAUUAAGCUCAAAAGGCAGCCAAGAGAUGACUACGAGUCAAAAGAGAAGUAUGAAAAGACACUUGGUGUUACACCUGUUAAGAGGACAAAAUGGAGGGUCUACAACAACAAAUCAGAAUCAUCUUCUGGUUUUGGGUUAGUCAAAAUGUGUUCCAAGUUCACUACAUCAAUUGCAGAGAAAACCCUUUCCUGCCAUCUCUUGAAGAAUGUCUCGUUUAAGGGAUCAAUCUUAGAGGUGUCGAACAGGUGUGAACUAGGGAAGCUUCCAUCUGGGAUAUAUUUCAAGAUUGUUGUUUUUAAGGGUAUGGAAACAAAGGACUAGCCUAAAACAGACAAAUAAAGAAUAGAAUGAAUAACAAAGAAACUUAUUGGCCAAGGUGUUACAAAUACUGUCCUUGAAAUAGAUCCACCCUCCUUGAAGACGAACUCAGUGCACUAGGGUAUCAGUGGUUUACCUCCAGGAUUCAACAGUUAGAGAAUAUCGUCUUGGGUGCACUUUGUAAGCAAGAUGUGUACAACUCGAGUUCUGAAAUAUUCCUCCAAAUAGAUGUAUGAAAGGCUCUUUGAAAAACUCUGAAAAUUUGGGUGUGUAGAGAGUGAAGGGUGAUUUUCUUUUAUAGGCCACUAACACAGUCCAAAUGAGACUCUACUUGUAAUCAAAACGAAACUCUACUUGUAAGUGGAACAGGAUUCUACUUGUAAGCGGAACAGGACUCUACUAACACAAUCCCAAUGAGACUCUUCCCAAAGAUAAAAGACUAAGUCAAACAAAAUAAAAAUAAAAAUUAAAAAAAUAUUUUGAAUUUUGUAAAAAUUAACCAAAUUUGCUAAAACUCUUUUUCACAUUUAGACUCUUCCUACACAAAGGAUUUAUUAAAAUUAGCCGAAUUAUCUGAAUUCAAUCUACACACUUUUCACCGAAUUAACGUUUGUUUUAUUAUUAUUUAUCUGUUUUGCCAAUUUGGUUAGCUUAAAUCUUGAGUUCAUUAACAUUUGGUGAUGUUUUUAUUUGUUUUAGAGGAUUAGAUAGCUUGAAUAAAAUAAUUGUCUAGAUUGAAUCCCAUUUAUUUGUUUUAGAAAUAGAAUAGUUCAAAUAAAAUAAUUUUUUUGAUUGAAUCUUGUUUAUUUGUAUUAAAAAAUAAAUAAAUAACUCAAUAGAAUAUUUGUUUGAGUUGUAAUGCUUUUAAAAUUAUCUAAUUUUUUUUUUGGAUUGAGUAGAAAAUUUUUUCUUUUGUCAAAAAUGAAUUUUCUCCAUCAUGGAUGUAGCUCCUUGAUUCCAAAUGAAAGGUAGCCGAAAAGGGGAUCUAAGUUAGUUUUUCUCUUUUUUCCUUCAAUCUUGUAAGUUAGAAAAUAAAAAUCUUCAUUUUGUGUAUUGAUUGAGGUUUAUUAAUUUGUUUGGUCUCUUUUGCUUCCCUUAAAAUCAUUUUCAAAAGUAUUUAAAUCAUCAAAAGGCUUUGAAAAAAAAUAUUCAUUCUAGAUUAGGCAAAGAAUACAUUUUCUUUAAUUUAAAAAUUAUGCAACUCUAUUUUAUCGAGGUUGCAUUCUUUUUUUUCUUUUUCUUUUUUCAAAUUUUGUUUUUAUUCACAUAGGUAUGGACUUAUGCUCCCAAACUAGUGGGAGUACACAAGUAAAACUUAUGGAUAUUGAAUGGGGACUUGAUGGGACCCCAACAUUUUCCAAACUCAUCUUUGUUGCCACUUUUGUUACUUGUUGUAAUCAUAACCAUCAAUUUUUUAGAAAUUAUUUACAAGAUGUAUGCGAUAAUUGAUGAUUCUGUAUACUCUAAUCAUUUUGCUAUGCUAUUUAAAUACCAAACAUGCUAUGAAUUUUUUUUUAAAUUUUAAAUUUAUUAUUUAUUACUAUAAUUUUGAUCUAACCUCCUGUGUCUUGUGGAAGCACAUUAUAAGUUACCUAUGUUAUUCAUGCACGCUUCUUACCUUUGUAUUUUAAUUUCAUAAAUUAUGUAUUGCUUAAUAUAGGAUUGUUAUGUAUUGCUUCAUAUGUGAUUAUCAACCUGUUUAGCACAUAUUUUUUAUUGUUUGUUUGGCUUGUCAUGUUGAUUGAGAGACUAGGGUAAAAUGCAAACUAACCAUUGAUAUCCUAUAAUAACACUUAAGUUACGAUUCAGGUACGCACACUAUCAUUUUAUUAUGCUUAUGUUUUGACUUCUUGUUUGACAUGUUAGUGCUAAUAGAGUUUUGAAAUCACCUUAGCUUAUCCAGUUACUCUCAUUCAAUUGAUUAAUUUUCAUACUUCCCUCAACUUGGCUAAUAGAGACAUCUUUAGGGCUUAGGGGGUGCUACCUCUUUGAGGUACCUUCCCAGUAGAUAACCUGAUCUCUCGGACCAAGACUCAGGUUUUUCAAGACACGCUUUUUCAAAACUAUGGAGUCACUUCUUUAAAGUUUUCUUUCUUGUUUUAUUUUCCCUUUUAAAAUAAAAUAAAUUAUGUGGUGACUCCGACUUUUCCAAAACUAAUUUUUCACCAUUAAAAAGUGAGUCUUGCCGACGAGUGGGGACGCACCUGAAAAAUGCAGGUCCACACAUAUACUCUCAAAUUCUUGCUAUAGUAACAUGUCUUACAUGUUUAUAAUUUUGUAUUAUUAUUGAUUUAUAUAAAGCCUUUGAUAUUUGCCCUAUUUACAAAGUCUCAUUUAAGUUUUCUCAUCAUGUUUGACAAUUCUGGUUAUGAUUGUUGUAAUAUUAUGGUUUUCCAAUAAACUUGUAUGUUUAACUAUUAUAUAAUGUUUAUAAUAAUAGUUAAUAUUGAUUUAUUACAAAGUAAUGUUUUUAUGGUAAUUAUAUUAUCACGUAAGAGUUCAUAUUAUUUAGUGUGUUAGUCACCAUAGUGGCCGAACUUGAAAGUUUCAUGAAUUUCAUAUUAAGUAAUACAUACUUACGUUAUUCAAUUACUCAUUACUUAUGGAUGCUUGCAAUAUAUUUAAAUACUUGUUGAAUAAGUAUAUUGAAAGAUAUUUAAGGAUUUAUUUAACCACUUUAUGAAUGAGGAAUAUGAUGAGAUAAAUCAUAUGUUUUAGUUAGAUUAUAUUUGUACAUCCAAAGAUUGCAAAUGUAUUUUAACAUGGGCUAUGAAGUUAUCCAUUAAAAUAUGUAUUAAAAACAUCAUAAAGGUAUUAUAUAUUGUAAUAUCUACCUAAAGGAGAGUUGUAGUAUAUAUGUAUUGUUUUUCUAAAUUAGUUGUUUGAAUCUGAUUGUGUUUUUGCUUAUAGCUUACCAAGUUUAAUCAUGAAAACAUGAUAUUUUAUGUUACAUUGUUGUCCUCAAAUUUGCUAAUUAUUUUGCAAUAUUAAGUUUAUUAUUGUUCCUCUAAAUAAGGAAUAUCCAUGAUUGAAGACUAAUUAAUAUCAUCAUGAAUUUUGAUAAUAUGUAAGAAAUGAGACUAACGAUCUUGGAAAUAAUUGAUGAAUUUUCAUAUUAUGCAAUCUUGUUUUAGUAUAGACCACUUCAAAUCUAUCCAAAACACUAUUAAGAAUGAGUGUGAUAUGAUUGAAUUGGUCAUCAUAUUUCUUUGAAAGGAAACAAGACUACUUGAUGAAAAUUCAUUCCCUUUGAAGAUUUAUGAAACUUAUAGGAGGUCAAUGAUUAAAGUCUACAAGAAUUAUGAAUGAACCAAUUAAAGAGAUGAUUCUUGUGAAAUUAUCAAGAAUCAUAAAAGGAAACUCAAAAUGUUGAGGAUCACUUUAUUGAAAAAUUAUGAAUAGUUGAAGGAUUGCAUAAAUUGUAAAAUAUGAUUUAAAAGAACAGUUAAGUUUUGUUCUUUUGUAUGAUUAAAAUCAUAUUUCAUUAACGUUUUCCUUUUAAUGAGAUUCAAAAAGAAAUUAAUAGAAUCAAAGUAUGAAGUUAGACAAUUAUGUUUUAAGGUGGUAAAUGUUACAAUUGCUAUUAAACUCUUUAGGCACUCAAUACUUAUGUUAUAUUAAGUAUGAUUGUAAUUCAAUGCUACUUGGUUAGGAGUAUGUCAAGUAUCUCUUACUACCCCAAAGGUAUAAGAUUUACAAUCCAAACCGAAGUAUCAUGAGUGAUUGUUGAAACUAAUAAUGUUGUGGUUCAUUAAGAAUGUUUAUAUCAGUGGGAGUGAUAAGCACCAUGAAAUAUGGUUAUCUAAGGAGUUAAAAUAAAGUUGUCUUUAACUUUAUAACUUCUAAAAUGUUGCUUACUAUUAACAAAGGUUAAAGUUAGUAAGUAACAACUAAAUGAUCAAUCACUCUUAAAUGAAGUUAAUUGGACCUCUUAUUAUUAGGAAUGACAUUAAAAAUAAACAAAUAAAUAAAUAAAAUCUUAUAAGGGGAAAGAUUUGUUAUUCCAAGUAUCAACCAUGUGGUAUUAUAACCACAUAAAAAAAUUUCAAGAUUAGAAGUUUAACAUGAAAUGUUCAACUUUUAGUUUUAUUUGAUACUUCAAGUUUGUUUCUCCAUUAAUGUAAAAAGUGAGCCAAGUGGGAGAAUAUCAUAUUUUCAUUAAGUGGCUCAUAUUUUAAUGAUUGAGUAAGUUUAAGAGAUAAACUUAUAGUUUUCAAUUAAAACUAUCAUUGAAAGUCAAUUAAAGUUGAUAUAUAAAUUUUAAUAUUCCUUUGUGAUAUCUUAAGCUCUAUGAUAUCAUAAUGUUCUUUGGAUUUAAGAAAACCACUAUGAUUUAGUAAAUAUAUCCAAAGAUCAAUGGGAGAAAACUUAUUUUUAUAUUGAUAAUGUCUUGCUAGUUAUUGUUGGAUUUCUAUUUAUUGCAUUAAGUUAUGAAAUAAAAUCUCAAAAUUCUUUGAUAAAAUAUAUAAAAGAGACAAUAUUAUGUGAUGGAAUAACAUAUCUUAUGUGAAGUUACAUGAAUUGUUAGAUUGUCUCAUCAAGUAUAUAUUUAAAGUUUUUUGAGAUAUUUGAUGGAUUGAAAGUGUUAUGAGAGAGGAACCUUAAUGUUGUAUGUUUUUCAUUUACUUUCAAAUUCAAUUAUGUUGAAUGAUAGGUAAAAGUCUACUUUUGCUAUUAGUUCAUAUUAAUUGAAGAUUAUGCAAAGGAAUAAUAUUAUGUAAAAGUAUGACAAUCUUCUAUCAAAGUAUGUAUUGUGACAUAAUAUGUCAUAAAUGAUGAAUUAUGGGUACGGAAUGUUAUUUUAGAACUUAAUUGGAUUUGUCGAAUUUAUCGCCAAGUUGCUAAAAAUAAUAUAUUCUACUGUCACUUCUUUUUCAACAACAAAUAUUUUAUGAUCAUCGAGGACAUAAAAGAUAAAGAUUUUGUUGUAUAUGAGAUAAUUUAGAAACAAGAGUGUUAAAUUAAUUGAUUAUGUGUACAACUUAUGAUUGAAGACCUAAUUAUGAAAAAAGUGCUACUAAGACAUUGAAUACCACGUAGAAAUUACGAGUCUUAGGCACAUUAUGGUAUUGGUUUCAUGAUGAUGAUUAUUUAUUGAACACUCUGGAGCUUGAUUAUAUGUUUAUGAAAUUUCCUUAUAUCUGUUUUGUAUACAUAAUUUCAUAUAGAUUGAUGUUAAAAGGAAAGUCUUUGACAAAGACAUUAUUAUGUAUUAUUAUUGUACUUCUCAUUUACAGGUCAUGUUAAGUGGGAGCUAUUUGUGUAGCACAUGGAAGGAAGGGACUAUCUCGAAAUAGUGAUGUACAACUGCCAUGACUCUCAUUAGUUUUCACUUAAUUAUGAUUUAUGAUGUGAUCAAUGUAAGAAUGUUUUAUCUUCAUAUUUUGCGCAUUAUGCUUUAAUUAUUAAAUCAUGAAGUGAAAGAAUAUCACAUGGGCCAAGUGGGAGAAUGUAAGAAUUUUAUGUGGCCCAUGUGUAUAUUAUUAUGUGAUAUUUAUUUAAAUGUCAAAUUAAGUAUUAUGGUCUAAUAGAUAAUAAAGCUAAAAUCGGUCAGUUUUUUGAUAAGUUAGUUUCCUAAAUUAAAAGCACUUUGAUGGAAAGUGCACUUCUAAUUCUAUAAGGAAACUAGUCCUCUCUCUACCCUAUAAAUAAGCGUUCUAUUCCAUCAAUAAUAUGCAUAAGAGAAAACCUAAGGGUGAAGGGGUUGAGGGAGAGACACAAUUUCUAUUAUACUUAUUGUUUGGUCUCUUCAAAAAUUCCAUAGGGAUUAAAGAUAUGUUUUUUGUUUUUUUUCUCAAUAAUAGAAUUGUAAAAAUCAUAUUAUUCUAAAAUCCUUGGCUAUUAUGAUUGUUUUACAAGAAUUAGAGUUAUGAUUGUUUUACAAGAAUUAGAGUUAUGAUAAUUCUACAAGUAUUAGGGUUAUUAUUGUUCUACAUAAAUAAAGAAAAUCUAACAUUUUAAAUUUCUUAUUUCUCAAUAAAAUAUCUCCUAAUAGUACUAAUCAUAUAUCUACAUUUUUUUCAAACUUAAUUAAUUUUCAAAAACCCAAAUCAUUAAUUCCAAUAGUAUUUAAGACUUAACUUCCUAAAAAAAUUUAUGUAGUAAAGCUAAUAUGAUGUAAAUUUAACUCACUUAUUUGACCAUUAGAAUUCUUUGAAUUUUUCCAAUUCUUUGACUUGUGUUCUUAAUUUUGCAUUUUUUGACUUUUCAACCAAAAAAGUUUUUACACUCGUAAUUUCCACAUGGCCUAAAAUACUUGGAUAUUACGUGAUCUUUCAGUUUUCCUUGCCUAGGCAUAUAUGGAGUUGUUGCGAAUACAUCAUGCUGAAAAAUAAGUACACCCUGUUAAAAAUUAACUGCAUCGAAUCAACAUCAUGGUGGGGAUCACUCUACUAAAUGGUGGCAGACGGCUUCAAGAAUGGCAGUGCAGUGGUUCUCAUGGUUAGAAGGGCAGCAGGGUGCUCCAGCCACGGUGGUGCUAAGUCAGCAUUGAUUCUUUAGUUGUACCAAUCACCUGAAUGUAGAACGAUGGUUUUGGAUUGUCUCAAGAUUUGUUUAACCACAAAAUAAUAAUAAUAAUAAUAAAAUAAGACAUUGAAGGUACAGUAAAGAAUUUAAGCAACCCCAAAUGCCUUUGUUAUAUAGACUUGAAGGAGAAAUGAAUAUAACUUACAAUUACAACUGUAAAGACAUGCACCACGCAUUUGGAGACAUUCUAGGUAGAGCUUCAAGUGAUUGAAAACAAGAAAAAUUUCUAUGCUUGAACUAUGCAAGUCAAAAUCAACAAUAAAUAGAAAUAAGAAGCUGAAAAAAAUGUCACGUGAUGCUAUUCAUGUCAUUCUAGGAACAAGUCCCUCACUUUAAGAAAUGGUUCAAUGAUAAGUUUUCUUGUUCUUCAUUAGCUACCACAUCCAAUUCGAUUGUGUCCAGCAUCACCGUAGACUCUUUUACUUUUAGAAUAUUCUACCAUCAACCAAUGAUCAACCAUAUUUCCAAAAGGAUUCGUAUUAAUUUAAGAUGAAUUUAUUAUAGAACUAAAAUGAGAAUACACUUUAAAAUAUUUAUUGGGAGUAAUUCAAUUAUAUUUCAAUAUAUUUGAAAAAUAACACUACUAUGAAAUUUAAGAUACAUGCCAUAAUUGAUAAUAAAAAUAUGAAAUAAUUUUAGACAAAAGUUUUGAUCUAGAAAAAAUCAACAGUUUUAAUUUUGUUGUUGUCUUAUAUAUAGUAGCUUGAGAUACAUACUUCACUCUGAAUGCAUUCCAAAUUUGAGUUAUAGAUGGAUAUGUUCUUCACUAUUUAAGUUUAAUUGAUAAUUUAUUCCAAAUAUGAGUUUAUGAAACUAAGAGGGUGUUUGUUUUUUUGGUUUUUUGUUAGAAACAAUUUUUUUUUUUUUCAGAAUUUAGGUUGCUUAUUUUUCUACUUUUUCAUUACUUAUUAUAAACUUUUUACUGAAUAGAAAAAACCAAAAUAUUUGACUUUUUCUAAAUAGAAAAAAUAACAUAUUGAUUUUUCUUUAUUUUUUAAUACUUAAUAGAAAUAAAAUACUAUAAAAACAAACAACCUAAUACUUAAUACUAUUAAACAUUAAAGUCCUAUUUAGAAUUAAGUAUAAAAAACAAACACCAUCUAAGUGUUUAGCUAAUCUAAAAGAAAAAAAGUCAAGUUUUAGGCAUUAGGGUUCGGAUUUCCAAACUCCAUAAAGUUAUAAAAUGACUACUAUUUAAGGUGAACCAUGUUGAGAAGUGUAUCAAAUUCCCCAUUUUUAAUUAUAUAUUCUUUUUUGUAGAAAUGAUAUUAUAUGGAAUGUUUUUCAAAGUUCAUAUGUGAUCGUAAUUAGAUUCUUUAUAGAAUAAAAAAACCUAGUAGAAAUAUCUCUCUAAAUAUUUUAGGUUAUGAGGGGAAAAAAGUUAUAAUAUAAGAUAGAAAUAGAGAUAAGAAGAGUAAGAGACAUUUGAUGAAGUAAGAGUGCUCACAACUUAAGUUGUAGACACAAAGACUAGGAAAACGAUGAAUGUUUAGGAACCUAGAAGUUGCAUAUGUUUUGUUAUUUGCGAUUUUUUUUUAUCAUACAGUGAAAUGUUAUCUCUCAUUCGUAGGUGUAGACAUGUUGACCAAACUUUGCACUUUAAAACUUUGACACCUUUAUAUCUGGAUUAUCUUUACUUUUUGUGUUCUUUCAUUCAUAUAUUUGCAUUGAAACUUUUGCAAGCCCAAUAAAUGGUAUCAAGUUUUCAUUAGCCCAACAAACUCAACGAUGUCCUUUCAAGAUGUAGCAAAAAGGCCUUUUAAAGGAUUUGUAUUUUAUCAUAAAAUAGAAAAGAAAGACAAGAAACAUUAUAGAAUUUUGACUCAUUUGAACCACUUGGCAAUAUAUUUAUCUUAUAUUGAAGAUAAAUAAUAUCUAGUCAAAAUUUUAUGGUGUUAUAUAGUCCACACAGAGAUUAAAGUAAUUAAGAAGGAGAAGGAAGAUGGCCUACCAAUAAGUUUCCACGAGGGCUUGAAUGAACAAAUAAAAUAGAGGGAUGGUGGUUAGAAUGGCAGAGUAGUGCUUCUCAUGGUGUUUAGAAGGGCAGCAGGGUGCUCCAGCCACGGUGUGACGGUGGUGCUAAGUCAACAUCGAUUCUUUAGUUGUUGCACCAAGCACCUGUACGUAGACUGAUGGUUUUGGAUUGUCUCAAGAUUUGUUUAACCACAAAAUAAUAAUAAUAAAAAGAAAUAAGAUAUUGAAAGUAUAGCAAAGAAUUUAAGCAAGUCCAAUCCCUUUGUCAUAUAGACUCGAAGAAGAAAUGAAGAUAACUUACAAUUACAACUGUAGGGAAACCAUGCAUUUGGAGACAUUGUAGGAUCUAUGCUUGAAAUAUGCAAAUCAAAAUCAACAAUAAAUAGAAAUAAGAAGCUGGAACAAGUCCUUCACCUUAAGCAAUGGUUCAAUGAUAAGUUUUCUUGUUCUUCGGUCGCUACCACAUCCAAUUCCAUUGUCCAACAUCACCAUAGACUCUUUUACUUUUAGAAUAUUCUACCAUCAACCAAUGAUCAGCCUAUUUCCAUAAGGAUUCAUAUUAAUUUAAGAUGGAUAUAUUAUAGAACUAAAAUGAGAAUACAUUUUAAAAUAGUUAGUGGGAGUAAUUCAAAUAUAUUUCAAUAAUAACACUACUAAGAAAUUUAAUAUACAUGUCAUAAUUGAUGAAAAAAUAUGAAAAUAAUUUUAGACAAAAGUUUUGAUCUAGAAAAAUCAAAAGUUUUAAUUUUCUUGUUGUCCUAUAUAGUAGCUCGAGAUAUAUACUUCACUUUGAAUGCAUCCCAAAUUUGAGUUAUAAGAUGCAUAUGUUCUUUACUAUUUAAGUUUAACAGAUAAUUUAUUCCAACUAUGAAUUUCUAAAACUAAUUGUUUAGCUAAUUUAGAAAAAAAAAAAAAAACAGGAAGUCAAGUUUUAGGCAUUAAGGUUUGGAUUUUCAAACUCCAUAAAGUUAUAAAAUAACUCAUAUUUAAGAUGAACUAUGUUGAGAAGUGUCCCAAAUUAUCCUAAUUUUUAUGUAUAUGUUCUUUUUUGUAAAAAUAUUAUUAUAUAGAAUACUUUUUAACUUCUCAUGUUAUUGUAAUUAGAUUUUUUAUAGAAUAAAGAAACCUAGUAUAAAUAUCUCUCUAAAUAUUUAGGUAAUGAAAGGGAAAAAGUUAUGACAUGAGAAGAAGAGUAAAAGACACCUAAUAAAGUAAGAGUGCUCACAACUUAAGCUGUAGACACAAAGACUAGUAAAACGAUGGAUGUUUAGGGACCCAAUAGUUGCAUCUGUUUUGUUAUCUGUAGUAGUUUUUUAUUGUAUAGUGAUCAUUUGUAGGUGUAGACAUGUUGGCCGAACCAUGAACGUUAAAACUGUGUACCUCCAUGUGUGGAUUAUCUUUACUUUUGUAUUCUAUCACUCAUAUAUUUGCAUUCAAACUUCCGUUAGCCCAACAAAUGAUAUCAGAGCUUUUAUUGGCUCAACAAACUCAAUGUUGUUUGACCCCUUCUGAGCCACUUGGCAAUAUAUUUAUCUUAUAUUGAAGAUAAAUAUUUAGUCAAAAUCUUAUGGUGUUAUAUAGUCCCCACAUAUCUUAAAGUAAUUAAGGAGGGGAAGGAUGAUGACUUACCAGUAAGUUCAGAUGAGGGCUUGAAUGAACAAAUAAAAUAGAGAGAUGGUGGAAUAUAAAGAGGACUUUGCUAGCAAGCGCACCUGGCAAUGCAGCUUAAUGCUUGAGAUCAGUGUUGGAUGCUCUCAAUCUUUUAGGGUGUGGUUCCUGAUCAUCUGCUUUGUUUUCCCCGGCAUCAUCAUAGCCCCUUUGAUGAUCCAACAACAUCAUGAUAUGGGCGUACAUCAGCUGAACUCCGCACCUCAUGAUAUGGGUGCAAGUAGACGGAUAAUUAAUCAAACUAUCAACAUCAAUCGCAGCCAGAAAGUGCCAUGGUUGAUUGCGGUUGUACUUAUUUGGAAUAGCAUUCUUAGGAUAGAGAGCCACCCACAAUUGAUCUGAUCCAUCAUCAUUAAUCUGGCAGCAGUUAUGCCAAGAAGAAAUGGAGAAGUCAUCCACAAUUUCAUCCGGAUCACCACGCAAUCUCAGAUAAAAAUGAUCUGGAUCGUCCAAAUAAGUUCCUCUAUGAUAAAUAGAGAAGAAAGCAAAUCCCAGAAAGUGGUUAUCCUCGUACCAAUUCAAAGGAGGCUCUACUCUUACUUGGCUAUACCCACCCUGGAAUUCCACCAUCUCCUGAGAUAAUAAUCAUCUUGCCUUUCUUGCAAUUCAAGUGCUGCAUGUACAAUCAAAGCUAAUAUGUAAUUGGAGUACUACUGGGUGGAUGAAAAGUUUUACGUGUCGUUAUUAAAUAAAAAUCAUACCUCAUUACUUGUUGGUUUGAACCAUUUGAGGAGGGAAGACCCGAGUAUAGAUGAUGGACUUGAUAACAUUUCCAGCUUCGUGAAAUAGCUGGCAUGUAUUUCUGGUAGACUCGAUGGAAGCUCUGGAAUUUCUUGGAGCAUCUUGCAGUGACUGAUGUAAAGGGAACGAAGCUUACAAAGUUGAGAGAUGCCAGAAGGUAUGCUAACCAUAUGGUUUACACUUAAAUCUAAAUUUUCUAAGGAAUAUAGGCCUCAGCUAUCAGUGGGUAUUGACCCUUCCAUUAGAUUGCAGUGACUCAAAUUUAGUGCCGCUGAGGAGCAAAAGCCUUUCAGAUUCUUGGGGAACCUCUCCAAGUUUGAACAACCAUGGAGCAUCAACAUUUUUAACUUUCCUAAACACUGUGACAAAAGGAAUUUUGAUUUAGUAAAUGAAUUUUCAUAAACAAAAAAUUAAUCUCAAACAAAAUAAUGAUGAAAUACUAAUUAUACCUUAUUUCCUUGCCAAAGUUGUUUUAUGUUGUUGUCCAUCAUGUUGAGUAUAACAAGGUUCUCUCCAUGAACAUUUGACGGCAAUAAUUUCGAAGGGUAUCCUUUCCAAUGAAGAUAUCUCAACUGUUGUGAAGGAAAUUGAAAAUCUUCAUGAAGAAUAAUUUUAUACUCCUUGUUCAUAGAACCACAAUAAUCCAUCCCAUAAAUCUUGAGCAAUCUCAGUCGUUUCAUCUUUGCAAAAACCUUUGUACUAAAUUGUAGUUGUUUUGAUCUAGACAAGUUUAAGAAUAUGGCCUCAACAUUUUUCAUCCCCUACAAACUAUAACAAAAGGAUUAGGCAAGCAUAAAAGAGAUAAAGCUAGCUGAAAUUGUAUGGAUAUGUAACUUAGACAAAAAUGAUAUUGCUCACACACUACUACAAAAAUAGUUUAUGGUGUCACCAUUUACGGUGUCACUUUUAAAAUAAUGACACCAUAGGGUUUAUAAUUAAUAAAGGUGACACAUCAUAUAAAAAAUCUUCAAUUGAGGUAGUUAGAUGAUAUUAAUUUUAUAUUUAUAGUGUCAUUUUUUGGGAAGUGACAUCAUAUAAAAUAAAUUUUUUUAGGUAUUAUAACUUAAUGAGCCCACUUUUAGAAUUAAUAAUGAUGGAUACUAUAUAAAAAUCCCAUUGUUUCCAUAUCUCACCCACAAUCCAAAAAAUCUCAAUAUAUAAAUCCUAUAUAUAAAAUCAUGAUCUUCUUCAACCUUUUCUCUCACCCAUCCAUAGUCAACACGCUCACAACGAACAUUCUUCACUUUGUGGACUCCCAGGUAACCCAUAAUCUCUUGGAUCUAUCAUUUUUUUUUUCUUUUAUUAAUGUCAUUAUAUUAAUUGUUUCAACAUCUUUGUAUUAUGGUUUUUGUGAAUUGUGUUUUCUUGAGUUGUAGGGAAGAAAAAUUUAGGUUUAAUCUUCUAGCAUAGAAGAAAAAACUGUAGAUUAAUUGAUUUUUUUAAUCUAAACCAAACACAUGAUCAAGUCCUUAAAAAAAAGUGAAAAAUAGGAAAAAAUGAAUGAUUUUUAAUAUGUAUUUGUGUGAGAAUGACAGGUACAGAAUUUUUUUGAGAUUUAUUAUCACAUAAUCUUCAUCCUUUCUAAAAAACGAGAGAGGAAAAAAAAAAGAAUGAUUUUUCUGUUUGUAUCUAAGUGGGAAUGAGAUAUAGAAUUUCGUUGAGAGUAUCCAACCCCAAAAGGACCAAUCCGGGAAGGCAUGUGUGGUAUUGACGGGAGAUGAUAAGAUGGAAAUCAUAACCAUAGCCAUGUUCUCUCUGUGUCUUUCUAUCCUCUUCAAUUAAUUCAUAGCCAUAAAUAUUUUAUUUAGUUUUUAUAUUUAAUUUAUUUAUAGUUUAUUUAGUUUCUAAAAUCCAAUUAGCUAGAUAUUUUAUUUGAUUUUGUUUUUAUAUUUAAGUAGUUGAGUUUUGGAAAGUUUUUAUAUUUUGUUAAUAGAAAUAGAAAUUUUUAUAUUUUUUAUUAUUAGGAAUUUCUAUUUUGUUAAAUUGUAAGUAUCUAUCUCAAUAAGAGAUUAUUAAUAUUCAAAUGAAAGUGAUGAAAGAGAGUAAAUAUUUUAAUGCUCAAUUAUAUUUUAAUGUUAUAUUUUUUUUUUUUACAUAAGGGUUUAUUUAUGUUUUCAAUUUUGAAGUUCCCUUUCCAAGUCUAGCAACAAAAGUAGUGUCCAACCUUAAAAUGGGCAUGUGUGGUAUUGACGAGAGAUGAUAAGAUGGAAAUCAUAACCAUAACCAUGUUCUAUUUGUGUCUUUCUAUCCUAUUCAAUUAAUUCAUGGGCAUAGAUAUUUUAUUUAGUUUUUAUAUUUAGUUUAUUUAUAGUUUAUUUAGUUUCAAAAUCCAAUUAGCUAGAUAUUUUAUUUGAUUUUGUUUUUAUAUUUAAGUAGUUGAGUUUUGGAAAGUUUUUAUAUUUUGUUAAUAGAAAUAGAUAUGAGGACUUAAAGGGUUUAUAUUUAGGUAGUGCUUGAGCCAAGGAAAAUGAUAGUCCACUAUCUUGACCCUAUGCAUCACAAACCAUGUAUAAAUAUCUCUCUAAAUAUUUAGGUAAUGAAAGGGAAAAAGUUAUGACAUGAGAUAAAGAUAUAGAUGAGAAGAAGAGUAAAAGAGACCUAAUAAAGAGUGCUCACAACUUCAGCUGUAGACACAAAGACUAGUAAAAUGAUGGAUGUUUAGGGACCCAAUAGUUGCAUCUGUUUUGUUAUCUGUAGUAGUUUUUUAUUGUAUAGUGAUCAUUUGUAGGUGUAGACAUGUUGACCGAACCAUGCACGUUAAAACUCUGUGUACCUCCAUAUGUGGAUUAUCUUUACUUUUGUAUUCUUUCACUCAUAUAUUUGCAUUCAAACUUCCGUUAGCCCAACAAAUGAUAUCAGAGCUUUUAUUGGCUCAACAAACUCAAUGUUGUUUGACCCCUUCUGAGCCACUUCGCAAUAUAUUUAUCUUAUAUUGAAGAUAAAUAUUUAGUCAAAAUCUUAUGGUGUUAUAUAGUCCCCACAUAUCUUAAAGUAAUUAAGAAGGGGAAGGAUGAUGACUUACCAGUAAGUUCAGAUGAGGGCUUGAAUGAACAAAUAAAAUAGAGAGAUGGUGGAAUAUAAAGAGGACUUUGCUAGCAAGCGCACCUGGCAAUGGAGCUUAAUGCUUGAGAUCAGUGUUGGAUGCUCUCAAUCUUUUAGGGUGUGGUUCCUGAUCAUCUGCUUUGUUUUCCCCGGCAUCAUCAUAGCCCCUUUGAUGAUACAACAACAUCAUGAUAUGGGUGUAUAUCAGCUGAACUCCGCACCUCAUGAUAUGGGUGCAAGUAGACGGAUAAUUAAUCAAACUAUCAACAUCAAUCGCAGCCAGAAAGUGCCAUGGUUGAUUGCGGUUGUACUUAUUUGGAAUAGCAUUCUUAGGAUAGAGAGCCACCCACAAUUGAUCUGAUCCAUCAUCAUUAAUCUGGCAGCAGUUAUGCCAAGAAGAAAUGGAGAAGUCAUCCACAAUUUCAUCCGGAUCACCACGCAAUCUCAGAUAAAAAUGAUCUGGAUCGUCCAAAUAAGUUCCUCUAUGAUAAAUAGAGAAGAAAGCAAAUCCCAGAAAGUGGUUAUCCUCGUACCAAUUCAAAGGAGGCUCUAUUCUUACUUGGCUAUACCCACCCUGGAAUUCCACCAUCUCCUGAGAUAAUAAUCAUCUUGCCUUUCUUGCAAUUCAAGUGCUGCAUGUACAAUCAAAGCUAAUAUGUAAUUGGAGUACUACUGGGUGGAUGAAAAUUUUUACGUGUCGUUAUUAAAUAAAAAUCAUACCUCAUUACUUGUUGGUUUGAACCAUUUGAGGAGUGAAGACCAGAGUAUAGAUGAUGGACUUGAUAACAUUUCCAGCUUCGUGAAAUAGCUGGCAUGUAUUUCUCGUAGACUCGAUGGAAGCUCUGGAAUUUCUUGGAGCAUCUUGCAGUGACUGAUGUAAAGGGAACGAAGCUUACAAAGUUGAGAGAUGCCAGAAGGUAUGCUAACCAUAUGGUUUACACUUAAAUCUAAAUUUUCUAAGGAAUAUAGGCCCCAGAUAUCAGUGGGUAUUGAUCCUUCCAUUAGAUUGCAGUGACUCAAAUUUAGUGCUGCUGAGGAGCAAAAGCCUUUCAGAUUCUUGGGGAACCUCUCCAAGUUUGAACAACCAUGGAGCAUCAGAUAUUUAAGGGAUCUCAAAUCAUAAAUGCUGUCCGGAAGAGUCACAAGGUGCUUGCAAUUCCUCAAAGACAACUUUCUGAGGCCUUUCAGAAUUUGAAUUGAUGAUGGUAAUUCUUUUAUAGCUGUUUCUUCCAAAUAAAGAUCAAAUAAUAAGUCUUUCUUAUCCUCCAUGAUUUCUUGAAAAGCAUCUAGAUUUGAACAAACAAAGAGUUGGAGGUCUUCAAGGGACUUUAACCUGCAAAUGCUACUUGGAAGACUCCUCAAGUUUUUGCAGUGUUUCAUAUACAACUCCUUAAGUCCAGUGAGAUAUUCUAUUGGGGAGGGUAAUUCCUUAAUAGCAGAUCCAUCAAAGUGAAGAUAGGUUAAAGCUUUCAUAGAACUCUCCUCUAUCUCCAGAAAUUUCUCCAAGUUUGAGCAAUUAUUCAAGUAAAUAGUUUCAAGAGAGUCCAAGUAUUGAAUGCUACUUGGUAAGCUCGUAAGGUUUUCACACCCACUCAAACUCAACAAAGUUAGCUUCUUGAGAACUCCAAUAGAUGGAUCAACAAUAUUCAAACUUGUAAAAUAUCCAAGUUCUAACUCCUCUAGAUUUGGCAUAUUUGAAAAGUUCGAUAAUUCAGUGAGCUGCUUCUAUCGUUGUAAAUUUAAGAUCUUUAACUUUCCCAAACACUAUGACAAAAGGAAUUUUGAUUUAGUAAAUGAAUUUUCAUAAACAAAAAAUUAAUCUCAAAACAAAAUAAUAUGAUGAAAUACUAAUUAUACCUUAUUUCCUUGCCAAAGUUGUUUUAUGUUGUUGUCCAUCAUUUUGAGUACAACAAGGUUCUCUCCAUGAACAUUUGACGGCAAUGAUUUCAAAGGGUAUCCUUUCCAAUGAAGAUAUCUCAACUGCUGUGAAGGAAAUUGAAAGUCUUCAUGAAGAAUAAUUUUAUACUCCUUGUUCAUAGAACCACAAUAAUCCAUCCCAUAAAUCUUGAGCAAUCUAAGUCGUUUCAUCUUUGCAAAAACCUUUGUACUAAAUUGUAGUUGUUUUGAUCUAGACAAGUUUAAAAAUAUGGCCUCAACAUUUUUCAUCCCCUACAAACUAUAACAAAAGGAUUAGGCAAGCAUAAAAGAGAUAAAGCUAGCUAAAAUUGUAUGGAUAUGUAACUUAGACAAAAAUUAUAUUGCUCACAUUUACAUAUUUUUAUGAAGCUUAAGAAAGUUCAUGAGUUUGAUGGUUACCUUCUUCAUUGUAAAUGCACGAUACACAUCACUCGGAUCCCACAAUUUGCUCCAUUUUCCAGGAUUAUCAGGAAAUUCAGUACGAAUAAUGUUCCAUCCCAUUUCUUGUAUCAAAUCAUGCAUAAGUAUCUGAUUGUUGGAAAGAGAUAUAAGACACUUAUCAUAUAGGACUUUUAUUCCUAUCUAUGCAUACAAAUCACAACUAUCCAAUAUCCUUAAAACAAAAAGCUUACUUUAAGCACAUUUUGAAUUUUCACUUCAGGUUCUCUUUCCAAUUUACACAAUUCACUUUCCCAUUGGAGUAUUGUCUUGUUAAACAAGAGAUAACUUAGGACUUUUAGAGCUAAAGGAAGGCCAUGACAAUAAUAUACUACAUGAUCCGAGAGGUGGAUAAAGUCUUGUUUCGGAAGAUUUUGUCUAAAAGCAAAGAGACUAAAAAGCUCACAAGCUUGUUCAUAAUUUAAUUCCUCAACCUCAUGUACGUCAUCCAUUUCUUGUAACAAAUGUUUACUUCUAGUUGUUGUGAUGACUCUGCUUCCUCUUCCAAGCCUAUCACGAUUUCUGAGUAAGUAUUCUAAUUGAUCUGAAUCAUCAAUGUCAUCAAGAACAAUAAAAACUUUUUUAAAUCGGAGAACAUUUUUAUCAUAUUAGCUCCUUGGCCAACAUUGCUUACAUUUUGAUUUCUCUCCACUUGUAGUAGAUAUCACAAAGAAGUUGAUUUUGUAAAUGAUGCAAACUCAUAGUAUUGCCAACUUCUCUAACAUUUUCGAGAAAGCUCAUAUACUCAAAUUCACGAAAAAAAUUUAUUAUUUACAACUUUGGCAAUAGUCAUCUUACCUAUUCCGCCUAUUCCACAUAUACUAAUCAUACGAACAUCAUUCAAUUGAUCAAUGCAUAGCUGCCGAAUUAUCUCAUUUACAUGAGAAUCCAUACCAACCAAGUUGGCACCAACAUCAAACAUUCUACAAUUCAACCUCAUGAAUAUAUUGUUGAUGAUUUUCUUAAUAUGCUCGAACUCAUACCUGCCAAUUGUAAAGUACAUGUGAUGAUUGAUUAGGCUAUAGCUGAUUAAAAAAUAAAUACAUGUUAAGCUUCUUCAUGAAAAAUGAAUUAUAGUAAUAUAUAUAUAUAUAUAUAUAUAUAUAUAUAUAUAUAUAUAUAUUAAAAGUAUUAAGUUUUAAAACUCAAAUUACAUUUUUAGGACAUUUUCACUGUAUCAAGUAUACAAGACAAUUUUCUACACAAUCACAAGAUGACCGUGAGGAGGACUCGUUCGACUCAUUGGAAGAGUUAUCUUCUAUUAGAAGAUAUUGGUUGUCAUUAGAUGAUUCUACCGAGGUUUGACUAGAUGAAUCCGACUAUGACUUUAUUUUGAUGAGAUUAAUCAUUUGUCGUUUGGGACGCUUUCCUAUGUCUAAGUCGGCAAUUAUUUCUUUGAUUUUGCAAUUUGGGGUGAUAUGUCCCUUUAGCCACAAUUGAAACAUUUAAUAUCUUUCUUUUCUAUUUUCUUUGAAGUGUUUUUAUAUUUUUUAUUUGAAUAUUUCUUAUGUUUCGGCUUUCUAUAAAAGGAUUCUUCUUUGAAUUUUAAGUAUUUUUUAUUUAAUCUCUUUUUCUUUCAUCUAUAGUAUUUUUCCUGUUUGGUCGAAAGAGGAAGGUGAUUUUCAUAUCCAUAUUGGGCACAAAAUGAUUCUAAUUCUUUCUUUGAGGUUUUAAGAUCUUUUUUUGUGGGUAGCAUUAACUUUGAUCAUAUAACAAAGAUUUAAUGCUUUUUGAUUGAUGAAAUUGCUUAAUUGGCCAUAGGUAAGGGAAUCAUAAGGUAUGACACCAUUAUACAUCUCUUUGAUUCUAAGUUGGACUUUUUGACUAAAGGACUUAGAUAACCCAUUAAGGAAUCUUUAUUUCCAAUAAGGUUGGUUUACAUCUGGUUUGGUGUGGACUUUAGCAAAGUAUAACUCUUUAUACCAUCUAUAGUCACUAAGCUUUCUACAUCUAAUGUUUUGAAGGAUUUCUGAGGUUCAGGCUUGAAAGGCAAUUGGAUCUCCAAGGAAGUGUUUGAUUAUGGCAAAUAUUAGGGUAUGAACUGAAUUUUGAUUUCCUCUUUCAUCUAAGCUGGUUUGAAUAUAGUCUUUUUCUUCUUCAGUGAGAGUAUUAUCCCACCAACUUUUGAGCUAGCUAGUGAAUCCUGCAAUCAGGUGUACACUGAUCAGAUGGUCAGAGUUUCCAGAAGCUAUUGUGUCAUCAAAACCACUCUUCAAAAUGGUGGACUCAAAUGAUGGGCUUCAAAACUGCCUUUCAAAUUCAAAGACAUGUGCACAAAUGGACAACCGAUUUUCGGUGGAUUUCAAACCAUUUUGUAUCUGUGGACUUUAAAUCUGUCUCCAAGGGCCUAUAUGAGGCUCAUUUUUCUCAUUGUAAGGCAGAGAAAAAGUUUGAGUGAAAACUUAGAGAGAGAAAACAAGUGAGAUUUUCCUCUAUAAGAUAGCCUUGUAUUUGAGAAAGCUCUCAAAUUCUGUUGUAAAAGCUCUCUUCAAGGAUUGUAAGUUUCAACUUUUCAAAGUUCUUGUAUAUUUUAUGUUUUGAAUGAAAGUUUAAAUUUCAAAUUUAACUGUAGAUCAAGUUUAUUAUUGAAUAUUUAAAGAACCUCUUCGAAAGUUUAUGAACUUUCUGAAAACACUGUCAAAGUUAUUUGGGUUUUAAGCAAGACCAUUGUGACUCCUCUAGAUUCAACUAGGAGAUUUCUUCAAAGUUCGUAUUGAUAUUCAAAUUGAAGUGUUUUUCUUGCUUUAAUUUUCUUAUCAUUCCUCGAUCUUGUAUUUAUUGGUAUCAGAGCCAUGAUAGUUAAUUUUCAAAUUUAAUAUGUUAUUUUAUUUUAUGAUUAUUUGUUUAAAUCCAAACUGCUUAGCGUUGGUUAACCCAUAGUAUCCGUUGGUAAGCCAUUGUAGCCAUGCUAGCAUUUAGGUGUUCCCGAUGGUGGUCCCACUAAGUUGCCUAGGAUUUAAAUAGAGAACCCAUAGAGUAAAAUGUCAAAUUUGUUUGGAAAUUUUUCUAGAAGUAGCUCUCAUAGUAAUAUAAGUAGCAUGAAACAUGAUCUCAAAAUGCUAGAAGAAAACACUUCAAAAUUUGAGAAUCAAUUGAAUGUAUAAAUUGAUACUCUGGAACAAUAUAUCAAAAACGAGGAAAUGCCAAGACAACAUAUCAAAGAUAUUUAUCAAAUAGGUACUUUCAGAUUUAGAUCAACAUAUAAAAUCAAAGUGUCCAAAAACACACAUUCUAUAGGAUCAGAAACUGAAACUAUAGAACUCCUUAACCCCAGGGACAUUAAGAUGUUAAGAGAACAAUCUUACAAAAUUCUUCACAUAGGAGCCAUUCAAGUAGCAGUCAAACCAUUAACCCGAAUUGGGUUCAACAACCAAUUUGUGUUUGCCUUAAAGAUGCAAGACACAAUAACUUUGAUGACUCCUUGUUAAGAGUCAUGGAAUCAAACAUGGCACAUGACCCUAUUUAUUUCAACUGUUUCCCUUACCUAGAGUUAAGUUGUAUAGAUGAUAUGACUAUACACAAAGCUUUAACUUUAAAUGUUCAAACCAAGGGUUAUGACAUGAACCCUAGAGCAAAGAACAUUCUUAUAUUAUAUCGAAUAUACUAGAAGGUCAUGACCACCUCAGUAAAUGCUAAGUGUUUAUUGAAAUCUCCAAAAGGGAAAACACUUUUGUUCCAAGCCAAUGAGGAACAUUCCUCAACUAUAACCCUUGAAGAAAUCCCUUGGGAAUCUUUAACUCUUUCAAAUACUUGGAAUUUCACACAGUUAGCUCUUCCAAAACCUAUUCAACAUAAAUUACACCUACAAAUGUAGAUAAAAUAAGAGCCAUAUUUGAGGAACAGGACCCUCAAAUAAAUAGGAUUAGACAUCAAUUUAAACAACAAACUAAGACUAGGAACUACUAUCCUAGACCAACUCCUCUUGAUCUUCAAUAUGAAGAAAGGAAUCAAAUCACCCAAUCAAAGUAUGAUGGAGAUGGCAUUUAUGAAUGGAACAUAGAUGGCAUAAGUGAACACCAAGUCUUGAAUAUUCUUUAAGAAAUGAUUAUGGCCUCCACAACCUACAAAUCCAGAGGAGACUUUGACCAUUUGAUUAGUGUACACCUGAUUGCAUGAUUCACCGAUCGACUCAAAGGUUGGUAGGACAAUUCUCUCACUGAAGAAGAAAAAAUCUAUAUUCAAACUAGCUUAAAUGAAAGAGGAAAUCAAAAUUCAGUUCAUACCCUAAUAUUUGCCAUAACCAAACACUUCCUUGGAGAUCCAAUUGCUUUUCAAGCUCGAGCCUUAGAAAUCCUUCAAAACAUUAGAUGUAGAAAGCUUAGUGAUUGUAGAUGGUAUAAAGAGGUAUAAUUUGCUAAAGUCCACACCAGACCAGAUGUAAACCAACCCUAUUGGAAAAAAAGAUUCCUUAAUGGGUUACCUAAGUCCUUUAGUCAAAGAGUCCAACUUAGAAUCAAAGAGAUGUAUAAUGGUGUCAUACCUUAUGAUUCCCCUACCUAUGGCCAAUUAAGCAACUUCAUCAAUAAAAAAGCAUUGAAUCUUUGUUAUCUAAUCAAAAUUAAUGCUACCCUAAAAAAAGAUCUUAAAACCUCAAAGAAAGAGUUAGGAUCUUUUUGUGCCCAAUAUGGAUAUGAAAUUUUUUUAAUGAAUUUGAAGAAUUUGAUUACUCUGCAGUGAAUAUUUUUUUUUAAUGAUAAUUUUUCAUACUUUCCUUUUGAAAUGUUAAUAGCAUGGUUUAUAGAUAUGCUUUCAGGACAUGUAGGAAGAGAAUUGAUUGGACGAGGACUUAUCGUCUUAGUAUUUCAGAAUAGUAUGGCAAAGGUUGCUACAGCUGGUCCUUUAUCUUCUGACUCUUCGUUUUGGUGGGGGUUCUGGGAAGGUGGGGGCAGGAGUUAAAAGGAAGACACCAUCGGAAUUGAGAGUAAGUUUCUGAAUUCGUGGUUUUGCUCUGUUCUCUACAUUAUUAGAUGAUAAAUUGGGCAUAAAAUGAGUUUCUUUAACCUUUUAUAUGGAAGAUCUUGGCAGGUUGUGUCUUCUUUUUUAAUUUUUAAUUUGUUAAUUUGCAAGUUUUAUGAGAAUGGAGGAACAUAGCCAUUGCUCUGCAUGUUUGCUUCAUAUACAAAGAAAGGAAGAUUACUCUGAUUAUCUACUUGUACACUCUCCUGGUGCAACAAAGAAAAUAAAAAAUUGAAUAGCUCUAGGCAUAGAAGUCAUCUCUAAGAGUUCUUACCUUUAAUCUUCAUGGUGGAUGAGAUUGAUGGUUUGAAAUUGGGAUUUGAGAAUCUCAGAAUUGGACUUGUCGUACUUGGUAUCAAACUCGGCGUGGUCAAUAUUGAGGCAGAUACGACUUGGUUGAGUCAUUCUGUGGAUCCGCAUUUUUCAUGUCCUCACUCAAUGGCGAGACUCGCUUUUGUUUGGUGAAAAAUUAGUUUUGGAAAAGUUGGAGUCGUUACUUAUUUUAUUUUAUUUUAAAAGGGGAAAUAAAAUAAGAAAGAAAACUUUAAAAAGUGACUCCAUAGUUUGGGAAAAGCAAGUCUUGAAAAAACCUGAGUUUUGGUUCGGGGAUCAGGUUACCUAUUGGGAAGGUACCUCUAAGAGGUAGCACUCCUUUAAACCUUAAAGAGGUUUCUACAAGCUAAGUUGAAGGAUGUGACAAUUAAUUAGUUGAUUAUGGAUACCUAGGUAGGCCAAGGUGAUUUCGAAACUAAUAUGCCAAAAAGAAAUUAAACCACAAUCAUAAAGGAGGGUUAGGGUGUGUACCUGGAUUGUAUCUCAAAUGCUAUCAUAAGAAAUCAAAGUUAGCGUAGAAAUAUAGCAUACAACUCAACAUGCGCUUUAUAAGAAAUAAUCGAAUAGUCAAACAAAUGUCAAGACACCCAAGUACUAUCAAACAUAGGCAUAGUUCACAAUGACAUAUAUGUUCAUGGAAUUUUGAAAUUAGAGAGUAGAGAUAGCGUACAUGGCUAGCAAGCAUCAAUGUCUCUAUGGAAAACAAGGUUAGCUCAAUAAUAGGUGUAAAACAAUCUCGUGCAUAUCAUCAGGAGGAAUCAAAAUCAAUUGAUCACCAAACAACCAUCUCACUUGAGUCAAUAUCAAAGAAGAUGUCAAGAAUGUUGGACCCCCCACCAAGGUCCAAAUUACUUUUGCAUGAAUUGGUUCAAUGGGUUCCAUUAUUUGGAACCAUGAAGUUCGUUCAUGCUUGUUUGAAGAAAAGAGAAAAUUAGUUGAAAACAGUGAAAAUACAUGCUAGAAGGAAAAUGACAGUAAGGAGUUUAUUUAAAUCUGGAUUUUAUGCCUAGGAAGGAUCUAAAUAUGGAUUUUUAAAACUGGAAUUAUUCAGUUGGAAAUGGAUUUGAAAAAUCAAUUCAAAACUGUAAAUUUUCAAUCCAAGAAACAAAAAGAGGAAGAAGAAAAGGUGUGCACCGAGGUGGCCUUUGCUGGAGUAGGACUUGGGGGUCUGGCUGUGACUGCGUUGCUGGUGGUCGUGUGAAGAGACCUCUGUAUAUUGAUGGCAUGACUGGAAAAGAACUGACCGUAUUCAUUCCAGAGCCCAAACUCACUGGGUUUGAGUGUAUAAUUUUAUCAACAAAGACGUUCCAACCCAACUCUGGCUUCCUAGAAUCACAACUUGCAUUGCUAGCAGGAACUUGUGGUGAAGCAAUUGAAGUCUAGCUCCAGAUCUGAUUCCCUUGCUGCCACUCAUUCUCAAGUUUCAAGUCUUUGCCCAGAAAUCCAUCUGAUUUAUCAAUUUUCUCACAGUUCACUUCUGGAAUUUUAUGUAGCUUAGAUUCUGUGUCUUCUUGCUCAUCCUGAGCUUCAUUUCUUACCUCUUCGGUUAUCCUAACCAGUCAUCUGGAGCCUGCAUGCGGGAGCUCACUGAUUGAUGCUCACAUAGCCCACCUCCAUCAUUUUAAGAUGUGACUGUGGCAAUGGCAAUAGUUCUGAUCCGGGAUGCUGCUUUGCUCAAAGAGGGCUCUCAGCUCUGUCUAGUGUCGUUGAUGAUGGGCUAUCUCACCUCCAGCACUAGGGAUUGGAGAGCCUCUUCAAAUAUCCCAGCAUCUAGGUGGCCCAUUAAUUUUCCAUAGCCAGCUAGAGGACUAUAAACCCGUAAAUGCCCAGCUUCAUCUUUCCACCUUGCUUUGAAUUCCCAUCAUCAGCCUCCAAGAGUGAAACAGGGGCCUUGUCCAGUAGAAAUGCCAUCAAUGAAAUCAACAAUUCUGUCUUCUUGGCAUUCUUAACGUAAGCAAUCUGUAGUAGAUUCUUCUCACAUCUUCCAAAACAUCUUUGCUGUCAUUCCCAAAUUCUGUUGGCAGUAAAACAGAAUGAAUGCUAAGUGAACUCCCUUGAAGCCACAGUACUGUAUAAAGCAAUAGGUAAUCCUUUGGAAGACUGGGCAAUAUUAGGCUGUGGCAAAAGCUUCAGUAGAGUUUCGAUCCCUGACUUUCAUGCAGAUAACUGGCGAGCUUCUGAAUUUUCCAUUAUUCUGUGGACUAGAGCCAUCACAUGAAAGAUGCAAAGUUGGAACCACUCAUUACUGGUGCCUGCUGUAGCCGAAAUUGUCGAACUGACCAGACAGCAAUGGCCAUCAGACAACCCAGGCAACUUUUCCUACAACCCUUCUUGUCAUGAGCAGAAAUGUUCAGUGGCUCACAUCAAUUUUCAAUGGCUUUCAUGUCAGAAGAACCUGUGUUAUUAGGCUCUAUCUCAAACAAAAUAUAAAAAACAAACUCCCUAUGUCCAAAGUCACCGGAAACUGAAAUCUCGAUGAGUAGUGCGCUCUGAACCUUUUGGCAUUUGUUUUAAUUUGCACUUUGGGUACGAGUUCUGCUGAACCACACAUGAACGGCGCUUUGGACAAGCCUGCUGCUUGUGGUGGAAGGCAUGCUCUUUUCUCAUGAGUGGUAUACUGAUCAUCCACCUCCCAUGGCCCAAAUGCAUGCAUGAGGGCCUUCACCUCAGGUACAGAUGAAUUUAUGGGAAUUUAAUACCAACACAUGGGACUUCACUGAUCUACAGCAGCUGACAACUUACCCUGCUGAUGCUAGAAUUGGCUUGGAAUUACUGAUUUAUCGAUACUAAUCUCUUCGCAAGUGGUGUUGAUAGGCAAUUCAAAAAAUUUCCAAAUUAGAUGACUAGGGAACUUUCUUUGUUUGGACAUGAGUGCUAUGAGCUGUUACAGUAGUCAGAACUUCUUGAUGACACACCCCAGCUUGUUCUUGAUUUUAGUCAUGUGGAUGGCAUUACAUCCAGGAACUUCACCAGAAUUGGCCGAGCUUUCCUGAGAACGAAAAAAGAAUCUGUGUUGUACCCAAUUUCAGUAACCAGUUUUGCCUCCCGUUUUCUUCCCUGCAGUUCAAGUCUCUUGAAAGUCUAUUUGCUGGCAAAUAGAUGCAGGCCGGUAGCUAAGAGACUGGAAAUGCCUCAUAUGAUGUCCAUUGUCCUGAAUGCAUGAGGGUGAAGAAACGAAACAUCUUUUAGUUCCUUUUCUCAUCAGUUUCUGUAAUCAACAAAUCAGCCAAAAUGCUCUUAGUUCUCUCCUGAGCAUCACUUUCAGUUCUGCAAUAUGUCUUGCUCUCUUUUAUUGGUAGAAAUUCUGAAAGAGCCACUCAAAGAGUCUGAUAUCUGUCAAAGUAUGUUGAACAAGCCAAUUACUCCCCCCCCCCCCCCCCCCCCCCCCCCNNNNNNNNNNNNNNNNNNNNNNNNNNNNNNNNNNNNNNNNNNNNNNNNNNNNNNNNNNNNNNNNNNNNNNNNNNNNNNNNNNNNNNNNNNNNNNNNNNNNCCCCCCCCCCCCCCCCGCGACAAAUCAGUCGUUGUCCAGUUCUUCGCAGUACUAAUGACCAGUGGGGUGGGAUGAUGCUGAGUGAAGCCUUCUAUAGACCAGGGUAUUGUGUAGAGCAAUAGACAUUACUUCAGAAGACUGGUCGAGAUUAAGUCAUGGCAGUAGCUUGAGUGGAAAUUCGGUCCCUGAUUUUUCCACAAAUAAUCAGCAAGUUUCAGAAUUUUCUUUGUUCUAUGGACCGGGAUCAUCUCAUGAAAGGUGCAAAGUUGGACGAAUCACUCGUCACUGAUGUCUACGGCAGCUGAAUUUAUUGAUGGCUAUCAUUUCUUUGUCUUCAAAAGUCAUUUUCAUUGCGGCAGUCCCGUUAAAUCUUCCUGAUGGCCCCCACAUUUUCAUCCCAUGUUGAAGCAAUUCUAUUGACAAUUUCGAUAGUUAUGUAAACACUAGUACUCCUUAAUGAAAAUACAGCAAAAGCUUUUCCACAACAUUAGCCAAGGGAGCAAAAAUCUCAUUCAUUGUUCACAAGGGAUCAUGACGCUGAAGCUUCUUUCACUUCCUUUAAGCCCUUGAGACAAAUGGCACCAAGACCCUUAAGAACAAAUGCGAGGGCCUUUGAAGAAGGGAGUAUUCCUGCCACUAUUGAAGAUAAAAGGCAUCAAGGUGAUCCAGUUCAUGCAAAGCAAAAAGACAAGUGAGAGCCUCUGAAGGAGAAAGUAUUCCAGCCGCUCCAAUCAUUUCUGCAUUACCAAAUACCAGUGACAAAGUAGCAAGUAAAGGAUUAUCAUAAGGAUUUGAUGUCUAAUAUCCGUAUCAUGGAUCUCAACUCUUGUCACUCCGAUCUCAGUAUGAUAUAUUUGCUUAUCCAAUAUGAGAUGCCAUGUCAGGCAUGGCAUUAAAGAGGACUAUGGCAGUCUUUGCUGAAAAUCAAGACCAACAUAUGUUGUAGGACUUUGUCCGGCUUGUGGCACACAAGAAGGUAAAUACCAAUGACUUGCUACAAUUGAGGAGACCCCACAAAGCUCUUAGUCCUGACAUUUGUAAGUUGUGUAUGGAGCAAGGAGAAUCAGUAGAUCAUCUAUUCCUUCAUUGUUCUGUGACGUUGGGGUUGUGGCACAGACUAUUUCAGCUAGCCAAGAUGGAUUGGGUUCCUCUGAAAAGCAUUUCAGACAUGAUGUUCAUCAAUUAUAAAGGUUUUGGCAAGUCCAAGAGAGGGUUGGUUUUGUGGCAAAAUGCGUGCAUAGCUUUAAUUUGGGUUGUAUGGCAGGAAAGAAAUGUUAGGAUUUUUUAGGACAAAGUUAGGAAUUCAGAGAAUCUUUGGGACUCCAUUCAUUUCAUCGCUUCGUUUUGGGCUUUUUGCUUAGCGGGUUUUAAGGGCAUUCCCCUUAACGUUUUACAACUAGAUUGACUAGCAGUGUAUAGUUCCAAUGAGACGGUGUAGUGUCAUGUUAUUUUUUUUGUGUUGUUUAGUUUUAAUUUUGGCGGGAGGAUUUCUCAUCAUGUGUGGUUUCCUAUUUUAUCCUAUCAAUAUAUUCAUGUGUGGUUUCCUAUCAAAACAUAUGUUGUAGGACUCCAUGAGCCUGGAUCAAAAAAAGAUGAACAGCAGCCCUGAAUUAAUAAGAAAACAAACGACAACUUGACCUUUGGCAAUUGUGGCAGACCCUCUGAAUCCUCAUCAGCUAUCAGACCCAGUAGACCCCCCUGUCAUUUUGCUUACUUGGAGGUUCUUCAAGAUCGUGGACCAUGCCGGCUCCGUUUUGCAGUCGAUAUACUUUUUUAAGAUUAGCAGGAGCAACAAUCUGAACUCAGAAUCAGACCAUCUAUGACCGUUUGGUCAUUGGAUGAGAAAACCUCCAGGUCCUUUUUGAGGAACAUGUAUUAUAAGGACCCUACCAUAGCUUUCUUUAUCCAUUCCUUUGCCAAGUAAUAUGUUCUCUUCUAUCUUGCCACUCUGAAUCCAAGCAAAAUGAGUACCAAAUUAAACAUCGUAACCAACUUGUUCACCAUGGCGGCCUUUAGUUUGAGCUCUACAAUUUCUAGAAAACCCGUGACUGAUCAAAUUCCCAUGCUGCAUACCUGAACGCACCAGAACUGAUGCUGAUGCCUUCAUGGGCACCAAAAUUGAUCAAUCUCACCGCUGGCAAAGCUUCUCCAAAAAAUGGGCAAAACUAUCUAUGCUUCACCUCUCCUCUGUUCUUCCACCCCUGUUUUGCUUCCUUCAUUCUCCAGUAAUAGAUACUUCGACUGGUGCCAAACAAUCUUCCUCAUGAAACAGUAGUUGUAUGAGAAACCACUGAACCUGCUUUUUUCUUCCAAAUUUGGGUAUUAAGUUUUGACAGCAUCAAGAAGCCAUUGUCUAGCGCCAUCAAUCAGUGACGCAGACGUGGCUGGAAAUACUCGAAAUAUCCACAGAAUACAAAGGAAGACUACCAAGGAAACGGAGCACGAAGAAAAUAAACAAAAAAAAGAACCAAUGGAAGCCACAUUUCAUAUUUUAUUCCACGGGCUUAGGUUGGUGAGGGGAGUACAAGCAGAUUCCAGCAAACAAAUACAGCCACAAUUCUCAUGUAAUGCACAGUAAAUAUAAAAAAAAAGAGCCUUUCAGUUCCAAACCUAAACUAGAGAACUCCAAAGAGAGAAAUCAACAACUAUAGAAGCAAUCUAGUACCAAUGCAAACAAAAUAUAACCUUUGUCAUUCUACACCCAAGCAUCCAGUCAAAACUUAAAAUCCAGUGAAGAUUAAUACAUAACAAGAGGAUAGUGGGAAUGAAGGAAGAGUCUGCGGAAAGCGUACCUGGAAAUGCUCCUUUCUGGUAAGAAAAUCCCCGCUGGUAUAUCGUCUCAGAUCUCUUACUCUACUUUGCCGUGCUUCCUUCGUCUCCCUUUCUUCUCAGAAUGUCUUUUCUUUUCUCCCUCCUUUUGUUCUAAUUCAUAGUCCUCCUUCUAAAAAUUCAUAAUCAUCCUUUUAUUUGCAAAUUGGAAAUUCCUUCCUUAUUCACUUCUUGUUGAUCCUCUCUGUUAAAGAAACAAUCUUUGCCAGCCCACUGUAUUUCCUUUAGUGGUGUGUGGAUCCCAUAUGAUAUGCCUGUUGUAUCUUUGAAGAACCUCCUCUUCUUGUGCUCCAGCCGUGCGUUCCUUUCUUGGAGAAAAUUCUUCAUCCAAAGAAACCCAUAGGUCUCCUAUCAAUCUAUUAACCUCUUUUUUUGAAUUGUUUUCUUUCCUUGUCCAAAAUUGCAUGAAUAUCCUCCAAAGAUCCCUACAUGGCAGCCACGAGUUUGGAGAAUUCCACCUUCCCAUAUGAAUCUUUUUCUUUACAAACUUAGAAUCCCUUUCGUGCGUGAUUACCCUCAAUAUUUGCACUUCAUCUAUAGCAGUGGACUUUCCUUUGUCAAAAUUUUUGGUUAUCCUCUUUCCAAAUAGCUGGUAGUCGUUUCCUCAUGCAAGAAAUAAAAAUAAAGAUAAAAAUAAAGAUAAAAAUAAAAAUAAAAAUAAAGAUUAAAAUCAAUAAAUAUCAUGAAAUUGAAAAUCAAAAGAAAUUUAAAUCACGCAACUAAAAAAUAAAAAUCAACCACAUGCAAGCCAUGCAAGAAAGUGAAUCAUGUAAUCAUGCAAAAAUACGUGCCAUGCAACCAUGCAAACCAUGUAGAAACGCCUGAAGGUGACCUAGGGUGUGUCUAAGUGUCCUAGGAUGAACUAAGUGGGCCUAGAUAAACCUAGGUGGGCCUAUGUGAACCUAGAUGUUCUUGGGCAAACUAAGUGGAAUCUAAUCCUAAACUGCACUUAAGUAAAACCUAAUCUAAACUUGAAAGGCGGCCAAGGUUAGAUAAAUCCCUCAACUAAAGUCUCCGAGGUGGCUUAUAGAAGGCAAACUAUAUGAGUAAAAAUGGGCCAUCAAGGAACUACUAUGGAGUAUUGAAAGAGCACUUAAAAACAUGUGCUAAAGGGACAAAAUGGAGGGUCUACAUGUACCGGACUCGGUCGACUUAGUUCGUCCUAGGACAAAGAUUGAGAAAUGUAAAAGGAUUUUCUUUGGUUAGGGUUUGGGGAGGGAAAGAGAGAGUAUCUUAUAAGCUGGAUCUGAGUGUGCUUCGAGAAAUAAGGCCCUCUUAGAGAAGUGGCUAUGGGGGUAUACUAGGGAGAGUAUUGCUUUAUGGCACAAGGUAUUCUUGAGCAUCUAUGGGACACAUUCAAACGGUUGAGAUGCCAACAUUUUAGUGGAAAAUGGGUCAAAAAUCCGUUUUUGGGAAGAUUUGUGUUGGGGAAAUCAACCUUUGGUUGCAUAAUAUUUUUGAGUCUUUACAAACUUUUAUCAGUUCAAAAUUCUCAUAUUUCAUUUGUCCUCAGUCUUUCUUCUCCUAUUACUUGAAACUUUAACUUUCAGCCAAACCUUACGGAUAUAGAGAUAGAGGAUCUUGAAAGACUCAUGUCCAUUCCCAAUAGUGUUAAUCUAACACCGUAAUCCCUAGAUAUGAGACCUUGUUUAUUAUCACCUUUCAACUUAUUUUUGGUCAAAUCUUUUUUUCUUAACCUCAUUUGAUCAUUUAACUUUAGUUUUCUUUUCUCUUGCUAAUUUCAUAUGGAAAUCAAAAGCUUGGCCAAAGGUCAAGGCAUUUGCUUCUUUAGUGGCUAACAAGAAGGUUAAUAUCAAUGACUUGCUUUAGGUGAGAAGACCAUUAAAAUCCCUUAGUCUAGAUUGUUGACCUUUGUGUAUGGUGAGUUGAGAAUCAAUGGAUCACCUUUUUUACAUUGUUCGACAACUUUAGAGUUAUAACGUAAGCUAUUCAAACUAGUAAGUUUGGAUUAGGUUCCUUCUAGAAGUGCUUGUGACAUGUUGACCAUUUCUUUUAGGGGUUUGGGUAGCACUAAUUGGGGUAAAGUUCUAGGGCAAAUAGCUUGUUUUACAUUGAUUUGGAUAGCACAAUGGGAAAGAAAUGUAAGGAUCUUUGAGGACAGGUGGAGGACUUUCAAAAUGAUAUGGGACCUAGUCUACCUCUAUCCAUAUUUUUGGGCCUCUACUACCAUAGUUUUCAAAAGUAUUCCUCUCAACAUUAUUCAACUUGAUUGACUUUCAAUAUGUAGAUUAGAAGGGUUAAAAUAGCAAUGUUGAAACAUUUUGAUGUCUUUUGGAUUGUUUUUCUUUUGCUUUUUUUUUAUCAAAUUUUGUAUUUAGGGAAAGAUUUCUUAUCCUUCUUUUGUUUACUUUUUCAAUGAAAAUGUUCUUUGUUUCUAAUAAAAAAAAUUAUAAGUUUUGUUUAUUUAUUUAUUUUUACCAACCAUGAAAGUCAUGCUAAAUAUGGAAAAAUGCACAUUUGCUGGGAAAUACUGCAAUGCUUUUGUCUUUUGGAUUUGUUUUAUGAAAGUUUUAAUGGAUUUUUGUGGGUAUUAUAUUUGGUUUCACAUUAAUGCAAAUCUCUUGGGAAUUACAGCAGUGUUUUCAUCUUUUGGUUUCCUCUUCCUAAGUUACUAGUGAUUUUUUUUUUUUGGUGGGUAUUAUAUUUGUUGCCAGACUAGAAUGCAUUUUUAAAAAAAAAUCUGUGGUCGGAUUUCUUACUGUCAUGGCCUGUAAUUUAAUGGGUUGACGUGGAACAAACAUAAAAACAGGCUGGACCCUGAUCAAAGUCGGAUGCUGUGAUAUCCAGUUGCUGUGGUGUACAGCAUCUUCCAACUUUUUGUGUGAUGUAAAAUAGAACUGUUGCAUUUAACUGUAGCUUAUAGGCUUCAAAUAUUAGCCUUAAUUGGCAACAAAUCUUACCACUUUUUUUGCAAUUUGGUUUCUGCGGACCUUUCUGUGUAAUCUUUGCAAAUGGUUGUGGGGGAAAAUUCUUAAGAUUUUCUGUGUCUAUUACAGGGAGAGCAGUUAAAGCAAAGGAACGUUAUAGAGCUUGUAGAUGAAUCUCCGGCUCCUUUGCUUGGUUCUACAAAGUAAGCUUUGUUGUAUUUCUUUAGAUUUACCUUGAUUUAUAUUUCAAUAAGUACUUGCUUACUUCUCUCAGGAACACAAUUGAGCUCAAGAAACAAGAUGCAUUCGAAGUUCCAAGAUGCAUUGACACCCGUAUGGAUGGAGUUUUUCCUGCUAAAAAGUCUAGGUUUAGGAUGCUUUCUGGAAAAGAAAAUGCUAAGGUACAAUACUUUUUCAUCUAAAAUUGAUUUAUUAUCAAGUAUGUUUACGGUAACAUGUUAGAACUGUCAAAUCACUAAUCUGUCAAGAUCUUGAAUGUGCCAUGCAAUUUACCAUGCAUUAUUUCUGUCUUAAUUUAUUCAAUUUUUUAAUAUAUGCAGGAAGAUAUUUCAGCUGCGCCAGCUGGCUGCUUGAAGAAUAUCUGUGUUUCUUUGAAUUCAGUUGUCAAGAGUCAUCCACAACUUUCAUGGUAUACAUUUCCAGGAUGGUGUACCUUGUUUAUAAUUGAUAAAUUGUUUGCUUUUUUCUUAUUUAUUCAAUUUCUUAUUUCUAUCAGUCCAGAGAAUACUGUGGCUUCAGCUGCAGUUUCCAAAGAUGGUACAAGGCAAGAUUGUGAAUAUGCUGAAAAGUGCAGUCAAAGCACAUUUCGUAGUGUGGCUGAAUUAUCACUUGGUAGUGAGAGGAUAUCUGAAAUGGCUGUUGUUGAUAUGGUAUUUUUGUUAGCAUUUUCCCCUUUUAUUUACUUGAAGAAAGUUCUGUGUCAAAAUAUAAAUCUAUUUAUUUUCACAGGAUAAAGCAUUAAAAGGGCUGGUUGCCUGUGAACCCCGUGCUUUUUCUGGUUUAGCUGCUGAUUCUUCUGAAAAGUUCGACAAUUUUACUUCAAUCUCUUCUGGCCAUUUCUGCUCUGAAUUUCAUAUUCCUGGGCAGAAGGCCCCACUGGAUUUUACAUUAAAAACUAAUAUGCAGAUAGUGUCUUCUUCCUCUGUGAACUGGUGAGUGUGCUGGUAUGUUCUGUGUUGUUGGUUCUCAUCACAGUUACACAUCUUACCUGUUUCUAGAGAUUGUUUUGUUUACUUUAAGGGUGAAAAAUAAUGCUUCCUCAUCUUUACUCUAUUUCCAUCUGCAAUUUUUUUUGGUGGUUUAGGAUGACUACCAUAAAAUACAUUCUAUGAAAAACAAUGUAGCAUCAACAAGUCUGUUGUAUUUUUAGGAGGAUUCCUCAUCCUUCUUUUGUGUUCCUUUAUACUUAAUACAUUUAUUAUUUCUGAUAAAAAAAUAUAUAUCCUCAAAAGGCAGGAUACAAUCACAAGGACACAAUAACAUAUCAAUAUAUACUUUUAUAUAUAAAUUAUAUAAUAUCUGAAAAUUAUGAGUCUGGCUAGUUCAUCUAUUUUUUAUACUAAAUUGCAUAGCUUAGAAGAAGCAACUCAUUCACUUGUAUCCAUGCUUAGAGCAUCUCUAAUGCAAUACCAAAGUAGCUUAUAUAUAUGUGUGUGUGUGCAUGCCAAAAAACAACUAAAUUUUUAAAUAUUGGCACUCCAAUGGGAGCUGUCAUUAUUUGGCUUUCCUUUUAGCAUUAUUUGGCAUUUGGUUGGAGAAUGGUGGUUGCUUGCAUUGUGAAUCUGGUGCUAAAAUUUGGCAUCGUUAGUUUAAUAUUUAAGUUGGAGAGCAAUUACCAUUACCAGAAAAUAAGUUUGGCAUUUGUUGUUUUAUCUAUUUGCAUUGGAGAUGCUCUUAGUGUGUAAUAUCUUUUUCUUUUUUUCUUUUUAAAUGCUUUUACUGUGCUCAUUCUUAUCAUGCCAAAUGUUUUUUUAUUUUCUUUUUUAAGAUUUAAGGUUUUAUCAAGAUUAUACCAGGCUUAACUGCAGGUAAAUGAUAUGUUGUUGCUGUGACUUAUUUAAAUAGAUUUCCUUAUGUCAUUGGAUGAGGUUUUCAGAAACAUGUAACACAAUAAGUAGUGCAUACAAAAUUUAUUAACAAUGCAGUCACAUACGCAAAAACAAAAUUACUAAUUGGACAACUACAUAAAUUGAUUGAGGAUAUGGUCUUUAAAUACGUAAUUGCACUCGAGUGGUUUGGAGAAUGAUGACUGGCGUCCAUUUGUUUUUUUUUUUUUUUUCUGAUAGGUAAGAUUUGACUAACUUGUAUGCCUAAACUUGAUUACUCAUUUAUAUUGGUUAUUCCCUUCAAAUUAAAUGGCAUGUCCGACUAGUCUCAUGCUUACUCCAUUCUUGAAAAUUAUCUAUACCAUACCAAUUUACUGAAAAACUGGACUGAUGCAAUAUUGAGAGAAGUACAAUUCGACAUAACUUUUGUUUUUUCUGAUUUUCAGGAAUGUGAAGAUAAGAUAAUGGGUUCAUUUUAUUGUUUAGGUGGCUGGUAGUGCACUUUGUUUAAUGCUAUAUGAUGGAAACUUUAACUAUAAUGAAUUUGUCAGUGCAAUUCUUUGGUAAUCUAUCGUAUUCAAAGCUAUUGGUUAUCUGUGUAUAGAAGAUGUUGUAGAAGAAAGAAGUAAUCUAAAAUUUUUAUUUAUGAACAAAACUAAAAUUAUGUUAAUUGAAAUUUUGAGAGAAUAUCAUAAUUGCCAGCUAAGUGUUGACGGUGUUGGAUUUUCUUUUGUAAUAUUUUGAUGCUCUUUUGCUGAAGUAUUUGGAUCUCAUUUUUUUUUUCUGUCAAAUCAAUUUUUUUAAAAUUCAUACUUUAGUGCUAACAUUUAAUUAACCCACAUAUAUUUCUGCUUUUGGACACAGUUGCUAUUUUUCCUUGAACAAUAAAUUUUUGUACUAAUAUUUGACUAGAAGAAAUAUCAUUGAAUUAUGUCCAGACUAUUCUGAUUUCAUUUGAUAUCAUCUAUUCUUUUUAUAUUUAUUCCUAGAUCAUUGGUUCUAUAUUGUGUUGGUAUUUGUAAGCAUUACAAGGUUAUGCAUUAAUAAAAUAUUCAGAAAAGCGAUGAUUUUGCCAUAUAUAUGGGUUAUGUGUAUGUAAAUUGUUGCAUAAUCUAUGUAUGGACUAAUGUAUAUUCCACCACAAUUAGCAUUAGGUCGUUUGUAGAAGGUGAUUUUAGCUAAUCGACCUUAUCUCGUUUUGCCAUUCCUAGGUUUCAUAUAUUGAACAUGUCUGCUACUUACAAUGGUACAACUACACCGCAAUUUGGUUGUUCCAAGGAUCAAAAUAUUAGCUGCUCCUCUGGGAUCACUUCCACUGCCCAAAUAUUCAAUUAUAGAGCUUUGCACUCAUGGGUGCACCCUCAGUCUUCUCUACCACCUUCUGUCAUAUCAGCAUGGAACUUAUCUGCUACAGAUGGAGGUUUGUGAACCAAAUAUUUUAUUAGUAUGAAAUUUAAGUUUUUCUUUUCCUUUCUUUUCCUCAAGUUUUCUUACAACAAAUUUUCUUAGUCAAUUUAGUGGAAACGGAUUUCUUAAUCAAACGACAACUAGCAUGGGAAGACUCAUUUCGAAGUCUCUAUUACAUGCUUAGAAAGAAUAUUUGUAAUAUCUUCUAUGGUAAUUACCUUCUUCCAUGCUUCAUAGUAGUUUUCAAUUUUACGUAAGUAAAGAAUUUCUGAAUUCCUUUAUUGAAUUUUUAGGUACACACCAUACACAUAUAUAUACACAAAUGACUGAAUAAGAAAAUAUCAAUCUAGCUUGAUUCUCUCCUAAAAUUAGGAAACUAAAUCAUCUUAAAUGAUCUCUCCUUUUUUAUUCCUAAAAUACUUUCCUAAAUUAAAACCCUAAUUUUGAAUGCCAAAUUUCAACACUCCCCCUCAAGCUGGAGAAUAUAUAUCAUAUAAUCCCAGCUUGCAAGUUAAGUCUUCGAAGUUAGGCCUAGGUAAAGCUUUGGUGAGGAUAUCUGCGGUUUGGUGCUUGGUAGGAACAUAGUUCAAUUUAACCGUCUCACUAGUCACCUUCUCUGUGAUGAAGUGUCUGUCAAUCUCAACAUGCUUGGUCCUGUCAUGAUGCACGGGGUUCUUUGCUAUGCUUAUAGUUGCCUGAUUAUCACACAUCAUCAGAAUUGGAGAUGAACUCGUUUGUCCCAGUUCACUAAGAACCCUUUUUAUCCAAAUCCCUUCACAGAUUCCCUGUGCAAGAGCUUUGUACUCAGCUUCUGCACUACUUUUGGCUACAACUGAUUGCUUCUUACUCCUCCAGGUAACAAGAUUUCCCCAGACAAAAGAACAAUAUCCAGAAGUGGACCGCCUGUCAAUGAUGUUUCCUGCCCAAUCCGCAUCUGAGAGUAUACUUCAAUGUCACGGUUCUCUGUCUUUCUGAAGAAUAGACCUUUCCCUGGUGUCAUUUUUAAAUAUCUAAGAAUCCUGUAGACUGCUUCCAUGUGUUCCUCAGUGGGGCUGUGCAUGAAUUGACUUACAACACUCACUGCAAAGCCAAUAUCUGGCCGAGUAUGUGAGAGAUAAAUCAAGCGCCCGACAAGCCGCUGAUAUCUCCCCCUGUCUACCGGUGUACUUUCUUUCUCGAUACCAAGUUUCUUCUGACUAUCCAUAGGAGUAUCAAUUGGUUUGCAUCCAAGCAUACCGGUCUCCUUAAGAAGAUCGAGUAUGUAUUUUCUUUGAGAGACUACAAUUCUCUUCCUUGAUCUAGCCACUUCCAUACCAAGGAAAUAUUUCAAAUUUCCAAGGUCUUUAACUUCAAACUCUUCUAACAAAUACUUCUUCAACUUCUGUAAUUCCUCCAUAUCAUUCCCAGAUAGAAUAAUAUCAUCGACAUAGACUAUCAAUAUGGCCAUUUUCCCGGCAUGAGACUUCUUGACAAAUAGAGUAUGAUCACCUGAUUCUUUGCCAUACUUUCUUCGAAACCAGGUGGUAUUUCCAUGUAGACUUCCUCUUCUAGGUCACCAUUUAGAAAUGCAUUUUUUAUGUCCAAUUGUUGCAAGCACCAAUCUUGAUUGACAGCCAAUGAGAGAAGAAUCCUGAUAGUGUUCAGUUUUGCAAUAGGAGCAAAAGGCUCCUGAUAGUCUAUCUCAUAGGAUUGUGUAAACCCUCUAGCUACCAAACGAGCCUUGAAUCUCUUGACUGAUCCAUCUGCUUUGUAUUUUAUGGUGAAAAUCCACUUGCACCCCACGGGCCUCUUCCCAACCGAAAAAUCUGUGAUAGUCCACGUCCCAUUUUUCUCAAGUGCAUCAAUCUCAUCUUGUACUACCUUCUUCCAUUCUGAAAUUUUGAAUGCCUCUUGUAUUGUGUUGGGAACCUGAGUAUCAUCAAGAGAAGUAGCAAAUGCUCUGUAAGAUGGUGAUAACCCUUCAUAUGUAACAUAAUUCCCAAUUGAAUGAUUUGUACAUCUCCUAACACCCUUCCUCAAUGCAAUCGGCAGAGUAGAAUCAUCAAUACUGGGAAUUAACACCUUUCCAACCCUAUCCUCACCUAUGUUCUCUUCAGGAAGACUUGAAUUUGAGUCAAUAUAUUGGCCACAUGUUGACUGUGAUCCGUGCUCUAAUUCCUGUCUUUUCCUCCUCCUGAUGUAAACUUGUAAGUUCUCAUUAGCAAGUUGUGGGGCUAUAGGUUAAAUAGGCAUGGGAGACUGGAUGGUCACGGGAGAAGGAACAUUUGUGUGUUGGGCUGGCUGGACUGAUGACGGCAUGGGUGUGGACAACUCAGUGGGUGCGAAUUGGGAAGGAUUUGGUGACUCUGAGUGAAAAGAAGGUACACCCUCAAGAAGAGACUCCCAAACUUGAUGUUCAUUCAUGCUCUCCCCCUGAACAUGAGAUUUGGGAUAGAAGAAGACAUGUUCAAAGAAAGAGACGUCCAUGGUGGUGUAAAAUCUUUUGUUGGUUGGAGAAUAACAUUUGUACCCUUUUUGGGUUGGAGAAUACCCUAGGAAAAUGCACUUAUUGGCUCGAGGAGCAAAUUUGCUACGAUUUUGAGGAUACACAUGAACGAAUGCCGUGCAACCAAAUACUUUGAGUGGUAAAUCAGAAGAGGCUGCACGGGUGUGAGGAAAUUGUUUUAAGAAAAGUUGACGUGGGGAUUGAAAGGUAAGCACUCUGGAUGGCAUACGGUUAAUCAAAUAGGUAGCUGUGAAAAUAGCUUCCCCCCAGAAAUAGUUUGGAACAUUAGAGGAAAACAUAAGGCACCGGGCAACCUCCAAGAGAUGUCUAUUCUUGCGUUCAGCCACCCCAUUUUGUUGUGGGGUGUCAACGCAAGAACUUAUGUGGAUAAUGUCGUGAUUUUGAAGAUAAGUACUGAGACUACUAGUAAAGUAUUCCUUUGCAUUAUCUGACUUGAGGACUUGAAUUUUGGAAUUGAAUUGAUUUUGAACCAUAAGAUUGAAGGUUUGAAAAAUGUGUCCGACCUCUGACUUUUCUUUCAUAAGGAAAACCCAUGUUACUCGUGUAUGAUCAUCAACGAAUGUCACAAACCAUCGAGUGCCAGAAAUAUUUUUUAUCCGGGAGGGACCCCACACAUCACUAUGUACUAGAGAGAAAACGGUCGAAGGUUUGUAUGAGAUUUGAGGAUAUACUGUUCGAGUAUGCUUUGCAAACUGACAAAUUUCACAGUGAUAAGAUGCUGGAUUUUUAUUGAUAAAUAAUUUGGGAAACAAUUUUGCAAGGUAAACAAAGCUAGGAUGACCAAGGCGAUAGUGUAACAUUAUAAUCUCACUAUCUUUAUUGACCUUAGAAUUUGACACAGAAUUGAAAGACUCUAACAUACUCUAAGACUGUACGCAACUUGCUUGAGAGACUUGGUUUGAGAAUUGGCCACAUGAGAGGAGGUAGAGCCCGGAACACAGUUCAGCACUGCCAAUCAUCUUCCCCGAUUUCAAGUCCUGAAAAACACACGAGUUUGGAUAGAAUUUAGUAACACAUCAAUUUGCUAAUGGACAAAAGAUUACAAUCCAAGUUUGGAACAUGGAGGACAGAGUCAAGAUAUAAGUCUUUAGUAAGUUUUAUAGAACCUGUCCCGGCAAUUUUUGACUUUGAACCAUCAGCAAUAUGGACGGAUGAAUGACCAUUACUUGGCUUGUAACUUUGAAGAAUGGCAGCAUCUCCUGUCAUGUGAUCAGAAGCACCUAUGUCCACUAUCCACGGUUUCAUUCCUCCUCGAUUAGCAGUGAAGGCUAUCCCGGUAGUACUGCCACUGCCAACUUGGCUUAAUAGUUUCUGUAGCAUCUUCAUCUGCUCUUUGUUGAAUGGACUCGGCUCGGGAACAGAUGUGCUCUCAGAGUUGGCAGCCACGUGUGCUCUGCCAUCUCUAUCAGACCGUGGCUUUGGUUUCCAAUCAGCCGGUUUGCCAUGAAGCUUCCAGCAAGCCUCCUUAUAAUGGCCUGGUUUCUUACAAUAAUCACACCAAGGCCUAUCCCGUUUCUGACGAUCUCCACCACUACUAUUAAAUGACCGAGCAGCAAGGGCAGAGGCAUCCAAUGUUGGGACAGGUUGCUCUUUGGAUCCCAUCAUCACUUUCUGAUUACUACCAAAAAGUGCUAUUUUGUAGACCUAAUUAUAAUGGUUUUAAGCACCUUUGAGUAGUAAUCAUAUUCAUUUAACCCAAUUAAUUCAUUAAGGUCCUUAGUAAUUGGUUUUAACCAUUUUGUGGCAAGUUUACAUGUUUUUAUCAGCUUAUGAAUCAAUUCAAGAAUGCCAAAUGAUGGAGGAGCUACUUGGACAAGUUAUGGCAAAGCUUUUCGAAGCUCAAAUUCAUGAAGAACCAAGCUUUGGAGCUCCAUAGCCCUUUGCCAAAGUUGUUCAAAGUAUGCAAGGAAAGAACAAUGGAGAAGAGGAAAACAGAGGACAGCAUCUGCAGUCUUCUUUCGCACUUUUGGAGCAAUUCCCAAAGUCCAUUUUUUACAUUCUAUAUACCAUUUCAAAGCUCUGUAAGUCAAGAAUCCAACGCUUCAAACCGUGUACAAUUUGAAGCUGAAAUGAGGAAGAUAUGGCCUUCGGAAGCCAACUGCUCCAGGUUAUGCGAAAAUUUCGCAUAACACGAAAUUCGCAUAACACCUUCAAAAUUCGCAUAACCCAUGCGUGUUGCGAAUUUUCCUCUGCUUUUGCCGACUCCACUUUAGAUAUUUUCCUUUGUAUUUUGUGAUGUAAUUUCCUUUCUUAUCCUUGUAACUAACCAAUCACAAGCUUUUGUUUUUGUAAAGACUAUAUAAGGGGUAGAAAUCACCUCUUGGAACAUAUAUAAUAGAUAGAAUAUAGAACAUGCGUAUUACGUUUUACACUGAGUGAUAUAUAGAGCUCUCUCGUCUCUCUUUUCUCUUUACUAUUUUAUUUUCUUGGAAGCCAAAUAGCCUCUGAGGGCUUUUCCUCAGAGGAUGAUUGGCUAAAACUUUUAGUUUCUCAAAGUAUGGAUGUUAUGUGAUAGCUUGGAUGCAAUCCCAUGGAAAUUUCUCGCACCUGGAAGGUAAGGUAGACGUUUUUCAUUAAUGGUUCAUUAAUGCAAAGUUUGGUUUUUAUUUCCUUUGGACAACUUCCAACGGCCAAUACUUGAUAAGCUUUUGGAUUUCUAUCCAUUAGUUAUCUCCUACGAGCUAUUGGAAGGUGAGGUUUUCAAUUCCAAGUUUUACAUUAAUCCGUUAGAACCAAUUUCAAUGGCCAUUGAAAGGUGAGUUUAUCACUUGGAAUGACUUUGAGUUGCCAAUAUUUGGUAAGCUUUCGGCUUUAGACCAUUAGUUAUCUCUUACGAGCCAUUCAAAGGAAGUCUAAGGUGAAUAACCAUUGAUGAAAUUCACUACCAUCUGUUUUGCCAUUUUAAAGGAUUAAAACUUGAUUUGCUAAAUCCAUACCGGUUCGGGAAGCAAGCAUCACCAUAGUUGCAACCCCAACGCGAGGAGCCUAUCCUGAGAUUUCCAAUUUGCAUAAGAGCCAGAGCAUAGCUAUCCUAUCUUUGAGAAACUUGUUUUUACACCCUUUCAUUUUAGUCUUUAAUGUUAGCUUAGAUUAGUUUAAAUCUUUCUAAAACAUUUACAUCUUCUUUUAAAGCUAACAUCCAUAAGAAAAUCACCUAUUUUCCUAAUUUGAAUAUCACUUGUGUUUGCGAAAACCCUUCCCAGUGAACGAUCCUAUAACCACUAUGCUAUAGUAGCUUGGCUACUUUAGUAAUAGUAUUCAAGGUAUAAAUUUUGUUGAUACGCCUUUAAAGCUAAGCUACCAUGAGUCGCAUCACUUUCUUUCUACUUUCUUCACGCCUAACCUCUGAAAAAGCCUCCCUGAGACUUGGAAGGGGUUUAAUGCCCAUGAUUCGGCCUCUAACAUCAUCCAAUUCCCUAUUUAGUCCUAGGAAAAACUUGAACAGUCUCUUUUGUUCCACAAUUUUCCUGUAUGUUGUUGCAUCAUCCAAACAUUUCCAUGAGUGAGUCUCGAAUAAGUCAAGUUACUGCCAAUACCUUGUGAGUGUGUUGUAAUACUGAGUAACUGACUGUUCUCCUUGGCGGAAGUCAUGUAAGGCUGAUUCAACCUGAAAAAGUUCUAAAGUAUUUUCAGAACUUGAGUAAGUUUCUUUAGCUGCAUCCCAGAUGUCCUUUGCAGUCCUAAACAGCAAAAAAAUUUCACCUAUGUCAUUGUUCAUGGAAUUGAUAAGCCAUGACAUGACCAUGCUGUUUUCAAUCUUCCACUUCCUGAAACCCGGUUCUGUAGUUUCUAGCAUGGCUGCUUCUCCAGUGAGGUACUCAUCCUUUCCUUUACCGCAAAUGAACAGCAACACAGAUUGUGACCACUGUAAAUAGUUAUGGCCAUUUAAUUUGUGUCCUGUGAUGAGAAUAGGAGAGGAAUCACUGCCACCAAGGUUUGGAAUUUCAUAUCUGCCCCCUGAUUCUGGUGACGUGACGCUGGAUACUUGUGAUGAUGUCAUUCUGUAUUUUGUCAUGGACCGGAAAGGUAGAAGAACACUUCCCAAGGCACGUGCAGGGAUUGGAGUUGAGAAAAAAUAGCCGGAGGACGCCGGAAAAACUGAUCGGAGGGCCCGUAGAGGCAAAAGAACCCCAAAAGAGGCACGUGCAGGGCUCAGAUGGCAGAAACAGGUAAGAAGGGUGGCUGGUCAGCGUCAGGCGAGCCUGGAGGAGGAAGCUCAUCGCCGGAAAGUGGCUCACGCGCCCUCAUGCGCCGGCGCGUGAGAUGCAGUCGCCGGCCGGAAAAACGCGCGUGGCCGGCGCGUGGAUGGUUUUCUGGCUCCGGUGCUUUGGGAAAAAUUGGAGAUCUCCUCUAGGCGGUCCUUGCGGUGUAGAAAAAACCGUCGUCGGAAAAGUUCACCGGAAAAGUUGCCGGCAGUGAAUGUUUUUUUACGACGAUUCGACCGACUGGAAAGCAUUUUCUCCCUUGGCUCUGAGAACAGGGACUGAUGACCGGAAUGAGAGAUGGCCAGAGAGAGAGAUGGUCAGAGAGAUUUGGCCGGAAUGAAUGAUGGCCUGAAUAAGAGAUGACCAGAAGGGAUUAAGGUUUCAGAAAACUGGCUCUGAUACCAUGAAGAAUUUCUGAAUUCCUUUAUUGAAUUUUUAGGUACACACCAUACACAUAUAUAUACACAAAUGACUGAAUAAGAAAAUAUCAAUCUAGCUUGAUUCUCUCCUAAAAUUAGGAAACUGAAUCAUCCUAAAUGAUCUCUCCUUUUUUAUUCCUAAAGCACUUUCCUAAAUUAAAACCCUAACUUUGAAUGCCAAAUUUCAACAGUAAGUUCUUGUAAGAUUUCAUAUCUUGUUCAUAUGGAGCAACCUGCAGAUUAAUAGAAUACCCUUUUGAUCCCUUAUGGUGAAUGAUCUUUUCUUGCGUUACCUGAAGUAUUAGUUUAUGUUUUGGGCUCAAUUGCUUUGGUCAGUUGCUGUUUGGUUUUUGGAAUACCAUGGUCUUUGUCGUUGUGAUGAAAUUUCUCUGAGUAUUUAUGUUCUCUCUGUUCUUCCUGGCAUUGCAAUUAUUUGGUGUACUAAUUCUUAUAAAAAGGGAAAAGACAGUAUUAUAUAGAGAAAAAUAAGUUGUUUGUUAGUUUGUGCAUUAGCGCUUUUUUUUCUUCCUCUUGUUGGAGGGGUCGGAACAAAAGAUAAUAAUAUUACAUGGAGAAAAAUGAGUUGUUUGUUACUUUGUGCAUUAGUGCCCUUUUUUUUCCUCUCUUGUGGGAGGAGUCACAACAGUGUUGGUUAUUUUAUGAAUUUGAAGCAAAGUGCCUAUAGUUUUGAAAUUUAAUAAUUUGUUAGUGUCGAACUCAAGGCUACAAAUGUUGGUUUUAGUGGAAAUUUCAUGGUUCCUAAGUAUAAUAAUGUUAAUAGAUCUAUGUUUAUGCCAAUGUCACUGUUGAGAAAUAUUUUUGGUGAUUUGCAUGAAAAAAAAAAAGUAUACUUUAAGUUAAACCUCAAAAUUUAUAAUAAUUUAGAAGUCCAAAUUCUAAAAUCUUAGAAAAUUCGAAGACUUAAUUGCAUUGAUUAAACAAAAUUGGGUUUAAAUUGAUUACCAGAUAACUGAGUGAAGAUUAUGUCAUGAAAUGUGGGAAUUUGUAUGGAAAGGAAAAUUUGUGUGUUAUUACAUAAUAGUGUCUGAAAAGUACAAUCCAUAUUCUUAGCUCAUAGAAAAUUUGGAAACUAAAUCACAUUCAUGUUGACCAAAACCAGGUUUAGAUAGAUGACAGGAUAACACACUGAAGACUAUAUCAUAAAAAAAAUUAAUGGAGUCCAUUCUAGUUUGUAAUUCUAACACAUAAUCUUGUGGAAUAUUAUGAUAGUCAUUCACAUGAAAUAAUAUAGUCUGACACAAUACACCACAUUAUAUGCAAUAGUCCUUCUGAUGUCAUGUCUUCCCGAAUUUACUUCUCUUUGUCUUACUAUCUCUAACAUUAAUAAUACAUAAACAAUACCUUUUGAUAAAAGAUCGACAUAUUACAGGUUCAAGAUGCUUAUGGAGCAAAGCAUCUUUUUGAGAGCUUUUUGUGAUAAUUUGACAUGCAUACUAACAUUGGUAUUUUCCCCUUUGUUGAUCAAAAUACCAUGCAGGAAACAAAUGAACAACAAAAUUAAAUGGGAAGUACAAUGCAUUCCUACUUGAUACAACAUAAAAUCUUUGGGUGCUUGAAAUCAUCAUCUAUGUCAUGCUUGAGUUGGUGUAGUACCACUCCAUGUAUUCUUUUAUGCCCAUUGCUUUUUUUUCUUUUUCAUAGGUAAUAAAAGGGCUUGCAUUAGAAAAGCCUAAAAACGACGAAAACAGUACACACAAAGUAUACACAUAUGCCCCAAAAAAGCUAAGCAAUAAGAAGACAAAAAAAAGCCUUCUCCUUACUUGACAAACAACCAAUUUAUAAAAUCAAUCAUAGACAAAGUGUGGUCCUCUCUAUAUGCACCCUAGCUCAAUUCACAAAAGUAUACAUGAAAAAAGAUUUCAUUGCUUGGUUGGACCGCUCAACAGCGAUGAAAGCUCUUCCAUUCCUUUCCUUCCAUAAAUUCCACAUUAAACUUAAGAGAGCAACCUUCCAUGCACUCUUCCUAAUUGAGGAAUGCAUAACCCACUGCACACCGAAAAUGGAAUAAAUCAAGUUCCACAAAAUUUUAGCCUUGCCAUAGAACAAAAUUAGGUGGUUAGUGGUUUCCUCCUCUUCUUUGCACAUGAAGCACCUAUUCAAAAUAUUCAAUCCCUUUCUUUUCAACUAGUUGAGAGUCAAAAUUAUGCUCCAAGACACUUCCUAAGCAAAAAAGCUCACCCUUCCUAGAGCCCAAGACCUCUAAAUAAUAUUCCACGAAAAUUGAUCUCUAGAUACCCUCGUAUAGGAGCCAUAAAGGGAGCUAACUUAAAAUUUGCCAUUCUUACUCUCUCUCUAACUCAAAAUGUUGUCCACUUUUCUUCUCAUAACAAAGGGUUUAAGCUUGCAAAACAAAGACUCAACUUCUCCCAUCUCUUAAUCAUUAAGAUGUCUUGAAAAGCGGGGGCUCCAGCUACCUAAAUUCCCACUCUCCUCCCAAGCUUUUGAGACCUAAUUGUGUUUAUUUAUUGCCAUAGAAAUAAGUUAGGGAAAACUUCUUUCAAGGGUUAGUCUUCACACCAAAAGUCUUUCCAAAACUUAACCUUUCUCUCAUUCCUAGCAAUCAAGUGGGAUCAACUUCUUAUGUCCUCUCAUUCAUUUCUGAUGGCUUUUCACAUCACCACACCAUGACCUCCCCUUACUCCUUUCGAACACUAAACCUCUUUCUCUACUCCAAACUUCCCAAUGAUAAUUUGUUUUCAAAGGGGCCGACUCUCUUUCUUCUGCAAAUCUCCAACUCCACGUACCAAGUAAGGCUUUAUUAAGGGCCAUAAGACUAUGAAUUCCUAAGCCUCCCUCCUUAUUUACACAAACCAAUUUCCAAUUCACCAAAUGAGGCCUUCUCUUUAGAGCACCACCACCCCAUAAAAAAUCCAUUUGGAUUUUUUCAAGUCUUCCACACACUUUUAUUUUUAUUUUAUUUUAUUUAAUCAAGGUAAGCCUCCCACCCUUAGAUAUGUAUCACAUUUUCCAUAUUGUUAAUUUUUUUUUUUGAAUCUCUAUUCCAUUGCAUCCCACACCCUACGAGAUUUAAAAGGGGCACCCAAAGGAAGACCCAAAUAAGAUGUGGAAAGCUUCCCUACUCUACACCCCAUCACCAAAGCAUCAUUCUCCAAAGUCUCUACCCCCUUAAAAGAAUAACCUCACUUUAUCCAUAUUCGCUUUUAAUUCAGAAAGCAUCUCGAACCACAUAGACAACUCAAAUAUCUCAACUGUUCACUGUUGGCCUUACAAAAGAUUAAUGUGUCGUCAACAAACAGAAGAUGGGACACAUCCCUUCUUUCUCCACUUCUCCUUUCCACCUUAAACCUUAAAAUGAAGUCACUGCAUCUGGCUCGGAACAACAACUGACUAGGAGCCUCCAUAACCAAAAUUAAUAGAUAGGGGGAUAGCAAGUCGCCUUGUCUUAAGCCCCUAAAACUAUGAAAAAGGCAUGAAGGGGUUCUGUUGAUAAGAACAGAGAAGCUAGCUAUGGAAAUAUACCAAUUGAUCUAACUUAUCCACCUUUGCCCAAACCCCACUUUGAACAUAACUGAUAUAAAUAAAUCCCAAUUGACAUGAUCAUAAACCUUCUCAAUGUCCAUUUUUCAAAGGAGACCAGGAAUAUUGCUCUUUAACCUAGAGUCAACAACCUUAAUAGCACUGAGCAUAGUGUAUAAAAUUUGUCUACCUUGAAUGAAGGCAUGUUGAUUUCACCUCCCUCGUUGUUGUCUUUACCUUAUUUGCCAAAACUUUGAUUAAUAGCUUAUACAAACCCCCAACCAAACUGAUUGGUCUAAAGUCUUUCAAAUCUUUAGCUCUCCCUUUUUUGGGAAUCAAAACCAAGAAGGUGGAAUUUAGGUUUCUUUAGAAUGUGCCAUGAAGAAAGAACUCCUUAAAGAAAGGUAUGAUCUCUGGUUUGGUAAAAUCCCAACAAAAAUGUCAAAAAGCCAUGGUAAAACUGUUUGGACCUAGAGCUUUAUCACCAGAGAGACUACUCAGGGCUUCAAAAACUUCCUCAUUUGAAAAAGGAACCUCUAGACUUUUGGAUCUAUCUUACCCCAACACUUCAAAGCGUAAACCCUUACGCUCGGUCUCCAAUCCCCAGUUUCCAAGAGAAUAGUAUGAUAGGCAUUGCACACCCUAGCUUUAAUCUCCUCAUCAUCAAUCAGAGUAACCCCAUUUUUUCUCACCUUGGUUAACAAAUUCCUUCUUGCAUGAGCAUUGGCCAUCUUGUGAAAAAACUUGGUGUUCUUGUCUCCAUCUCUUAACCAAAUUUCCUAGAUUUUUGUCUCCAUGAAGUUUCUUCCAAUAAAACCCACUUCUUAUAAUCCUCAAAGGCCCCCUUUUUAGCCUCUACCUCCUCAAGAGAAAGAGGACAUUCUCUCUUCUUAGAGUCCUAGAAUUGAACAUAAGAAAAGGCUUAUGAUUUGUUAAAGAAGAGAUUGCCAAAACCUUCUUUUUUCCACACUUUAAGAUCCCUUUUAAGAGCUUUUAAUUUCUUAAUGAGGCAGUGAUUGCUAAAGCUAGUAACUGUAUACCCAGUCCACCAAUUUCUCACAAGCUCUUUGAAGCCAUCAGUCAAAAGCCACAUAUUCUCAAAUCUAAAGGGGAUCUUGCACUUUUUGACUCUUCCACCCUUGAGAAUAAUGGGACAAUGGUCAGAAGCUAGCCUAGGAAAGCGAAUUGAGAAAUACCCAAAAAAUGGUUCUCCUACUCAUCAGAGACUAAGAAGCGGUCAAACCUAGAAGCUGCUUGAGAAUUAAACCACCACACCAUGUGAAUGAACCUCCAGAAAGAGGAAGGUCCUUCAAACUCAACUCCUUUAUGACAUCUAAGAACCUCCUCAUAUCUGUCAUAAAUCUAAAUUUGUUCAUUCUUUCCCUUGGAAAUCUAACAAGGUUAAAAUACCCUUCUAUGCACUAGGGAUCAUCCCAUAGACCUUUGAUAGCUCCCAAUUCAUCCCAGAAAUCCUUUUUUUCCCUCAUUAAAACUAGAUCAUAGACUCCUGUGAACACCCAAACAAAAUCAUCUUCAACAUUUCUAAAGUGACAUGAAAUGGAGAACCCACCACACUCCAACUGCAAUAGGUCCAAAACUCUAUUGUCCUAAAAAAUCAAAAUGCCUCUUGACGCUCAUCUAGCAUCAACUGCACCUUAGUUCAAAAACCUUCCAACACCUAAGCUUCUUACCACUUGUAACUCCAUCUCUUGCACCUUAGUCUCUAGAAGGCAAACUAGAUCUACCUUCUGAGUCCUAACCACAGACUUGAUUAAUUUCCUUUUUUCCUCAUCGUUGAGUUCUCUUAUAUUCCAGGAAAGGAUUUUAAUCUUCAUCAAUCAACUAGAACCAAAUCCUAAUUGUUCCUACCAUUCCUUCUAGAAGAGAGCAAGGAAGUUUCAUAAUUGAUUGAACAAUCUAGUCUCCUUAGCUCCCUUUUGAAACGAGAGGAGGACACACAUUUCUUCUUUCCCCCUCUACUAGGAAUCCCACAUCCAACUUUCCUUCUUAACUUCCUCAACAAAGACUAGAUUUUCUUUUCAAACCCCUGAACCGACAUCCCCAAAAAUCUAUUAAAAUCUACUAGCUUGGUGAAGUCCUUGUCUGAAAGCGGGUCCUUGCAUUCCACACCAUUGGAUCCCACCUCUUGAGUUGAGGCUAAAGCACCGUUACCCCCCGACUCAACUCCACUCUCUUGAUUGGGGGAAAAAUUCUCUAGGAAGACCACAACUUAGCCAUCUUGAAAAGCCAUUGAUAGAGGCUUUUUCACAGCGUCAACCAAAAUUUCUGACACUUCCCCUCCCAACUCAGAAAAACCUUCUCCCCGCUCAAUACCCAAGAAAGGAGUUGAAGAAGAAGAAGGCCCUUCUCCCCAAGAGGAUUGAGUCCAAGAGAGCGUACCUUGAAAUCUAAGUGCUUCAUCUAAAAUAGCUUUGUUGGCUAAAGGCUUCAUCGUUGUCUCCGUGGAAGGCAACUUUGACAUGCAAGGAUUAGAAGCAUGAAAGGAGUGGACUCAAUGGUAGUAGCCUUGAGGCCCAUCUCCCUUCCCUUUUUAAAGCUCACCUAACCCACUUUAAAAGGAGCUUGGGCCUUAUCCAAAGUUGAUUUUUUGGCCCUCUCCAUCUCCAUAGAGCCUAACUUGACCUAAGGCCCAACAAAAAGGCCCAAGGCCUCAUCUACUAACCCACAUAGCUCCUUCCUAGUGAUAGAAGGGGAAGGAUGGGUUUUUGUAGAAACUUUGAUUCCCAUCUUUUUGGGAAUUGUACCACUUUUUCUUUUUGUAGAGUUCGAUGGAUUGAGAGACAACACUUAAGCUUUCACUCUUUUAGAAAACCAUUCUUUCACUCUCAGAUAGGCGCGUGACCUUACCCUACUCUCUUUUUCUACCCUUGUUUCUCUACAACUCUGAGAAGACUGCACCUCACUCUUCAAUGGAGGAAUCUCCCACCACAUCUGAAUUGCGAAACAAGAGGAUGGAGAGUUUGAUGGAUCAAGAGAUGACACUUGGGCUUCCACUUUUCCAGAAAACCCUUCUUCCACACUUCAGACAAGUGCGUGACUUUACCCUACCCUCUUCUCCUACCCUCCUCUCUUUGCAACUUUGAGAAGACUACACCUCACUCUUCCAUGCAGGAAUCUCCCACCAUAACUGAAUCAUGAAACAAGAGGAACCCACCAUCACCUGCAAAGAACUAGGUAACUUCCCUUUGAUCCUAGCAAGAAUCCUCGCCCAUUGCGAAUUCCUACACUCCGCUGUAUCCUCAUCGAUGGCCACAAGACUCUCACAAGCUUCUCGUAAUCUUUUGAACAAACCUUUUCCCCAAAGAUGCAAGAGAAGGCCCAAAACCCUUACCCACACCUCUCGAACAUCCCUUGCCUCCAUGAGGCAACCCAUAGAUGGAUUCCACCACUUUAGUAGAAGACUUUUUCCAUUGAACCAUUUCACCCUCGAGUGGAACACCCUCUUAGCUUCAACUAUAUCUUCAAACUUGAACAGAAUAAGGGAUCCUCCCAACAAUGCCAAGUGGAGUUUUCCUUUCAACCUCCAAUUGAACUAUGCCUAGUUCCUAAGAGAGACAGGGUUAGGAGGUUGGUCAAAAAGCCCCUCCCAUCUUUGAUUUCAAUCCACAUAGUGUUACACUAUUAAGAAGAACUAGAGAUCUCCAUCUCUGCUACCGAGUACUCAUUCCCAUCAUCACCCCUCUAAGAACCAACCCCUUCGAAGAGGUAGCUUUGGGCUCCUCCACUCUCCUUAGGGUCGUAGAAACACCAAGGCUUCUUAGCUUGCUAGACAGGAUUUUCCACCCCCCUACAAAUCCCCUUUCUUCAGGAAACACCAAGGAAAACUUCUUUCCUUCCACGUCCUAAACAGAACAAAGUAGAAACCGCAUUUCUCCUAUUAUUGCUCAAAUCCAGCAAAUGGUGUCUACCCCACUCCACCCAAGACUUUCUAAAAAACUCUCCAUCUUUGAGAGCACAGCAGGUCUCAGCCCCUUCCACUAGCAAAGCCAAGCCCUUACCCCAUUGAAUCUAAUACAUGACGAAAAGUUUGGACCCCUUUCACAAAUCUUCCCAAUCACCUUCCUUUUGGUCUCCUCGAUUAAAUCCUCAAAGCUCUUUGAUUCAACACCAAACCAACACUUAUCUCCAGGAUAAACCACUGACAUUUUUCAAUCCCAUGAAAAAACAGGAGUUUUUUUUUUUUUCCUUUUAUGCCCAUUGCUGAGUAUGAAGUCAGCUAGUUGUCAUCUAUCAUUCUCACAUCUUCCAUACACAAUCAUUUUCACAUGUUCCCUUACAUCUAGCUUGAAGGUCUAUCUUGAUUCUUGAUGGUUUUGAAUAUUCAUAAUGAUCUUAUUCAUAUAAUCAUGUGGUAGGGGCUAACAAUUCAUCACUGGUUUACAUAUUGUAGUGUUAUGACACUGUAACUACAUUUACUGCUUCAUAACCACUACAAUUUCUUUGGCAAUUUGGCUUGCCUAGGCCAUACUUUUGCAAUGGCUAGUUUCUUUCCUAUUUUUCUUUAGGAAUUUUCAGCACAUAAAUUACAUAUAAAGCAAUUUAGAUUAUGUGGUGAUUUCAUCAUAUUAUUUUUGGUUGUGUACUCUAGAGUUUAUUUAUUAUUCUCUAGAAACUCUAAUUAUAACAUUGAAAUUGUAAGAAACUUCUUUCUUUCUCCUUGUAAUGCCCUACACCAUGACUUAUGUGGACCAUAAUGUUAGAGCCUUUUGGUCGUUCAGGUUGUAAUAGGAGCGAAAUGUGCAUGAUCCAUUCAUUUUGGAUUUUUAUGCUCUCCCUUUUUUUUUUGGGUUUUGUUCUUUCUUUGUCUUGCCUUUUAUUUUUUUGGGGUUUUUUUAUUAGUUAAAUUUAUUUUGUAUGUCACACUGUACAUUGAUUUUUCUGUUUUAUUGGAAACUUUCUAGUUUGUACUUCACAAUUUGUGGUGGUGUUUGCUAGUGGUGAUGGCUCAGGAGGAAAGAAACAGUUCUCUAAUGCUUAUAUCUCCCAGUCAACAAGAGGCUUAAGGUCACUGUUGAGAGAGCAUGUAAGAUGUAUCUUUUUUAUCUUUUAAAAUUUGCAUGGAUAGGAAGUUUAUUUUCUCUUUAUGGAACAUGUUCAUAAACAAUUUUCAUGUGGAAAAUAUGUUUUUUCUCACUCUAAAUGCUAAUUCGAGUUUUUUCUGCUUGAAUAUAAAAAUUAGUUCCUGAAAUAAGAUAUUACUUUUUUUUUUUGCACUUGGUAUUAACUAAGAUAGUGGCAUUGAAAUAGAAAUCAUGGGGGUGCUUAUUUUGACUUAAAACCUGGAAAUGGUUGCUACUUCUUUGCUAGAGGUUUAAAUAUGAGGUUUAUAAAAUUGUAACAGAAAUGAGUGCAGUGAGAAAAUAUUUUGUGUUCUUUUUGCAAACUUCUAAGCUAAUCUGGGAAUGAUAAUUUUAAACCAUUCUUGUGGAAUUUAGAUGAUUACCAAAUUUAUUGAUUUUGAGAAUGUUGAUAUUUAUUAAGGACCUUGAUUUGCUGACCAAGUGGCUAACUGUUAGAUCAUUAGAGAUAAUUUAUCAGGGACCUUGAUUGUCUGGCCAGAUGGUUUACUGUGUUUGACUUUUACCAACUAAAAAAAAACUGUCAUCCUUGAUUUUAAUGAGCAUUGGUUGCUCCAUAUUUUUGGUUUUUUUCUCAUUGCUGAGCAAUUAUUUUGCUUUUUUCAGAAAAUUCUCAUAAUUUUGUCUUAUAUAGUAGGCCAACAAUGUAUAUCAAGUUAAGUUGACUUAGGCUAAAGCCUUAAUGUUCCACUGGACAUGCAACCUUCUCUUGCUUGUACUUGGCUCAAUAAUGGGGAUUUAACAAGCAAUGAGGUUCAAACUUAUGGUCCCUUAGAAACCAAAGCUCUUGUACAAUAUUAUGCUGACUUGGAGUAAAAUCCUAACUGUUUUCUCAUUUUUUAUUUUGUAAGUUCUCGAUUCAUAUAAGAAAAUGAAAGAAAAUUUUAAUCAAUAAAGAAGUUGCUAUAUUUAGGUAAGGAUGCAUGAGACUAUGUGUGACAGGUGGUGAUACCCGGAUUCUCAAUUUUGCUAAAAGUAACCCUAUUGACAAAAAGGACAUGGGUAUUGUUGUGGGAUCCUCAUGGGAUAUAUUAUUAUUAUUUUUUACUUGGGACUGGAUAAUUGUUAGUAAUUUUUAAAGUGAAAUUUUGGAACUUGGGAGAUGAAUUAAAACUAAAAAAAAGGAAUUAAGUGUUGUUGGGGAGAUUCAAGGAUAAGAGAAAAAAAAAAGGGGCUUUUAUGAGGAUAUUUAAAGAUAAAAAAAAAAUGGUAUACCUGGGCAGGUGGGGUGAUAGAAAACAGGUCUCUUGGCACUUCAUUAGCAUGAAUUUGUUACUUUUAGAAUAGUAACAUUUAAAGAGAUGAUAAAUCAAAACAAAGGUAAUAAAAUAAAAGUAAAGGGAUGGAUAUGGAUAAAUAAUAAAAAAAUAUAUUGAUAUAAAAUAAAAUUAGUGAAAGAAAUAUGUAUGCAUAUUGUAUAUUAACAAAAUUUGAAAUUUCCAAUGACAAAACAUGACAUACGAUAUAAAUUAAAUUUUUUAGUACAUUUCCUUCAUGCGUAGGAGUAAUAUGACUUGAAUUACUAAAGGGUAAUAUUAUGGAUUCCAUGGAGAAUAAAGUAGAUAUAGAUCUAAGUAAGCACUCAAAUAUUUGACUUUUGACCAUGUCCAAGUAUCUGUACCAUUGUUAAGUUCCUUUCAGCCAAGUCCUUGUAUCUUAGAGUUUGUGAAUUUGAAUGAUUAGAUGUGUAACACAUACCUGCAUCUAAUACUUGCAACUAAAUCCCUGUAACAUAUGUGGCAAGCAGACAUAAUUUGUGAUUGUUUCUAUUUGUUGCAUGUGCGAUCAGGGGUUGCUUGGAUUGUUUUAGGGCAACGUAUUUGAUUUCAAUUUGAUAUAAUUGUGUUCAAAGAACCCAGAAACAAAUAUGGAAGCUCAAAACAAUAAUUGAUUUUGUCAUUUUGAUUCAGCAUAAUGAUGGGUUCAAAUGUGGAUCAAAGUUGAAAAUCUUGGUAACCCAGUGGGCAAACCCCAACUUUGCAACCAUGUAAUGAGUUAUGUGCUUGUGAAUUUGUGCCUAUCAUAUAUGCUCUCUUCUUUUCAGGAUGUUGGACCUUUGAGAUUAUGAUAUUAAGGGCUUGCAGUGCUAACCAUUUUAACUAAUUAAUCUUUGUUUUGGAUUUUACAUUUUUUUUUUUCCAUGUCUAUAAUAUUUUUUUAAUCCAAUGAACUAACUUUUUCUUUUGUUUGUAUAUUAUGAAAACUAGGAUGUUUGUUUCUCUAUGCCUCUUUGUCGUUCUAAAGUAGAAUAAGUCACUACUGAAGACCUGGUUGAGCUCUCAGAGAUUGAGAAACGCAAUCUGGGCCAGGUUUUUGUCUAUGCUUUUAAUUUUGAUAGUCUUUUAUCUUUCACCUUGCUAAACUUAUGCCUGGAAUAGAACAUGGG
This 119776-nucleotide long non-coding RNA is filed under the name Vitis vinifera (wine grape). Its description in RNAcentral is "long non-coding RNA (VVIN_LNC001505)". Lineage: Eukaryota; Viridiplantae; Streptophyta; Magnoliopsida; Vitales; Vitaceae. The record is from RNAcentral.